AACUGAAGUGUUGGCUCAUAUAUAAGUUGGUACUGAUAAACUGUUCGUCUUGGUGACCUGUUUGGGUAGCCAAAACGAUCUGUUGAGAGUUGAGACAGACCCGUCUUCUCUUUGUUAACUCUUGUCAGUAACAUGGCAUGUUUGAGGACAAAACUGAACUGAAGAGUGGCUUCUUCUUCUUUUAAAAAAAAAUCAGAGUUGUGUGUGUGCGCGCGCGCGCGCGCGUGUUCUUCAUUUAUUUUUCUAGAACAGUGUGUUCUUGGGUGCUAUUGAGCAAAGGUCCAGUAAGAAGGGCCUCAUGGGCCGGGCCUGGAGUAUCUACUGCAGCGUGUCGUGUACAGGCUAGGGAUGAUGUUUACCAGGUUGAAGUCCUCUCAAAAAAAAAAAAAAAAAAAACAGGUUGAAGUUGAGCCACACGGGUCUGCCAGUCACGUCACAUCGACCCGUACGGUUAUUUCUCACCUCGACGUCGUCGGAACCUUGCUGCACGGUGAGCCGCCACUCGCCGCGGCCGUCCCCGAACGCCUCGCCGCAGCCGGCCCAGCGGUCCCAAGCGCCCAUCAUCUCCUCUUCCCCGACGCCGUCGUACUCCAUCCCGGCCACCCGGCAGCCGAACCUGACGCGCUCCAGCACGCCGAACCGCCGCGCGUACGAGCGCAGGUACGCCGUGACCUGGGCGUGGUCCGGGAACACCUCGGCCACGUCCGGCGGCCAGGGGAAGUCGGAGAACUCGUAGAACGGCCGCGGCGUCUGCAGCCGCGUGGACGCCAGCGCGCGCGCCCACACGCCGCCGAUGGCUUCCUCGGACGCCUCGAAGACGACCGGCAGGAAGCCCCGCGCCAGCAGGUGCUUGCACGCCGCCAGGCCGCUCACGCCGGCGCCCACGAUGGCCACCCUCUUCUUCUCCAUUGGGAAGAAGCAAUGCGGCCGCGCGUGUGUCGAUUAGCUAGCUGGCGGCCGUGCUGUGGCCGUUUUUUGGCGUUAAUUUGUGGGGGAGUGGAAGGAAGACUGGCGGUGAUAUAUAGAGAGCGUGGCACGGUGACAGGCUGGGUGGGUCUGGAUCGACUUUGCCGUCACGUGUUUUGGAACGAUGAUAAAGGAUGAAAGCAAAGUGUGGCACUCAACUCAGGUGCUGCCGUACUGCUGCACUGCUUGCUUGUUUGAUCGUAUGGUUGGUUCAAGUUAACUGGUAGCAGGAACUAGAAAUCUGUUUUAGUAACCCAAGUCUUCACUUAGCACUGGUAAAUUUGAGCGUGGAAAUUCCAAAUGGACACGUGAACACCCCCUGCCGUCAUCGUCAAAAAGGAGAACAUCUAUGUGUCGAUUCAGGGAAGGACGAUACCGCUGCAUAUCCACACGGUAAAUUCGUCGUGAUGGCCCAAGCGGAAAAGAGGGGCAAAUGAUAAUUUUCUCAACAUGCUAAAUCAAUCUGUGUUCCUUUUAUGUUUAUACACGGAGCAUUUGCUGGAGCAGGAGCAAUUUCAAAAUCUAUAGGGGCAAAUGAUAAUUUUCUCUGUUCUGCUAAAGGAGUUACUCAUGCUCUGUACCUGGCUCCUCCUGAUCUUUCAAAUUGGCUCCACCUGGCUCUUGAUCUCCUAAAUUGGCUCCAGUAUCAUCUUCGGGUGGACUGGAGUUAAGAUCUGGUAUAGGCAUGGAGGCUAGAGACAAGCGGAGGCCUGAAGGCUGGACACAAGCGGACUGGAAGAUGACGCAGUGCUGCUGCAGAGGAAGUUGGCCGCAGGACCGGAGAGGGGAAGGAGGAGGCGACCUGCAGAGGAGAGAGCGCAGGCGGCUAGAGUGCGCAGGUGACCUGGAGUGGCAUGCGGAGAUUUGAAUUCAAACUGUCUUUGUAUUAAUGGACCUGUAAUUAUUUUAAUUCGGAGGAUGUUUUUGUAAAGCUGUGUUUGUGAAGUGGCUGCAACAAGAAUAUCGGAACAGAGGGAGUAGCUUUCUCUAAUGCCACAAGUGUAGCAUCCACGGUAUUUUGGAGUCGCAGGGAUCUCAACUGGAACUUGCAUUAGAAACUGGUAGCAGGAAUUAGAAAGUUGUUUAGUAACCCAAGUAUUCAUUUAGCACUGGAAAAUUAGAGCGUGUGAAUUCCAAAUGGACACGCAAAGAGCGUGUGAAUUCCAAACGGACACGCAAAGGCUUAGGGCCUCUUUGAUUCGUAGGAUUGGAAGAAAAUACAAGAAUAGAAAAAAUGAAGGAUUUCAAUGUCAUGUACACUUGAUCCAUGCCCGUAGGGUGCUUCGGAUCGGGAGUAACCACUCUGGAAAGGACAUAGGAAAGAGGGAUGCCUACAAAAUGAUCCGCGAUGGUGCGAGGAUAGGGCGGAGGAGGAAGAAGGUGGGUGACGAAGUUGGGACUUCGACAAUGUCCAUAUUAGUGGACUUAUAUCUAGGAAAGUUUCGAGUGUAUGUGUUGGCGAUCUCGUCGUCUAACAAGGACACAGGGGACACGAUUUACCCAGGUGUGGGGAUUGGGUGUGGAUGGAGAGGAGCGCGGAGAGGAGAGCGGGCAGGGGAGGCCGAAGUCGACCGCGGGAAAACUCGUGGCGCUCAUGUCGGAGUCAGACAAGAGGGCGGCGGUGCUGGCCUAUUUAGGAAACCUUCCACGUCAAUGCGCCAGCUAGCUAGACCCAACAGGUGGGCCUGCCCAGUCAUUUUUGGUCUUAGAUGGUAGCGACCGAACGGUUAAGAAAAUCCGGUGUUUUUAGUAAAAAAAACAUAGAUUGGUACUGAACUGAACCCUAGCCACAGUACGGUGGUUUUCUGUAAUUUAUAAAAAAAAAACACACCUCAGCUCUUCAUCUCCGGUCGGCCCAGCAACUCGAUCCUCACCCAGCCAUGAUGGCCUGCCCAUGAAAAUCGCUUGGCUCUUCUGUCCCUGGCUUUGGAUCUAAACAUUGGUCGCAUCUCGGUGGCUUUUGAUUGUUUGCUUGUGAUCGAGACUUCAAGAGUACGUGGCAGAGGGACUUAUGUUAUUAUAGUGUUAUCACUAGAGAGAACGAAGAAAGGAGGGGACUGUUUGAGGAGGUUACUUUUAAGCAUGAGAAGAGAUAUACUACUUUCCUCGUCCUCACAAAGAAUGGCAUGCACGAAUUUCAAGAUUUUACUUUGACUAAUAAUUAGGCUAAUGAUUUGAGAGUUUUAUGAUACAAAAACUAUGUCAUUGGAUUCGUAGUUCAAAAACCUUUGCAACAAUAUAAAAUUUGUAACAUAUAACUUACAUAUAUUAGUGUAAUCUUUGGUCAAAAUUCGAUCUCGAAAAGCGUGGAGUGACUCUUUGUGAAAUGGAGGGAGUAAUGUAGUAGAUGCUAGGGCUCAUUUCCCCCCUUUCUAUUCCUCUUCUCUCAGCCCCCUGCUACAGCUCCGAGUCCUCCAAGCCGCGCCUCCGCCUCCUCUCUCCCUUCUCUCUGGCGGCUCUGCCGGCCGAAGAGGACGGAGAGGAUGGAGAGCGGGGGGGGGGGGGGGGGGGGCUGGGUCUGGUGAUAUGUAUAUUAAAGUAGUUGCCUUAGGGUAGUUUUCUACAGGAACUUCAGCACCGGUUUUGAGGCGCCGGUUGCUCGUCGGUUUGGUCGUUCUUGCUGUCGUCGUCUGCAUCGCGCUUCUCAGUCUGCACGGCAACGGUUCAACCUCCGAUUUGGUUUCCUUUUUCAAUAAAAGCCUCUGCCUAGAUCUGGAUUUCUCUGCUGCCAUGGAUUUCAUGGCUGGCGCUGGAUCUAAGGCCCUCCCCGUAGUAUCCAAAAUAAAUCCCUGUUAUUUUGCCAGAUUUGUUCUCCACAAAACUUUAUUCCUGGCGAGCUUGUUCUGAUCUUAUCUCCAUGACCGCCUUGAAGAUCUUGUGGGCUGGUUUAGAGUUGGGGCAUGAUUUCUUUUUGAAUCUCUUGGCCCCUUCUCACUGCUACUCGGUGAUUCGCCUCCUUACAAUCAUCUGCAUCGAAGUAGCUAGGACUAGUUCUGGUCGUUGCAUCUGUAUUGUUGUUUGCCACUGCUCCUCUCAACCUCUUGCUUGGAGGCCCGCGUCACGGCUCUAGGGCAUGGUCUUCAACAUACAGAUUUGGCGGCUCCAUAUAGACCUUCGUCUGGUGGUUUCAGCCCGUUGCAGGGGCAAGAUUCGGUUUCCGUCGUCGUCUGACCUUACUCAUUAUGGUCUCUUGGCGUCGGAAUCUCCUAUUGUGGGUGCCAUGGCUCGAUCUUCCUCAUCAUCUCUUGCCUUGGCUACUCUGUUUGUUCCUCCGUGCUCGGAGGCAGGUGGUCGUUCAGAAGGUGCUUCGUUUUGCCGGUGGCGGCCAAUUUUGCUGCUUGCUGAUGGUGAGUUCAGCAGCGGUCAACAGCGACGCUUCCCGAUGGACAGGUGGCCGGUACCCUCUACCGUGGAAGCUCGAGGAGGCGUUCAAGAUGCGUGGCGAUCCGUCCUUCUGGUGUCUCCCCACGUGUACCCAAGGGUCUUGUUUGUAAUUUUUAAUUUUCUCAGGAACCAGUUUGUACCUCGAGUUGUAAUCCUCUGUAGGACUUUUGUCCUACUGUUUUAAUGAAGCAGUGCCUUUUUACAAAAAAAAAAUGUAGUAGAUGCUCAUAACUUACCUAGAGCGGCUUGACCUCUUCCUUUUUGUCUCCGUGUUUAUUUAUUACUUUCUCUGUCCAACAAAAGAUGUCUCAAGUUUGUAAAAAUUUAGAUGUAUCGAGACAUGACUUAAUGUAUAAGUGCAUUCAAAUUUAGUCAAAGUUGAAACAUCCUUUGUUUCGACGGAGCUGGUAGAAGUGUCGACGAUGGCUUGGUUGAAUACAGUUGAUCAGCGGUUGUUUCCUAGUGUUGCACUUGUUCCUUUGUAACCUUUUUUUUCGGGGAGUUGUUCCUUUGUAACUUGUGUGCUAAUAAUAUUCACUCUUGUCCGAAAAAAGCAAGGAAAGAAAACGCAAGACAAUUGUUUGCCGAGAGAUGGAAUGCUCAGACCGACUGGACCAAAGUCGCUGAAUCCCCCGAAGUUAGUCGCGGAAUUGAUCAAUGCGCAGCUGGAACCUGAAGUCGAUCAAUGAACAUUCUAGCUUGACGCGGCUCGUUGGGGGUUGCUGUGGAAGACGAGUUUCCCAGCGAAACUGACUCGCUCCCCACGGAAGUGGUGAUGAUGAAUCGCAAUAUGGCGCAAGCUUACGUGUGCGGGGUAUAGUCACGGGUAUACUUCAAGAUGCCACCCGCGGGGUAUAGUCACGGGUUCAUGGCUCCCCAUACCCGUAUCCAUGAUCGGGUAUAACUUUUGUCCAUAUCCGUGACCUGUCAGGGUAGAUGGGUAGUUACGGGUAAAAAUGUCCGUGUAAUUACGUUUUGUUCACAUAGUUAAAAAACCCACACUAUAUUUACGUAAAUAACACUAUAUUAGACAAAAACGUAUACAUAUUUGCUAAAAACAACAACAUAUUUUCAUAGGAUUGGGUAAAUGCGGCCAACAAGCCGAACCGGUCCAUCAUCACAAAUCGGUUUUUUGGAGAAAGAACAAAGAAUCGUCACGGUAUGAAAUGUGCAAUAUACGGAAACCCAAUUGGCAUGCCUUGGGUCUGGGUCUACAUCUCCGCACCUGUACCCGUCAUACCCCGAGUACAAGAUUUUUCCAUGAAUAAAGUUUUAUCCCAUACCCAUGCCCUAAUUGGUUUUUACCCGCCAUGUAAACAAGUAAUUGGUAACAAUUGCCAUCUUGAGACGUGUUGUGAGGCCUUGUUGUCUCUCGUCCUGGACUUACCAUAUCUCCUCUUUCUAGGUAGCCACCGAUCGUCCUCAAGUUGUUAUUAAAUGUUUGGAUUCGGAAAGCUUGAGCUAAUAUAGUGCCAUUAGGGCCUCCUCCCUGGUGGUGGUGGUUACUAAUUUUCUUCCUCCUCUUCUUUAAUAUGUUUUUUCUUGUUCUCUUCUCUUUCUCGAUGGGUCCAUAUGCCAUCCUCUUAUACUUAUUAGUAUCCGUGUAGAGGCCGUUGAUUCUUCAAAUAACCACUACCUUCUUGUUAUAUUAGAGCAUCUCCACUCGCCCCCCCCCCCCUUCCCUCCCUCCAUAUAGCAUCCGGCCUGUCAGUUUUCGGGCAUAUGGGGGGCGCCAACUAGAUUUUCUGUUUGAGGCCAGCCGGUUCUCAGUCGUUACCCCCAAACGGCUCCCAUACCAAAUUUUACAAAUAUUGCAAAUUCAAACAAGCACAUUAUUUAAUAAGUUUUGAAUCACAGUUUCAAGCAAAUUCAAUCAAACAAAUAAGAAGAACUAGACGUUUCCUCUGAACCUCCACAAAUGCUUGACCAGAUCAUCUUCAAGUUGUUGAUGAGUGCCAGCGUCUUGAAUUUCCUGACACCUGGCGAGGAAAGCAGCAAAGGCAACCGGCACAUGGUGAUCAACAUCGGCUAAAGGACCCAUCCGCUCAUACGAUUCAGUGUCAUACAUGGACAUUUCCGCUCGCUCUCAAUGAUCAUGUUGUGCAUGAUCACACAGGUAGUCAUGACCUCCCAUAUCUGAUCUUUGGACCAGGUGAGAGCAGGGUACCAGACAAUGGCAAAUCGAGCAUGCAACACACCAAAUGUCCGCUCGACAUCCUUCCUACAUGCUUCAUGUUGCGUUGCAAACUAAUAUCUUGCUCCUCCUGCGGGUGCGUUUGAGAUUGUCUUCACAAAGGUUGACCAUCUUGGAUAGAUGCCAUCUGCCAAGUAGUAUUCCUUGUUGUACGCAUGGCCAUUGAUCUCAUAGUUCACCAGAGGAGCGGUGCCUCCAAUAAUCUUGGCGAACACAUUCGAGCAUUGUAGCACAUUGAUGUCAUUGUGCGAUCCUGCCAUACCGAAGAAAGCAUGCAAAAUCCACAGAUCCUGAUCGGCCACUGCCUCAAUUACCACACUACAUGAUCCUUUGUGGCCUUUAUACAUGCCCUGGUGUGCAAAUGAACAGUUCUUUCAUGACCAAUGCAUACAGUCGAUGCUGCCAAGCAUACAUGGGAAUCCUCUUUCUGCGUUAUGUGCGAGGAUUCGAGCCGCGUCUUCUGUGGUGGGUGUUCUCAAGUAAAUAUCUCCAAACACCGGCACAAUUGCCCUACAGAACCUGUACAUGCAAUCGAUGGCCGUGGACUCGGCCAUGCGGAGGUAGUCGUCCUGUUUAUCGGCAGGAAUUCCAUACGCAAGCAACCAGAGGGAUACCGUGCAUUUAUGAAUUGUUGUGAAACCAAGUGUACCGACGGCGUCUCUCUUCAAUUUGAACUAAUCGUUGUACUCCCAAAGGUACUCAGGGAUUUUCAAAAAAAAGUUUCCGAGACAUCCUGAAACGGUGCCGAAAAACCACAUCGUUGUGCAAUGGAUCAUCAGCGAAGUAGUCGGCGUACACCAUGCAGUAGCCCUCCGUCCUCUGCCUCGACUUGCUCUUGUGGCAGCCCUUCCUCGAUCCUCCCCUACUCGGCCGCUGUGCAUGCUGGGCGAUCAGGCCAAGAAGGGCCGACAGGAUCACUUGAUGCUCGUCUUCGCCACCGGAGGCUGCAUCGUCGGCAUCGACAACUUCCUCGUAAAACAGCACGGUGAGCAUCUCCUUGUCAUCCGAAUCCAUGGCAUUGGCAAAUCGUCGAACACCUCCUGAGCAAGGUGGCCGCGGGGUGGGCUUGGAGCUGCCGGUGGUCUUCGAAGGACAGCGGAACGGGAAGCUGUGGCGGCGCGGAAAGAUCUAUGUGACGGUUGGGCCUUUCUAUCGGCUGCGGACCGUCACCGGUGAGAGGGGUGGUUCCGGCAGCGAUUUGGAGGUGGAGGGUGCCUGCGCCCGACAGAGAGGUUGAAAUGUAGUUUGUUUUUGGGUUGUGCCACUGACAGUGCUGGCCCGUACGUUUUUACGCCGGAACCAACACCCCCGCCUCCAUUUGGUGUUUGAGGGGCCUUUAGCGGGGCCGGCUGAAGAUGCUCUUAACAUCUUCUUCUCGUUGGACUACUACUUCUCGUUACCUGUGUACAAUGACGGAGCAUGUGCAAAACACAAGAGGGGCAAUUUCAUAUCAAAACAAAUAUAAGAAGGAAUCUCAUCUAUUAUAUACUAAAAGCAAUAUGAAGGGUACCGAGAGAAGCAUCCACGUUGAUCCACAUCAUCAGUAUUAUUUAGAUUGUUAGAUCUUUAAUUUUAUGGCCAAGAUCUAACGAGGGAAAUAAAUUUGGUAGACUCGGGAUAGCUGUCACGGACCAAAAGUCCGGCUUUAUCACGACCGAAAUUAAAAGAUUGAGGAAAUUUACGGUAACUGCACGGACUCCCGUCGCACGCACGCAUGCUGCCGCCUGUCUAGAUCAAGAGCGCGUCCGACUCCCUGUCCUGCCAUCCUCAGUUUGUCCAGGGCAAGCUCAAAAAACAAAAAGACAAAAACAAAAAGAAUUGCCCAGGGCAGCGGAGGGAAUAAAGAAAACAUCCAAUAGAAAAAGAAAAUGGCAAGUAGCAUUGCUUUCCCAUCUAAGUAUUUAUCUAUUACAAUAUGUCAUCUCAAUCUCAAGUACAAACCGUCGGUUGCUUCAAUAUUUGUGUCUAUUUAUUUUAAAUCACAAUGAAAAAUCCGCAGAGUCAUUCAUAUAACAUGUGUGACACCCCAUAUCAGGGAAAGACCAACAGUCGGUAGGUGAUUCGAACUUUAAUUUUGAGAGUUAAAUGCACGGCGUGUCCUAAAAGUACUGGCGUGGUGUCAUCUAGGUCCUAGUAGUAUGAAAUUGCAGUUUUGGAUCCUAAAAGUACUUUAAGUGUGUCACCGGACGGUGCUAAACAUGCCGGAGCAGGCCUGACCUGCCCACGUGUCCUGUUGACCAGCUCGGACCGGCCAUGUAGGAUUAAGAAAGGAUACUCAAAUUUGCAAUUUGCCCCCCAAAAAUCCCCUCACCCCCAAAUCGCGGCCCUCUCUCUUCUUUCUGGUCGGCUUUCGGAGCGUGACCAUGCCGCUCGCGGCGGGCUCUAGGCGCAGCCACGCGCGGACGACAACGGCGGGGGCUCACCGGAGAGCGGCGGCUAGGCUACGUGGAGAGGAAGAGGAAGGAGGGCGGCUCACAGUGGGCUCGAGGGGAAUCGACGGUCGGAGGAGCGAGGCCGGCGCAGUGCAGAGGAUAAUGGCAACGGCGGUGGAUUCGUCGUCAGAAAUGGGGAAGACGGCAGCGGAUCCGUCGCCUCGGAGCAUGACGGGGUGCGACGAGUGGUCCUAUGGAUGCGCUCCUGCACGGUGAAGCGACGACGAGGGAGACACGGUGCUGGAGGCAGCCGGUGACUGGGAGCUCACGGCGGCGAUGAGGAAUGACGACGCAGGGGAGAUGCGGUGCACAAGAGCUUCGGAAAAGGGUGGAUCCGGCCUCGGGGAGUCGAGGCGGUCCUUGUAGGCAGAUCAACGAGGCAGCGGCUUCGAGCCUGACGGCGCAUGGCCGGAGCUCGGGAAGAUGAUGUCCGCGUGGAGCUUGGGCGCGCACGAGCCUAGGCGGUUCGGAUGUGAGGGAAUCGUGAGGUUGGGGCCUAGCCAGCGCUGCGUAGACGAGUUUGCCGAAACUAGAAGAGGAGGCGGCCGUGCGAGAAAGAAGAGAGAGGGCCGUGAUUUGGGUUGGGGAAUUUUCAACGUCAAAUUGCAAAUUUGAGUAUUCUUUCUUAAUCCUACGUGGUCGACCGGCGUCGGUGAACGCAAUACGUGGGUAGGUCAGAUCUGCUCUAGCCUGUUGAGGACCGCUGGUGACAAAUUUAAAGUACUUUUAUGACCAAAAACUGCAUUUUAAUAGUAUUGGGACCUAGAUGACACCACGCCAAUACUUUUAGAACUUGCCAUGCAUUUAACUCUAACUUUAAAUAGUAACCUAACUUCACCUAUAAAACGAUCAAUCAGUUCAUGCAAAAGCUGAUCGACCAUAUUUCUAAGUCGUGUAAAUAAUAUAACAAUACAAAUAUGUGUGAGUCAAAAAAUAAAAAUGCACAAAUAUUUCCCGCAAAACUUAAAGUAGAGGGGUACUGAGAGGAGGCAUCACGUUGAUCUACAUCAUUAGAAUUAUUUAAACCUUUACAUCUUAAUUAUAUCUAAACAUCAAUGUUUAAUGAGGGAAGAUAUGUUUAUUGGACUAGCAUGGAAAUCAAAUUGGUUUAGCAUAAAACGUCAAAUUAGUCUACGGCCCACCCAGACCCAAUAUGUUGCGGUUAGUGUUAAAAUACGUUAGACGAUCAAUAUUUUACGACCUCUCGUGUUUAUUUUUGUUGUUCCUUCACGAAUCAUGAGAGCAGUAAGUAGUAAGAGCAUCAUCAUUCGUCAUAAUCUAUUCCUUUUGCGGGGAUGAGUUAUUAGCCGGCAUUUGAAAAUUAUAACUAUUAUCAAUACAUGAUCCCGAAAUUUAACCCUGGCUACGAAUUGACAUCAUGUAGUUAGGAAAUGACUGCUAGGGAACCAAACACGUCCUUAUCAAAUAUUGCUACAAAGUACCGUAGAAAACAAACAUCUAGCUCAAUUGUGAUAGUAUAUUCAAGUAAAACUUUAAAAUCUUGUAUUGUGACUUAUUAUCAAGAAAAAUCUUACCUACCAAUAUAACUUGACAUACACACGAUUAUCAGUGCGAAUAACCGAUCCACCUAUUGCCGCAUGUGAACUUGAAUUUUGUUUACAAAUGUUAUGUAUAUCACCUCUCAUCAACCGUGUUAGGUAAAUACUAGCGGUUGAUGGGUGAUCUGAAUUUUAACUACAAAAGGUAAGGUAAUAUCACAUACCAAUAAUCAAUUCGUCUGAUUCAAAAAGUUGACCGACCAGUCGACGUGCGACCUAACCUUCAGUUCUUGAUUUCAAUAUAAAAAUACAGAUAAAACACCGUCUCAUGUUCAAAACAAAUUUGACUCAAUAUACUACCGUACUUCUAGGGGUUGUGAGAUUGAUUAAUUAUAAUUUUCUAAAUAUGCUGGGUUCAUUAAUCCCGUCUUCUUAGCGACAUGUGUGUAACUAGCAGAACAAUAUGUAUCUACGUUGGAUAGAAAAUAAUGAUAAUUAAGACCUUUCCUGCGCAAUUGCGCGCAAUGCUAGUAUAAGAGAAGAAAUAAUCAGAGAAUUACACGUAUACACGUCAUAUUCUGGCAGCAACGCUCCCAUGGGCAGCAGUCAGCUCGUGCGUCGGCCACCAGGCAGCGAGCCGUGUGCGUGGCAGCAUGGGCGUUCGGCAGCGGCAGACACACAUGGUUGCCCGUAGAGCAGAGGAAGGUGAGAAACCCAGAAGGGAAAUAGCGAAUUAGAGAAUUGAGGAGCAGAGUGAAUAGCCGAGGUAGAUUGAAGAAGUGAAGAGAGAAUUCAAAAGAAAAGAAGAAGAUGAUUAGGUCGGCAUAAACGGACGCUAUCGGGGUUUGCGAUUUGGACCAGGAGUCCAUGCAUGCAGAUGACAGAAGGGCGAUCAGGAGACAGCUUGGGGGCUCCCUUGUAACCUUGUUCAUGAACUGGGCCAGAAGAUACCUAUUUAGUUAUUAUUUUCUGUUUAGGCCCGGGUUGGCGUCCACGUAGCUCCACCGGUGCCUGUGUACUACUCAUUCAUCGUUGAAGACGCCCUUGUCGAGUUGUUCGAAGGUCGUCGGCGCCUAUUCACCUUGGUGUUUGGUUUGUGUUAACCAAACACAGGAAACACGAGUCCAACACUGAUGCUCAUAACUUAGCUAAACUAGCCUCGUUCCUGCCGGUGGGCUGUGUGUAUUUUAGAUGUGCCGGACGUUAUUGCUUGUAUUUCCUCCGUCCAAUAAAAAAUUUAAAUGCAUCUAUACACUAAGUCAUGCUUAAAUACAUUCAAAUUUUAAUAAACUUGAGACAUCUUUUGUUGGACCAAGGAAUAUUCUGAAUUUGUGUUAAAUGAAAAGUCUGGCUUUGCCUAAAAGAAAAACCUGUUUCUUCUGUAACUUGUCCUGUUUCUUUUUUCCCUAAGAAAAACUUGUGCUUCUUACCGUGAGUUCUUCCCAAAAAAAAAGUCUGCAUUGCAAUUAUGUGACAAAAAUUGGCAUGAUUAUGUUCGUAUUUGAAAUUACUUACUAAUUUUGUUUCACUUAAGCUGCACACAUAAAGGCUUGUUUAAAAAAAGAAAUGGAGAGACUAUAUAUUAUAUAUUUUUUUAUAAAAAAGUCUGAUUAUUCGCGGUAAAAAGAAAUCGUCCUGAACCUGAAUAGAGUCAGACCGGGUCACGUUUGCAUCGGCGCAUGCAGAAAUAUCGGUGCAAAAGCCCAGGCGCUUUUGGUCAAGGCAGACGACGCCCGUUGCUUUGGGUAAACAGUUGCAGGGUCUUUGCAGGUCUUUUGCAGGGUCUUUGUUCCCGGAGAGCGGAGUAUAUCUCUAUGACCUGCUGGCCCAUAUCCUACUGCUACAGCGAAAUGCUAAUAACACCCGCCCUUUGCUCUUUGGAUUCCAGUGGCAAGAGGAAAGAAAAUAUUGCUACUGGAAACUGUAAAAGAAAGAAAAGCACAAACAGUGCCAUGUACAAUUCCUUGGUAACCAUAGCAAUCAACUUUUUCUGCACCGGCUACCUGACACAAGAAGCCAGGCCCAAGGCCACCACCGCCUCCAUCCCUCACCGCGGAGGCAGCAUUGGCCAUCGAGCGGCGCCUCUCCCCGCCAUAGCCUCUCCUCUUCUGCCCUCGGAUCUACGGCAUACCGCUGCUCUUCUCCCUCCGGUCUCUUUGUUUCCUUUGAUCCUCUUGUCGACGGAGAUGGUGGAUUUCUCCCCUGCGCCUCCAUCGCUGGUUCCUCCGUCCACGCGUGCUGUCUGCGACCCUCAAAAACCUCCCGCGCACGACACGCUGCCACUCCCUAUCGGCGUUCCAUCGCCUCUCCUGUCGCCGGCGGUUGGCUUCAUCGACAUGGCGCCGGACGAGGAGACGGGCGCGUCUGCCUCUCUCUCCACCACCUUCGUCUUCGCCGCCGCGUCUACCCCUCUCUCCACCACCAGACCGACGCCCCGGUCCAGGCUGUCUCACCGGAGGCCGACGCCACCAUGGCCUCCUCGUCCGACGGCGGUCCCUACGUCUGGGCGGACGCAGCUGCCCUACCGGAGGCCGACGCCGUCGCCUUCGAGUCCGUCAGUUCCGAAUCAACAUGUGAUAGAUAUUUCUGAGAUCGAGGAAGACAAGCAGUAAGGGGAUGGAGAUGAGGACAUUAGCAUCGGAGUGGCACUAAACAUCAGCAAUGGUGGCAAUCACAAUGGACAGAACACAUCUGCAGCUGCUGCUGGAGGAGGAUCAGGAGAAGAUGGACGAGACAGUCAGCUUGCAGCAAACCAACCUGCUGGAGGAGGAGAUGAAAGAGGGGAGAUUGGUGACAACGCAAGAUGGUACCAGACUCCUUAUGCCUGUCUCUCAUACGUGCGGGGGAUUUGGGGUGACCGGCAUCAGACUCCUUAUGCCUAUAUCUCAUACGUGCUGGUUAUUUGUUUAUUUUAUCAUGGUCUGCUCUGUGUGCUAUCAUGGUGGAUCACACUCGGACUCUCACAAGAAACACAGCAGAAAUGGGGCCGUUGGAUUUGGGCUGCCGUGUGGAUGAUCUCAAUACCUUUACUCGUCUUGCCAUACCUGAGGUUCUACGGUUAUGCUAGGACGAUAGCAGCGGCGGCCGCCGCAGCUAGGAGGGCAGAAAAUCCAGCAGCAAACGAGCAAAAUGAUGAGUACCGAUUCAGUGCUGUGAAUGCAAAUGCUUUGAUGAUGCAUGUAAGUGGUGCCGCUAGAAUAGUGUACAUGGUGGUAGGCACCUCUUAGCCACUCGUCGUGAUUGCUCAUGCAGUGGCUUUCCUUGUUGAGGCACUAGACCUGGUGUUAAAUUACCUGGCUGAAGGAGGAGACGUCCACGUUCGCUUGCCCCAGGUAUAAUUUGCAAAGGAAGACCGUUGUCAGGAGAUUCUCACAGCUGCUGGCAUAUUUCUCUUAUUAUGUGUUUAAUUUGCAAUACUCAAGUGCAUUUGUUUCUAUGAACCAGAAGUUUGAUUUGGGGUUCGUAACUGUGAUGUUUGGUACUUUGGACUUGUUCCAUAUAUUUUAAAACGACAUCUGUUUGUAAUUUGCAAUGCUGGUGAUUGGGAAUUAGUCCAUAUGUGAUAUGUUUGUGUAUUAUAUUGGGAAAAUUGAAUUGUCACAUUGAUGUAAUUGUUCAUAGUCACAUCAGGAGCUGUCCAUGGCUCCAUGCUAUGAUUAUGGGCUCUCACGGGGGCUAGCAAAUACGAAGAUCUCUAUUCUUGCUGGGAAAAUUACGGACUGAAAGAUAACUGUUUGUAUUUACGAAAGGAGUGAAUGUUCCGACGAUUUUAUUUUAUGCCAGGAUCGGUAGUGCAAAGCUACGUAUUUUGGUUGGAAAAAAUUGUUUUAACGCGGUAACAACGGGGAUACCGCGGAUUUGGGUUAAGAUAAAUUAAUGAGCUUGAGUUAGCGAAUUUAUUUUAGCUGUGCCCAUGAAAUUAAUUUCAGAUGGCGCUGAUUAACCACUUGGGAUUGCGUAUGCUACGGCUGAGUGUGGGAUGGUAAACAAAUUACUUAGGCCUAUUCGGUUUGUAGAAAUCUCAUAGGAAUUUUCCAGGAUUUCAACCCUUAUGAAUUUUUUCUAUGUGUAGCAUUCGUUUUAUAGGAAUGAAACUGUUACAUUCCUAAGGAUUGGGUCCAAAUUGACCUGAUUCCUAAGGAUUUUAAGCAUUAGGUAGGACUUCAUUUUAAAUUCCUAAGGAUUGAAAUGUUAUGCACACUCCAAUCCUCUACUUUUCCUAUCCCUGUGGUUUCAAAUUCCUAUGAACCGAAUGGCCCUUAGAGCAUUUGUAGCAGGUUUCCUAAAUCCAUUUCCAAUCCCUAUCUAUCACAUAUCCUAAAAGGUGAAAAAACAUGUUCCAGUAGGUUUCCCGUGUGGUUCACAACCCUAAAAUAUUUAGAUAACUCUCUAAAUUCUCUCUUCUCAUCCCUAAAUCUACAGAAUCAACACCCCGUUCCCUAAACACCAACAAGCAUAUGGGGAAAAAGAAGGUCUCGAUUCUUUCCGUUUUCGCUAGUGAGGAGAGGGAAUGCGGUGGAGAUCAGGAUUGGCCAAAAAGUGAGAAAGAGAGGAAGAAGAGUGUGAAAGAAAAAAGAAAAAGAAAAAAUGCAUCUUGUAGUCGGGUGAAUAUGCCCUUCCCUAAAGCUCCAUGACAUGUAGGCCCAUGCACAAUUGGAGCCAUGCUGGGUAUUAUUCCGGGUGCGCGCAAAAGAGGACAUCUUUGCUUAGAGUUAGAUUAUGACUCAAGAUCGAGUGAAAACACACCGCCUGGAAAUUCCCCAAGAAGUACGGCGCGGAACGGCACGCACGCUGGAAGCAUAAAGAAAUCCAUGCUCAAGAAUUAGAUUUCGCUUAUGUUUUAGGAUGUGGCUUUUUCUAAGUCACUUGGUUUUUAAGAAUUGAGCCUUAAAUAUCAGUCUAUUUUUCAGACUAGUUGGAUUAAGAUCCUAGGGUCAUCCUCAUUCUCUCAUCUUCCAUUUUUUAUGAUCGGAUUAAGAUCCACACACCGGUGGUGGGUAACCUGGACCGCCACUAAGCCUGCGCCACUGGUGCUAACGAGCACCGGUGGCGGUGAUGAUACCCGCCACCGGUGCUAGCCAGCACCCGUGGCGGUUUGCACAACCGCCGCUGGUAAUCCGUAGGGGAGCUCAGAAAGUGCAUCGGUGGCCGUGGGAAGCACCGCCACUGUAAUGUACCAGUGGCGGUGCUUACCCACCGCCACUGGUGGUAUACUAGUGGCCGUUAUGCCUCACCGCCACUGGUAUGCUUUCGUAGCACCAGUGGCGGUUCUCUGUCACUGUCACUGCUACAUGGACAACAUGUCAUGUCGUCCCCUUUUCUCAACAUAUGUUCCGUGGUGGCAUAAGUGAAGUCCUUCAGUUUUCUUAUCCACUCUUCGCAAUUUCUUGUCUCCUCGUACAUCCAAGCACGGCUCAUCGAGCUAAAACACGAUAAACAAACAUAAAUCAAGUUACAUAUAGUAUCACACAAAAUUUCGGCAUGACCUUUGCUAUAAAAUUUACAAAUUUUGCAAAAAAUGCCAAAUAAACACCCACCCACACCCAUAUGUGAACACAACCGGCACAAUGGCCAGUAUACAUGUACAAACAAAAAUAUUCACAAACACGGCACGAUGGCCGCGGAACAUGCACAUUCAACACGUAUUUUAUUGAGAGAGAGCAGCUUAAUUAAUCACAUAGGGGAACAGAGGGAGAGAGAGGGGACCAGAGAGACAGAGGGGAGGGGGCGUGCGUGCAGCAACCAGAGAGACGACAGAGGGGAGGGAGAAAUGGAGCUAGGGGAAGAGUGGGGGACCUCCCAAGCAAGGGGGCCAGCCGGGACAGCUCCUGGAGAGAGAUUGAGCUCUCCCGGCCGCCGGCGCCAUUUCAGCCACAUCGAAGAAGAAGAGAAGAGAGGAAGGAGCUAGAGGAAACGAGAGGGAGAGGAGGAAGGAGAGGCAAAGGGAGCAACCUUCCGGCCACCGGCGUUAUGGAAUUUUGGCAGAGCUUCGCCGUCGCCUGUGUGUUCAGGAGCCGCAACUGGUCCAGAGACACGCGAGCUGAGGAAGAUAAGCCACGGUAACUUUGCUUUAUACAGAACUUACCAGUGGCGGUUUAAAGAAUCUACCCGCCACUGGUAAACGGGAUGGAAAUCUCUGAGGAGCACUAGUGGCGGGUAACCGAUGUGGCCACUGAAACUAGGAGCACUAGUGGCGGUGCCAGCACUCAUGCGGCUUCCACCGCCACUAGUGCUCCACUAACAGCGGCGGUGGAAGCUAACCGUCACUGGCACUCGUUUCAGAUUCUUCCAACGACUUACCAGUGGCGGUUUGUUUUUUCGACCACUCUAACCGCCACUAGUGCUCGUGCGCUGGUGACUACUAAGCAGCUCCAGUGGCGGUGCUGGUCGUGCGAGUGAUUUCACCGCCACCGGUGCUCCACUAGCAGCGGCGGUGGUUGCUCACCGCCGCUGGUCUUCGUUUUGGAUUCCUCCAACGACGUCCGGUGGUGGUGAAUGUUUUGGACCAUCUGUACCGCCACUGGAGUUCGUGCGCCAGUAACCCAUUAUGGCGUAGUGAUCCAACAGCUAGCAUGUCGACUGAUCUCCAACUAAAGAACAUGUGGUUUUUCAAUAGCUAAAUCGUAUUUUUAUGGUAUACUAGCAAUAAAAGUUGCACAAGGGAGAACUAUCGACCCUAGUAAUCGACCCCGAUGUGUCGGGAUCAUGGGGGCCCACGUCCCGGACGGUUUACCCUCGUCGUUACUCGACCCGAAGAAGUGACAUCCCGCGACCGCGAUCCCGUUCCUCGACCCGAACGAUCCAGAUUCAUGCAUGCAUGCAUGGCAACUAUGGUUCCACUUGGACACUCUUAUUUAUCCAACAAGCUAGAUCAGAAAUUAUAACAAAGAAUAAGUAUAACAUAGGGUACACGGCCGGCAGCGACAUUGUGGCCGAUAGAGUCGAAGCAAGGGAGGCAGGCUCGCUAGCACGCGUCGCAGGCGGGCAGAUCGGCGACCCGGACAGUGCGCUUGUCGUUGCUACGCCGCGGCCAGUGUUCGCAUGCAUGCAGGCAGGCAGAUGGCCCCGAUCACCCCUAAUAAGAUCGUGUCAAACUUGGUGGCGCCGGAGAUGACGCCCGUGCUGAUCAGAACGACCGAGAUGAAGGGGCAGAGGCUCGCCACGGACGAGCAGACAAAGAUCGCCAACUCCUCCACUUCCUCCUCCAUCGUGUUCUCGCCCAGCUGAUUCCCUGCUGUUGACGACGAUUCCUCUCCUUUCUCCAAUCUAGAUCGAAUUCGUUAAUUGAUAUCGAACUUGACACCAAGUUCUGUAGUUUCGAUGCAGGCGAUUUCGAUCUGACUAUCUGAGGAACACGAUCGAACUGCACACAUGAGACAGCAAUAUACUCGGUAGUCUGUAGCCUUUUUUUUCCCCUUUUUGAAGCGAAAUAAGAGGGGUCUAUUCUGUACUGGACAAGAGUACGUAAUGCGUACAGCAGUCCGGGGGGGUGUACGUGAUGCGUUCGGAUUGCCUAAUCGUUGGAUGUGAUCGGCUUUACGUCGUGCAAUUUCUUUUAGGUGGGCCGCGCAUCGACGAAUCACCCGAGAUAUUUUGGUUGGGCCACGCAGACGACAGACCUAGGCCCCAAAGAGAAAUCCUCAUUCGAGCCUCAGCUGGUUUGACGACCAAGAAUUCAUUUCAUUUGAUCAAAAUGAAAUGAAAUUUAAUUUUUGAUAAGAUUUUAUUUGGUUGAAUUUGUAUUUCUGGUUGAAAAAUCAUGUUCGUCUACCACAUGGAAUUAAAGAGUGAGAGACAAUUCUAAAAAAAUGAUGGCUUUUAAAGAGAAAUUAAGACUAGUUAUAGUGUGAUUUCAUGGAAUUUGAGAUUGAAUUCCUGUGGCUAAUUCCGUGCCAACCAAACAAGUUGUUUUUGGAAUUCAAAAUGAAUUCUACAAUUCUAUGCCCAAAUGAUGGGUGCCAAACGAGCUGUUAGUGAAAAAAUCCUCAACUUUGAGAAAAUUACUUAAAACCAACACAUUUGGAGCAUGUGUCUAGGAAAACUAUCUUUAUUUAAAAAAAAUCAAAUUACCACCGUUUUUUGGGACACGGGUACUCCCGCGCACUGAUUUCGCAGUUAAGUCCGUUUUGACGGUAAAACUGACAAGAGGUCACCUCGUGGUGCCAACGUGGAGCCACGAUGGACAAAUCGUCCACCUUGCCAUCCCUUACCCGAGCCCUCCUCUCUCUCCCUUUUCUUCUCCAAUUCCGGCCAACUCUAUAGCCCAACUCCGGCCGCUCCCCGUCGACCUCUAGGCCUCCCUGACCCCGCGCGUCGCCCUGCACCCUAACCCACAACGCCUGAACCCCGCGCAUGCCCCAAGGCCCCCGCGCGAGGUCGACUUCCACGCCUCCGGCAGUGCGCCGCCGCUCCCCAUUUGCCCAACCGAAGCCUCCCCCGCUUCUGGCGCCAGGACGUCCGCCUCUCUUUUGCGAAGCCACCGACGCCCUCUCCCGAGCCCGUUGCUGCCCGGAGCGCCCCCGCGUCGUCGCUCCUCUGCUGGUCGUGUAGCUCCAGGUUCGGUUCCCCCGACGCGCCGCCCCUCCUCCCUACGCGCGGCACGAGCCGCGGCGCACAAGUCCCCCUCCUCCCGAACGUGGGGCACGAGCAGCGACGCACGAGCCGCCCCUCCUCCUGACGCGCGGCGCGAACAACUUCCUCCCGACGCACGGCACGAGCAGCGGCGCACGAGCCGCCCUCCUCCCUAUGCGCGGCACGAGCAACGGCGCACGAGUCCCCCUCCUCCCGAAAGCGGGGCGCGAGCUGCGGCGCACGAGCAGCCCCUCCUCCAGACAUGCGGCGAGCAGCGGCGCACGAGCCCCCCCCUCCUUCUGACGCGCGGCGGACGACCAGAGCGCCGCCGCGAUGGGCAGGUCGAACAGCGUGCAGAGCUGCCCAUGUCCCAUGCUCGGAGCGGCGGCGAAGACACGGAUGGAGCCAGGCGCGCCGCCUGGAGCAGCUUGUCCACGGCCAUGGGGGAGGUUUCUCCGGGACGAAUUCCACCGCAGGACAGCAAGUAGUCCACGUCCGCGGGGAAUGGUUAUAAUUCGUUUUCUUUCUUUGCUGGCUGAUGAGUGUUGAUGUGGCGCCACGUUGGCUCCAAGAAGUGGGUCCCAUUGUUAGAUUUACCAUCAAUUUACGUUGAAAGAUUACUGUUUGGAGUGACGGGUGUCCCCAAAAUCGGUGUGAUUUUUUUUUAAAGGUGGUUUACGUAAUUUUCUCCCUAAACUUUUUGCGACACUGAUAACGAAGAAAUUUAUUGCUGCGGCAAGCGCAAAUCCAUGUCGCUCCCGAGAUCGAGCUCAGCUCUCACUGUAUGCCGGCGUAGUCGACGGCGCCGUAAGGCUGGAACCACUCGGCGAGGAGCCCCUUCUUCCUCCUCGGAUCGCACCCCAUAUCACGGCACAGCUCGUCGUUAUACCAGACGUUCACCGCGCCCAAGCACGACCUCCUGAAAUGCUCCCCGCCGCCGCCGCUCCUCCGGUAGUACCUCCCCCACUCCGCCACGCUCCCCUCCAUCCGCCUUACGCCGGGCAGCCGGAACGCGCCGUCCAGCAGCCGCGCCACCCACUUGGACAUCAUCUCGCACACGUAGAUGUUGUUGAGCCCCUCCGCGUACCCGACCACCGCCAUCUGCGGCACCCGCGGGUGCACGCAGUUCCGGUACAGCGGCACGGCGGCGUCGGGCGACCCGGCCACGAUCGCCUUCAGUCUGGGGGACGCGAACAUGUCCCUCAGCUUCUGGUCGCCGCGGUACCCCGUGGCGAGGAUUACCACGUCGGCCGGGAUCUUCUUCACGGUGCUCUCGCUCUCGCCACUGUUGUCGAGGAAUUCCAGCCCGUCCCUGGAGAAGGUGAAGGGCGAGGCCGUAGGGAGCUUCCUGAAGACGAUGCUGCCUUGCUUGACCUUGUCGUAGAAGCCGUCGGGGAGCAUGGCGAUGAGGCAGGAGGAGACGCAGCUCGCGAACCCGUGCCCGGGCUCCAUGCCGUGCUCCCGCAUCGGGAUCGCGCUCCGGUAGUACGCCCCUGUCACCGCGGACACCAGCCAGCCCAGAGGCGUGAGGAGCGUGGCCAGGAGGCGGGAGAUGACCCCGGCGCCGGGCUUGGCGACCAUGAGCUCCGCGAAGCGGUUCAUGUAGAGGUAGCCGAUGUUGAGCUUGCCCCAGAUCUGCGUGUCGUGCAGCAGCCACUGCGGGUUCCUGCAGACCAUCGUGCACGGCCGCUCCGCACCUGAUUGAUCCAGAGGCAGAGCAAGCAAGUAAAGGAAAGGAUUCAACUUCAGCCAGCUAGCUAGCAGAAAUUAAUGGCUGCGCCGUGUGCGAUGUCUCUCCGUCUCUUUGAGUGAUGAAGUGACUGACCGUUGGCGUCGGCGCAGUCGGCGGCAAUGUCGAAGGCGGACUUGCCGGAGCCGACGACGGCGACGCGCUUCCCCUUCAGCAGCGCGGCGGCGUCCGCGUGGCCCAUGUCGGAGAGCUCCAUGGAGUGCAGCACGCGCCCCUUGAACGCUUCCGGGCCACGCCCAGGCGGGAACGCCGGGACAUUCGGCACGCCGCUGAACCUGCCCACGCACAGGAUCAGGAAGUCAAACUCGCACACCUCAGUCGUCGUCUUCUCCGGCUCCGGCUCUCCAUGGCAAUGGCGCACGGUGAGGCGCCACACGCCCGUGCCGUCCCCAAACGCCUCGCCGUUGCCGUUCCACCGGUCCCACCCGUCGGCGGCGUCCUCGCAGCCGCCGUCGCCGACGUGCUCGGCGGAGACGACGGUGCUCCGGAAUCUGACGCGCUCGAGGACGCCGAAGCGGCGCGCGUAGACGGCGAGGUAGGCGGCGACCUGGGCGCUGCGCGGGUACGCGUCCGUGGACUCCGGCCAGGGGAAGUCGGAGAAGCGGUAGACGGCGGCCGGCGACUGGAGGCGCGUGGAGGCGAGCGUGCGCGUCCAGAGCCCGCCCACGGCGGCGCCGGCCUCGAAGACGACGGGGCGGAAGCCGCGCGCGAGGAGGUGCUUGCAGACCGCGAGGCCGCUCGUGCCGGCGCCCACGAUGGCCACCCUCUUCGCCCUCUGAUCCAUUUCGAGCGAUCGAUCGGCCGGUCAGCGCAGCCGGGUGAUGUUUCUUGGAUUGUGAUCUACUAGCAAUUCUCAAGGUUAAUCCAAAGAAGUACUGCUGCUAAUAUUCCGAUUAUUAUAUGCAAGUGGCUGGGCGCGGAUCAUGUGCGGCAUUUUUUAAUCGGAAAAUUUGUUGCUUCGAUAUGGUUCGGUUCGGGCAAUGUGCAGUGCCGUUCGAUCUUGGCUGCUUCAUGGUCAUGGCUUUUUCUUAACCUCAUGGUCAUGGCUUUACCCUAUCAACGUGGUCCAAGAGGCUACUUGGGAGAGGGAUUGUACUAGUGAGCUCAUGGAUACUAGUUGGGCGAGACUAUUUUCUCAUGUCAAAUUGUCAACUAUCUUAGCCUCUAAGAUUUGUAUUAGUAUACGUGCAGAUUAUUUUUUCAAGCUAAGAAUUGUGCUAGAUCUCUCUGGAUUUAUAAGUCUAGCUCUGCUAUUCCGCAGCCCGCAACCGGUUGCAGAUUAUAACUACUCUUUAUAAGUCAUCCGCGUGUUCAAAUAUCACCAAUUUAACUAACAAAAUAUAAGUUAUAAAGAGGUAAUAUUAUUGUAGACUCUCUUGGUUAUAAAAAGAUUUCAAUAUCGUCCAACGGUAUACUUCGACGUCAACAAAGGUAAUCCAACUUUUGAGUAUACAAAGAUAGAAAAGUAAGAAUUGUCAUAUUUAAGAAAUUCUUGGAGCCCGAACUAACGGCUUUGGAGUUUUUUCUCAGAGGAGGGGUUUCGAGAUUGCUGCCUCCUGGGAAUGAUAAGGAGAUUCACCCACUAUCUUGUAAGGAUAAAAAAGUUUGAGGGAUGAAAAUGUUAAAAUGUAUCGGUGGCUGACUGGCUGCCGUGGCUGGUGCCUGCGAGUGCGAGUCCGCGACCUGGGAGACGGGGAGGGGCUGAGCAGAUGGAUGAAUCCUGGUCGUUGUUUCUAAUUCGACGACCUAGAAUCACUUGGAAGGCUCCGGGUGUAUAGAACUAGAAGUCCAAAACUCUCUUCUCCUUCUCACCGUGCCCUACAGUCGUCCCCGUGCUGACGUGUUGUAACCACGCGUCGUCGCCUCUUACGCGCGUCACCGGUUUGCCGCCAUCGCCAUUCCAUUCGUGCUGUCUCCAUCCCGGCGGAAGUCUUUGGCCAUUGGGUUUUGAGGUAUGAGGUUGUUCCCAUCCAGCGAUUUGUUCAAUCCCACCGACCUUCACCAUUUCUGGAUCCACCCCAGGCGCCCGCGCGCCUGCUUGUGCCGAAGCGGCGGUCGCCAGAGUUUACAGAACGCGAGACUAGUUCAAUGCUGCCGCUUGUUGAUUUCCAAUUGGGGAACUAGGUAUAGCAACGGGGUGUGUUUUUGGAUGUUUCGCUGGAUACAUGGGCGAACGACAAUUUUGUUUUGAGCUAGGGCGAACUAAUAUCCAUACACAUAAUAUUUAAUAUUUAUUUAUGGUCGCAACAAUGUAUUUUGAUGUAUUUUUUUAGGUUUUUAAUAAUUUGUGUGACAUUGUAUUUCUCAACAUUUAAUAUUUGAAUAGGUAAAUUUGUAUUGAUUUUGGGAAUCAAUUUAAUAUUUACGAGUGCUCAUAACAAGGCGACUACAAUAAGUCUCAUAGAAAUACACAUCACUAGCAAAUAUUAUAGUUAUAUCUUUGUGCUACGUAUCUUUGGUAAUCUAAUAUUUCAUACAAGGCUAUAACAAAUCUAUAUAAUCUAUAAAGUUGAUCUCCACUAUCUUCAUUAAAUGUUUGCAAACUUGACAUGUAAGGUGCCCACCUCACCAUUCAUCCACAUCCCCACUAAGGUGCAUUUAGUGUUUGUAAAUUACACAUGCAAGGUGUCCACCUCACCAUCCACAUCAUGCACAUAAUGCAAGCCGACAAUCAAUUCAUUUUGGUGGCACCUUAUACAAUUCAAAUUUUUAUCAUCUAAGGCUUUUCACCCACAUGACCAUCCACAUCAUGCACGUCAUGCAACCCGACAAACAAUUCAUUUUGGUGGCACCUUAUACAAUUCAAUUUUUUAUCAGACUUUUCACUUAAAAAUGUCACAAGUACCAUGGUUCUAGAAUAUUCAUAUUUCUUUUACAUUUGAUCAUUUUAUUAUCAUCAUAUUUCUUCUGAAUUUGAUCAUUUUAUUAUGUGUUCGUAACAUCAAUUUUGGCUACAAAUAUGCUCAUCAUGCAACUACAAAUAUGCAAAUAUAAUUUUCCGCGGCAACGCGCGAGGAAUCACCUAGUACAUAUGGAUUGUCAACUUAGGUUUUUAUAACUGUUAAUCUGUAGUUAUACGUUUUAUUCUAGAAACAUCUCCGUACUUACAAAAAAAAGAUCAAGUAGAUAUGUGACAUAGCAAACCAGAUUAUUCUCAGUUAACAAUAGUAUAAAAAAUAUAAAAUAAUAAAUGUAUUGUGUAUAAAAUAAUUGGACCGGGCUGGCCCGAGGCCCGCCUAUGCCGUGUCAGGGCUACAACCUCAGGCCCUCAGGCCGGCCCGGACACGAACCGUUUAUCUAUUUUCUUUUUUUUAAAUUAAUACAUUUGGCCAUUGACUUUUUUAAUUCUGAUCCAACCUAACUCAUUUUUACAUUUGGUCCUUUGACCCAAAUCUAACAUUUCUUUUACUUUUUUUUACCUUAGGCCUGAGGGGGCUUGACGGGCCGUUGGCCACCUAUAUUUUGGCCCAUCCCGGUGCCGGGCGCCCCGCCCACCCUCGCUCCGUCCCUCAUCUUCCUCCUCGCGCGAGCGCCGCCACCCCUCCCUCCCCAUCCCGCUGCCGGGCGCCGCAGACCCCUGCCUCGUCUCCUCCACCGUAGGUAUCUAUCUCCCAUUCGAUUCUCUCGGUCCCGACCUCCCAUCACCCCACGAGGCCCCUUCAGUUCCCCGUCAUAAUCUUCCCCAAUUCGUAACUGAGGCAAAAAUCAAGGUAGGGAGGCCGCCCUACCUUGCUCUACCGGGUCCUCCGCCCGUGGCUGGAUGAAUGGGUUUUGGGGGGAGAAAAUGUUGAGGGGAGUUAGAAUAAUCAAUUUUGUUUGCCAAUGCUAAUGUGUGUACGGACCGCUGUAGCUCCUCCCUGUUACAGUACCCGCUAGAUCGUAAUUCAUCGGUUACUUGAUAGGCCUGAAAUUCCCAGUCCCUAGUAGAUAGAGGAAGCCAUUUGUUUGUUUUUAUAUUGUAGUGUUCAAUGUUUUGUCAUUUGUGCUCCGUACUUAAACAUCACUAGCAUGUUCCGGAUAACAGCAUAAGCAACGGAUGUGUGAAUGUGUGAUUGUGUAGUGUGUAUUAAAUUUUGCCUGAAAAAUGCACAACAAAUGUAGGCAAAAUUACAGGAAUUAAGUGGCACAAGUGAACCUGUCAAAGUGGCAGGUUGGUAUGUCUUGGUAACUUGUUGGCUGAAUUGUAGUUCUGUACUGACUACUUUGCAAAUUCAUCACUGAUGUGUAGAUAUUUGAAUCCAGGUUGAUUAGCUGCAUUCCUGCACAGGUACCAUGCCUGCUGGUGACAACCCACACUCGAUCUCAGAGAAAAAGGCAGCAUUGAGGGAGUCACCCAAACAAUCUAAAAGUGCUGUUAUUCAGCAAGACAUAACUUCUUCUUUUCCUAAAGACAAAGCUGCUGAGAGUGUUGGCAUCAAGAGGCCACAGUUUAAUGGUGCCUUGACUCCAGCCAACCAUCAUAUGCCAGGAAAUCCAGGGACAAAUGGACAUCUUGUAUACGUGCGCAGGAGGCAUGAAACUGAUCAAAGCAAAGGUGGCACUUCUGUAAGUGCAGAAACUUUCACUUCUCUAAGCUCAAAGAAACCUGUUCUAGGUGGAUUGCAGGAAGAAAGUUUGAAUCAUCAGAACAGUGUGCCUCGUACUCAACCAGCUCCUGUUUCUGCGUCCCCUGCUGCGGCUGCUACUGUUCCUGCUUUGCCGUCUGGAAAUUUGCCGGGUCACUUUUCUUUUGGGAAACAAUCUCAAGAGAAGGUUACUGUUCAUCCGAGUAUUGUUGUGACUGCCAGCCCACCACAUCGCAAUGUUGUGUCUGCUGCAAUGCCUCGGAAUGUUACAGCUACUAAUAUAGCACCUACUAAUGUUGCGGCCACUAGCACAGCAUCCCGCGAGGCUGUAGCUACUACUGCAGCACGUAAUCCACCAGAUUUGCAAAGAUCAACCAAUGAAGAUAGGAAAGAGAGGUUUAUUCGGCUGCAGGCAUUCUUGAGAAAUAAUGAGCAAUCGGGCCAAGAUGAAUAUAUCCGCAGUAAGAUUUCCUAUCUUAUGUCACAAAAGCUUACUGCUACUGUUGUCUAAUAUAAAUUGUGUCCUUUGGCUAAACUGUAGUUCUACGGUCUUUGUCAUCGGUUGACCGGAGGAAGCAUGCCAUUGAGCUAGAGAAACGAGCAGUCAAUCUUUUGAUCGAAGAAGGUAUUCUUCAAUCCCUUUUUCUGCUAUAUUAAACUUGCAUUUGAACAACUGCUUCAGUUUAUACUUAUUUCGCAUAUCGAUCAACAUGAAUCUGUUUACGGAAGCUUGAGAAUUUGCUUUACUUAUUAUUUUUGUUCCCUUCAGGGAAGGAGCUGCAGAAGAUGAAAGCUCUGAAUGUACUUGGCAAGCUUCCGUCCACCGAGCAUCUAUCACUACCAACUCAGCCCACUUUUGCGAUGCGCUUGCCGUUCGAGCCAUUCCCAGCCCGUCGUUGAAAAGAGAGGGAAAUCAGAUUUGCCACCGCAUAAUAAGUGCUUAGAGACUUUCUCAUAAAUGCUGCAACAUGGUCAAUAUAUUUUGCCUUCGCAGGAAUAAGCUGUUCAUGCAUAUCUCCUAGACAUGAUGCUAGCUCAACUGCCAUGCACUCAGUGCACCAAAUCCACAUAAUUUUGCUGCGGUUUGUGCAAGUUUCCUAUGAAGAAGGGAUGGGUCUGCUUUUAAAAAGCUAACAAGGGAUGUAUCUAAUGUACUCUGAAGAUAACUGCUUAGUGUGCUAUGCGAGACCAUUGCCAAAUUGAUUUGAACAUGGGGGCAUGUGGUUCACAAACUUCCCUAGUCUCUCUGUCCAGUAUAUUCAACUAGUCGCUGUGCUGCACUGACGUAGACUAGCAGUAUUGUUUCUUUGUGUCUGCUGUAUCUCCUCUUGUUUAAUUGCACGGGGACAUCAAGGUACGAAUUGUGGCAGCAAAAAGAGAGAAAAAAAGUGCUGGUAAUUUGACCAAGAUGCUUCAUUAUUGAUGCUUAUACAUAUAUACCUACCGAUGACGACACCCAUGAUUAAGAAAGGAUUAUCACUUAAUAAUGGAUCGGGACAUGCAUGCUCCCUCCUAACCAGCACAUUAUAUUUAUGCAAGAGUAGCAUGCUACAGAUCCGUGCAAUCGUGCGUGGCAAAUAAAAAGCAGUAACAUUUAGCACAGAAAAUUACUCAUGGAUACAAUACUCAGCCAUCCAUACGCGUGAAUUGUUUUCCAGAAUUUUUUAAACACGAUAUUUUGUUUUCUUGGAGUUGUAUUUGGCCUUCUUUAUCUUGCCGUCACUAGGUUCUUUGGACCAGAACUUCCAACUGAUAUAGAGAAGUGCCACCAUCUAAUGAAGUUCACAUAAUGCCUUCUGGGAAUGAUCAUGGAGAUCUGAACUUCCAUAUCCUGCCUUCAUUUAUUGCCAGCUCUCAACUUUGGCACUUACUAAUUUCAGUGGCCUGAAUUGAACACUGAUUUGAGCAUUGCCGUCAUCACAUACAUAAGACUUCAUGGCAUCGAUACCAUCAAGAAAGUCGAACUAACUUCCAAGCAUACCAUAUCACCAUUCCUCCUGCCUAGCAAGGAGGAAGAGACUUUUUUUUUGAAGGGCAAGAAGGAAGAGACUUUCAGCAGCUGUUGGUUUCAGAGUUCCAUUCACUCGACCAUGGCCGAUGAGCUAGCUCCACCAUAUGGAUACUGUUCCUCUGGUACACAGAGCAAAACUAAAAUUAUAAUCAUGUACAAAUCACCUCUCUUGACUCAGAAUAUCCAAAUCCUCAGAGUUCUAUGCAGUUCAGGUACAGUUUCCAGAUUUCGAUUCCAGCUUAGUUGUCAGAUUCUAAAGAAUCCGAUUGCGUGCAGCACUGUUGCAUGUCUCAAUUAAUAAUGCAAUCCAGCAAGUUUUUUAUCUGAAUAACCGAUCCCACCAGUUGUGAGUAAAGUCUUUCCUUCAGUGCCUGUUCAGAGCAAAACUGUCUUGUGAGAAUUGCUCAGGUCAGAUGUUGUACAACGUUAUAUAACAACUGCAAGGAAAUGCACAGGAAAAUGUUAAAGAAGUGAUGCAGCCUCUGAAAAGAUGACACAAGAAAAUGCAAUAAAAGCCAUGGAAUGCAAAUCAUUCACGCAAAGCUCGUUAUUUUGCUAAGUAGCGAUGGCACUAAUAUUAGUUUUACAUGUUCCGAUGCCAAGAUUGGAUCCGUGUUGGUGGUGACUCCUUCGUGGGCCCCACACAUUAUGUGGCCCUCGAAUCAGGACCCGCUCACUGGAGAAUUUUAACAACCAAACCGGUAUCUGAUUGGCGGGGAAUUAAGAAGACCUCUCCAUAGCUGGUGGAGAGGUGCUGAAGGUGUUGGCAUGCCACUAAAGAAAACCCAAAGCUUUUGGUCAAAUAUGAGACAAGUAGCAAUUGAUCUAUUUGGGAUGGGCUCUAGGGUAGUGACUGAACCAAUAAAUAAAUGGGAAAGCAAGCAAGAGAAAGUGGGCACUGCAUUUGUAUUCAUUGGAGUGAUGUCAGGGCAACUCGCUGAUGAGCAUUUGUGGCGCCUUUGUACUUUAUCUUUGAUGUCAUCCUCAAACUAGUGUCUUCUCAUAUUGAUCCAAGCAAUGUACACCUCUCUAUGCAGUUGCAAACGAAUGCUGACAUAAAUAAGUACAUGUGGCCUGGCACUAGAAAACACAUUAGCUCAGUAGGAUGCAAAAUGUGAAAGGGUGUGCUUUCGUUCUCCUGACGCGAUUAUGAUUAAAUCAAAAUAAUAAACAAACUAAGCUAGUAUAAUAUUUAUUUCUGAUUUAAUCUUAGAUCUUGGUUUUCAAGAAAAUUGCACUUAAGCACAUUCCAAAUGUAAAAGGGAGGAGAAAGCUUCAAAAAAUUACAAAUUGCACCAGUUGUAUUGUGUUACCUGUGUUGCCUUGCCAAGAGGCAUCAAGAUUCCUGGACAUGUCAUGGAAUAAUGAAUCAAAGCAGUAUUCUAAUGCCUUCCUGUCUGAUCAGGGUGAUCAUGGGAGGAAUCAAGCAAACUGCAGUUAGUAAUUUUAGUAAGUUAACAAAUUAAUAUCCUGACAAUCUUUAAGGCCCUUACCAAAAGGAAACAGCCUUGGGAAUAAAAAUCUAUUGCUCUAAGCGUAAUGAAGCUUUCAAAUUGGACUUUGGUAUUGGAGAUCACAUGUAUCUCCACCUAAACCACCAUUAUUUAGAUAGUUAAUUGAUCCUUGUUUUGAACAACUUCCUAACUUUUAAUAUUCCCAAGUAAACAACCAUAGAAAAUUGAGGAAGGUAAAGAUCUAACAAGAAAAAUAUGAUUAAACUAAAGCACUAACCAAUCCCAAAUAGAUACGUAAGCAGCCGUACAUAUGUAGCUUUACGAGAUGCAAUCCUGGGAACAAGCAGUCUAUUUAAUUAAGCAAGUGCAUCUGUGAUCUCUAGAGAAAAAUGUAUAGCUCAUAAAGCAUCUAUGACUAAAAUUAAUUUUGUGCCAGACAGCCCCACAACUCAUAAUUGUAUUCAGGAUCAGUUAAGUUUUCAAACUAUCUCUCUUUUUACUGGUGUUAAUCCGUAUUAUAUAAGCACUGUUACAUAAACAUUUGGAAAUGUGUACUCUUUUAGUUUGGAUGGUAGUUGGCAGUGCAGGUUAGAAUGUAAUAAUCGCUGCAAAGGGAUUUUUAGCCAAUUAGGACUUUUCUUGCAUGUUUCUCUGAAGACCAAAAGAAUCUUUCUGAGGACUACUUUUCUUGUACGUAAUUUGUUGCUAGACAGAAUCAUGUAGCGUGUGUAUGCAUAUGUAGUUGGAAGAUACUAAAACUCCUACCUUUCCAGAUAAUUGGCCCGGAAUCUGUGGUUUCCGGUUCAUUGCAUAUUGAUGACAAUUUUUUCAGACCCUACACAACUAUAUACUGGAAUCUCCAAUUAGUGCACCAUCCCUGAUCCCCCUCUCUGCAGUCAGCACUGAUGUAAGACUUGUGGCCUACAUUUUAGUGGCCUCGCAUGUGGCUCAUAACCAAGAUGGACUGGUUCCACCGUUCCACCAACAGACUUCGCACAAGAAACCUCCUGAGUGGUCACAACUGCAACUGUUACAACUCAGUAGUACUAAAAGAUGUCAUAAAUCCUAAAAUUUACUAUGGUAAUGCCACAUGAACACACAGGUUGAGCACCAAAGCCAUAGGCAACUCCUUAAAAGAGAAGCAAUAGGUAAUUGGUUCCGUCACCAAAAGAGCCUUCCUUAGUUUAUCUCUGUCUUAAAACAGCCCAUGGUAUACUGGUAUCGCAAAAGAGAGGAAGACGGCUUGGUAUAGAUGAUUUUUUUCAUUAGAAGGACGUAGCAGAGACAACGCAUUGUAGCGUUGUUUCUUUAGCUGUAUCUAGAUGGUGUAAAAAUCCACUAGAUACAACUUCUACAAUUAUUUCAUUUAAAUGGAAUUGGGCGAAAAGCCUUCUGAUCUAAAAAAACAGCUUCUACAAUUAAUUGGAGAUGCUGGAAUCCUUCGCAAAGCCACAUAAUUACCCACAAAGUUGACUUUAAUAUGGAAGUGGGUAUAGUUGGAUUCCUGUGUGGUGCUGGGCCCCUCUGUGAGAGGGAAAGAUUCUAACAAAUAAAGAAAAUAGAAAUGCAGGGGUGGCCCCCAUAAGCUUUGUUCUUACGACAAAACCAGACAAUGAAAGGCAGAACCAAAGCAAGGACAGGCCAAGCCAAGCCAGGACAAGCAUAGCAAAUUUCUAAUUUUCAUUUUCCAUCUUACAGCGGCAGGAUUUAGCAGCAGGCGCCUUUGGAAUGAAUGGUGGGGGGUGUUCUGGUGGAGGACUGAACCUUUUCUAGAGCUGCUAUACUUGUUGGAGGAGGCUAAAGGAUGAGCUAGGAGGAAGAGAGAGGGAGAGAAGACCCUUUUCAUGAGAAGAAGGGAGCAAUACGAUUACCAGUGAGCAGCUACUACUCUUAUCAAUCUCUUUCUUUGCUUCCUUUCUGCAGAAAAUGAUGUGUUCUCUCCUACUACCCGCACCCUUCAAUCCAAACACAAGCACAUCUGACACAAAGAUCUUCUUCCCUAGACUCCCACCCUCCAAUACUUCUUGUUUCACCCAAGAUGUGCAGCCAACUAUGCUUCUUGAUUCCCAACAGGAGAGGAGAAGUAUAGUGACUUGUGCAUGCUCAUGCUAUCAAUUCCAUGACGACCUACCUUUCAGGCUCUAACACUGAUGCACUUUAUUGUAUCAAACUGUGUGAUCAGAUUCUGAAGGAAGCUUUACCUAUAUGGAAGAGGGAGACGCCCAUCCUAGCAUCUCCGUGGCACGCACCGCAUCGUCUGAAGGUGCGGCGGUAGACUUCGAUCUCCUGGAGCAGCUGCUCUCCGGCGACAACGCCUGGCUUGAAGUGGCGACCAACGCUUCACGCUCACCCAACUUUUUUGCUUCUCCUUGCACCUUCCUCUCGGAUGCCACAACUACCACCACGACGCCGGCAAGUGCAAAUAAUAACUUGUGGAUUCAGUCAAGCUCCACCUUCCGGCAACGGUUGGACCAAGCACUUGCUUACAUCGAAGAGACACAGAGAGACACCGAUGUGCUUGUGCAGCUAUGGAUGCCUGUCAAAAGCAACGAUGGGCAGUUGGUGCUGACAACAAGCGGGCAGCCCUUCACUCUUGACAAGAGCUCAGAAAGCCUCAAACGGUUCAGGGACGUGUCGACACAUUACCAGUUCUCUGCAGAUGUUGCAUCGGAGUCUUCUCCGGUGGGGCUUCCAGGGAGGGUGUUCAUUGGCAAGCUCCCUGAGUGGUCACCAGAUGUUCGGUACUUCACCAGCUAUGAAUACCCCAGGGUGAACCAUGCACAGGACCUAGACGUCCAUGGGACGAUGGGACUGCCAGUGUUCGAGAAGGGGAACUACUCAUGCUUGGGUGUGAUGGAAUUGAUCAUGACCAGACAGAAGCUCAACUUCACCUCUGAGAUCAAUAACAUCUGUAGUGCUCUCCAGGUAUUGAUACCUCACUUAACCUGAAAGUUGAAACAUUAGUGUGCAGCAAGUACAGUUGCACAAAGAGCAUGUUUGUUGUCACCAGUAAUGCAUUACUAAUUACUACAGUAGGAAAUAACCAAACUUUCUCUAGAUUUGAGAUUUCUUAAUGGCAUGCUAUUUGCAGGCAGUUAACCUGAGAAGCACAGAAGUUUCAAGCAUUCCACGCACAAAGGUAGGCAGCAAAAUAAAUUCAAAACUAUUAUAUCCCGGUUUUGACUUUUUGUUUCAUCUUAACUAAACAAUUUAAUACCUAUAUAUGUCCCCAUAUAUGUACCAAUGAUACAAAUUUCCCCUCUGCUUUCAUGAAAGUCUAGAUGGGUCCUUCAGUGCAACAGCUAUUUAAUAUCUAAAACUUUGAAAACCGAUACAGAUCAUCCCUAGGCAGUGUUUUACAAAGUAAUUUUACCAUGUUGGCUGCUUACAUCAUUAAAUGGCAUCCCACCAAAUAAAGCAGGAUCUGCCAGAGAGGAUGGAGUAGAAAGAGAGGAAAAAUAGUUUUUGUUUCUUUGUUUUUAGUAAAUUUACUGAAUUACUGUAUGCGGUGGCUUUCUGAGAAGCCUCAUUGCCUUGCCAACUCAGUUAGUUGAGCCCAGUCGGAUGUCUCAUGUAAAUGUAGAUAUCUUGAGAUGAAAUAAUGGUACUGAUAUAUUCUCAUGUCUUCAUGCCUGCUCUUGCUGACUAUCAACCAGUUCAACAGUGCUUCCUAUAAAGAUGCUCUACCAGAGAUAUUAGAAGUCCUACGAGCAGCCUGCAUCACCCACAAGCUCCCAUUAGCUCAGACCUGGGUCACAUGUGAUCAACAGGGGAAAAGGGGCAGCCGCCACUCUGAUGAGAAUUACCGGUACUGCAUUUCCACCAUUGAUGCAGCAUGCUAUGUCAAUGAUCCCUGUAUGCAGAACUUCCAUUACUCCUGCUCUGAGCACCACCUUCUGCGUGGGCAGGGGGUUGCAGGGAAAGCCUUCACCACAAACCAGCCAUGUUUCCUCCCAGAUAUUGGAUCUUCAACUAAACUAGAGUACCCAUUGUCUCACCAUGCUAAGAUCUUCAACUUAAAAGGUGCAGUGGCAAUCCGAUUGAGGUGCACACGCACUGGGACAGCGGACUUCGUGCUGGAAUUCUUUCUGCCAACCGACUGUGAAGCCCUCGAAGAGCAGAAGGCAGUGUUGGACUCAUUAUCGGGCACCAUGCGCAGUGUUUGCCAAACUCUGCGCGUGGUUACGGACAAGGAGAUGGAGGACGAGGCAAUGCUGGAAAUGAAUGAGCUGAACUCAUUUGGUCCUAAGGGGAAGAACAAAGUCAAGGAGUUUUCCUUCGGUGGCAAAGCAACAGAACAUAGAGAGGAGGCAUCAUGGACAAGUUUAGCAGGGACUUCACAGAAAGAAUCAGAUUUAGCUGAGUUAAGUAUCCAUGGAAUGUUCUCACCCGGAGGGCAGGGUUCAUCUCUAGCUGGUGUUCAGACAACUGCGCAAGGCAGCAAAGGAAAAAGGCGCACAAAGACAGAGAAGACUGUGAGCUUGCAGGUUCUCCGGCAGUACUUUGCUGGUAGCCUGAAAGAUGCAGCGAAGAACCUUGGAGGUGAGUGAUCGUAACUCCUCACAUAAAUGCAAGAUUCAGCUAUGAAUAGUUUACUGUUUUAGUAGAUACCAUCGGUCGUUGAACUUAGUAAUACAAGUCACAGAGCCAGCAUGCUAAACUGAAUGCUCAAUUAGAAAAUGAUGUCUCCACAUUGUCAAAAAGAAAAGGUGUUCCCACAAGAAAGUCAACCUCCACAUGCACCACACAAUAAAAGAUGAACAUUCUUGUCACUCUUUUUUUGUGUGAAAGAUAAUUGUACAGUCAUAAACACGGGGAGAAAGAGAAGACUAAGUUUUAUUUAUAGUUCAUCCUGUAGUCUAAAUAACAUGAACACGGGAGAAACAGAACAAGUAUAAAACAGUUGAGUCUACUCUCAAGAAUUGCCAUAACAAAUAAGUUUAAUACCUACGAUUAGUUAGCAGAUCUAUUAUAUGGCCUAGAAUUGACAGAAUUGAUCAAUAUCUUGGAAGUCCUCAUUUAUUCAUCGCUUGCAGCUAAACAUCAACUUUACACGACUAAACAAUCAAUUAAUAAAUAUUACGAUCUCCCUCAAGAUAGAGAUAGGUAUAUGUAAGACAUACCUUACCAGAAAUAGGACAUGAACUUAUCAUGUUGACAUGCUAUGUUGCUUUCUAGAAGUCGAGCAGCUGGAUCAGAACCUCAUGAGUCAAACAUAGCUAAAUUAUUCCUUCCAAACAAAAGAAAAACAACAUGCUCAUCAUGUGUACAUGCAUCUCAAGGUGUGAUCACACUUUUUGUGUGAAAGAUACUUGUACAGUACACACAUGAUCUAGUGGCAAACAUGAAAAAGAACUUUGUUCAGCUCGGCUGGAGAUACACUCACCCUUUUUUUUUUCUUGCAGUGUGUCCUACCACCCUCAAAAGAAUAUGCAGGCAGCAUGGCAUAAACCGCUGGCCAUCACGAAAGAUCAAGAAGGUAGACCAUUCUCUAAGAAAGCUGCAGCAGAUCAUUGAUUCAGUUCAUGGAGGAGAGACAGCUUUCCAGCUUAAUAACCUGUACAAGGAUCUCACAAACACCUCUGUAUCAUCUGACAACAAUUUGUCAGGAAGCAUCACAGUUCCUCUAACUAAGCAGAGCAAUCUUACUGAGUUUGAGAAGCACCGACGCCACAGGCUAAGCAACAAUGCGCCAUCAACCUCACACUCACAUUCGUCAUGCAGCCAAAGUUCUGAUUCAAGCCCGUCAUGCAGUGGUGGAGCAACAAAAGAUUCACCACCAGCUGGAGUUGAUUUGAUGAAGUCUGGGAGUCAUGUAAGACACAACCCUAUCCAGACUCUGCAAGCAGAAAAUGCUCUAAUAAAUGGACAUAUCUCAGUUCAGGAGGCAAGAGGAGAUCUUUUACAUAAUGUUAACCAAAAGGCUAUAGGUGGGCAGCAUUCUUCUCGAAGCCCAUCACCCCCCAAACAGAAUUCAGAUAUAGGUAUGAGAGUAAAGGCCACAUUUGGCUCAGAAAAGGUCAGGUUCAGAUUGAAGCCUGAGUCUGGCUUUCAAGAACUGAAGCAGGAGAUGGCAAGACGUUUGAGUAUAGUAGACACAAGUUCUUUGAUUGUAAAGUACCUGGAUGAUGAUUCAGAGUGGGUCUUAAUGACAUGUGAUGCAGAUUUACAAGAGUGCCUUCAUGUAUAUAAAUUAGCAAAUAUCCAAACAGUCAAAAUUUCUAUUCAUCUAGCUGCUAAUCCAGAGACAAAGGUCACUGUUGGUCACACUGGCUUGUCAUGAAGCCAUCAUCGAUCUCACCAGACUGUGGGAUUUAAUCAGAAUUCUUCAAAGAAGCAGUGCUUGGUUUUAUCCCAGGGAAACCCAGAAUCCAUGCUUGACAGCACAUGCUAAGUACCAAGUAACAUCACCACACCCGGUUUUGCUGUUAUCUACAUUAGCUUUUUAUUUGAUUCUGAGGUUAGGAGCUGCUGAUGACACUAGAAUGUUUGAGUAUGGGAAAGCCAGUUUUAACUAUUAGGAUAGACUGAAGCAUUGACUUGUAUAUACUAUCACUGAUGCACCCCAAACUCUGAAAGACAGUCCAACUUGAUUGAGUUGAUAUGGUGAAAUGUCUCUAAACAAGGUUUUCUCCAGAUAUCUGAUAUCUUUUGGUUCUGGGAAGCUUCUGUAUGAUUAUUGACCAACUUCAGUGGUCCCUUCAGCCGUCACCAAAGUUACCAGCAGAAAGACUUUCAGCCAUUCAGUGUGUUUUCUCAUUCCAUGGACGUGCGGCUUUGAUUUCGGAACAAAGAACUCUACAGUAAUUAUUCUGGACUAGAUAUUGAAGGAUAGGAUACUUUGUUCAAUUUGUUGAUCCUUCAAAAUGUCAAAAAUGUAUGGUACACUCGUACCACAUGAAGUGUCUCUUUAGAAAACUGUUUGCUACUGUAGACACUGCAAUUGGUUUCUUCAAGAAGCUUUCAGUUUCUCAACUGUACUGUCAAAUAUCAAUAUGCAGAUUGAAUUAUAUCCGCUCUAGCAGCUUUCAACAUGAAAGAGGCUAAUGCUGUUAAUAUGCCUACUUAUAACUGACACCAUAAAACUUCAAUUCAUGCUAAUAGGUAAACACGUGCUUUUGUAAUGACUAGUAAGUGAUAUUCAGAUCUAUCGAGAAUGAGAAUGGUCACAUAUAUGGAACCAUUUAGUUUUCAUUUUGCCCUUGCUGAUGAUCCAAACUACAGAACAACCAGAAUACAAACAAGUACUCCCUCCGAUCCACAAUAAGUGUCUCAGAUUUAGUACAAAUUUGUACUAAGUUAGUAGUACAAAAUUUGAGACACUUAUUAUGGAUCGGAGGGAGCAUGUAUCUUAGUAGAUGAGACAGACUACAUACAUAUGCAGAUGACCAUAAUAUGGAACCAGAAUGCAAGCAAGUAUGUAAUAAAUUACGGAGUAAAUUUGUGGAUGCAACACAGCUCAAGCACAGAUCUAAAGGCUAUGUUCGCACUGAAAACUUGUCCAGCUUAGACAUGCCCCUCUACAUUAUCUACCAAUAAGGCCAAAAAACAUAGAUGCUACGUCCUUAUCGUCUCAUAUCAUGUAGAACACAAAUGCAGCAACUAAUAAAUGUCUUCCCAUAAUUGAGACAAUGGUUACAAAAGAUAAAAGUAUCAAGGUAUGCAACAAAUAAGUAGCAACAAUUCAGAUAACUAAGAUCUACUUAUCAACUGUACUUUUUGCCGUUUAUUGUUUAGCCUUCUUCUCAUGCCUUCAAGGAUAUCACCCGACAUCUUAAACUUUUGCUACCCAUGCUACUAUGAUGUUUGUGACAGACAUGCUGCCCAAUUCACCUUUCCCCCACAUCCCCAAAGACAAACCAAACAGACUAACAUUGAAAGUGACUGAGAGAAACUAGAAGCCGUCCUUGCAUUGUCAGAUUAAACUUUAGCUCCUCCAAACUAGAAUAUCUACAGCACAUUUUAGCAUCUUCCAUUUCUGACACGGUGAGUUGCCUAUCAAAUUAAAGGCCAUGGAACCGAGGGUCAGAAACCAUAGAUGGAUGAUGCCUGCACUAUUCUGAAUAAUUCCAUCAGUCUCACGUGGUUCCACAAUAUUCCUGAAAACCUAGCGAAUAUUAUGGUCAUCUUCAAUGCAAGAAGGUGCCAAGUCAUUGUGUCUUUGAAAACAGGCUGAUUGGCUUCACAAUUUAGCAACAUAACAGCAAUCAGAUGAUGUCACAUCCAAGCGUCAAUAUUACAAUGAGUAGAAUGGCAGUGCGACCUCAAGUGGCCCCACUGCAAGUUUGCAACAAGGACUUUGACAUUGACGGUGGUGUUGCAUUCCUUUUGUAUGAUUUUUUGGGCCUGCACUGAGCCUGUGAUUCAACUGGCUUUGAUUCAACAAGAAAUGAACCACAGGCUUGCCGUAUCCUAAGAAUUGCUCUUGUUCCAAGCUCAGCACAAGACACUUGAGAGGAUCCUCGAUGCUUGAAUUUUGAGAACAGACGUGCAGGUUAAGCUGAAAUGUGGUUUAGUGAUAAGGCAGGCCAUGCCUAUACCUUUAAGCCAGGCGUACAGUUGGCACACAGGUGCAUCUACAUGGAUUUCCAGGACGUCAGUAUUGAAAGGAAAGCCUGAAAGUUUCAGGACAGAUGCAGAAAUGGACAGUGGAAACACAACUGUAAACAAGAUGCAAGUGUUUUAGUUGUGCAUGUACCCACAAAAGCAAAAACACUCCUGUCAUCAACAAGAAUAUUUAAGAAUGGACAACAAACACGAUUAUAUCAGAACACAAACUGUUACUCAUCAAUCAGUGAGAAGUAUGGCCUCGGCAAAUGAACUGUGUCUGUGUCUUUACUAUUGCUACUUAAGCUAAGGAGAUAAAUUCAAAUAUGACUCCAAUUUAGGAAGGAGAUAAGGUACUGUUAUUCAUCAAUCGGUGGGUAGUAUAGCCUCAGCGAAUUAUCCGCAUAUGUGUCUUUACUUCUUAAACUAAGGAGAUAUAUUCAAAUAUGACUCCAAAUUAGGAAGGAGAUGAGGUGUAUCUCUAUGCUAACUGCUAGCUAGCGAAAAGCUAUAUAUAUAAUAUUCUGCUUCUAUGUUUCUUCGAUUAUUUGAGUCUUGGCAGAAUGACUUAUGCAGCAAAUGCUUCUUAAUGCAAUAUAAUGGAUUAACUUGAAGAGGUAAAAGAUUCAACACACAGAUAUAAGAGGACAAUUAAGGUUGCUGAGGUACCCAUAUCACAAACGAGAUUCAAUCAUUCAACCCAGCACAAACAGCUAGAAAUGAUUUAAGUGUCGCUCUACCUAGUCAUGACUAGUCGAGAGACUAGCCUAUGAGUCAAUACAUGGCUUCGACCUGUAAACCUCAACUAGUCAUCACCGGUUGCACGACUAGUCUAUGAGUUGGUACCCCAGUGACUGACUCGACUAUUUCGACUCUGAAUCAUUGACAGCUACCAACCUACUAUAGUCCACUCCACAUCUCCACGACAAGCUACGAGCAGCAAAAUAUAAGAAAAUAAUAUUGGGAAUAGUUCAUCAAUCUACACUCUCUAUGAUGUAAACAGAACAAUGCAAGCAUGUUGACUACGAGUGAUGAGAAAGUAAAAGGAAUAAGCUAGAUGUAAAAGGAAUUCAAAACAAAUGUAUCAGCAUCUUUUGCAAAUGAGCAUUUAGUCGUCAUGACAAAGUAAGCAAACAAGGAAAAUUGUUUGUACCUGAUAAGCUUAGUAAGCAUGAAACAUGGCAAGGGCAAUGAAACCAAAUUUGUGGCAAGAAAUUAUCCAUUGACAAACUCGUAAAACAAAAUUAGAAAUUGGGAUACAAGCUCUAUCUUAGUAUCUUACAAGCACGCUAGAGUCAUACGCUGAAGCUCAGUCCUCGUCCUCGUCACUCUCGUCGCUGAAGUAGCCUUUCCUCUUCUCCUUCCUCGCCGCCGUUGCCCUCCCCUCCUUCUCAGCCGCCUUCUCCUCCUCUCCCCUCGUAUCCACCACCGACGCCCACCUGUCGUCCUCAAAAGCCGUCGCGACGGCAUCAUCUUCGUCCGACUGGUAAGAGGCCCCGGCUAUUUCCCUGACACCGCGGCCACCACCACCACCACCCCCGCCGCCGCCGCCGCGCCGCGACUUCUUAGACGGCGCCGGCCUCUCGCGGGGACCGAGCUGGUUGCGGGGGCACUCGUAGGAGAGGUGGCCCUCCUCGCCGCACUCGUAGCAGUGCGACUUGUCGCGGUACUCACGGCGGCGGAUGAACUGCGCGGCGCGGCCGUUGUCAUCGGCGAUGGAGGCAGCUAGGGUGCGCCCAUUGAGGACCUUGCCGUGCAUCUCGGCGGCGGCGGCAGCGGCUUCCUCCCGCCGGACGAAGAGGACGAAGGCGACCCCCCGGCUGCGGCGGGACUCGCGGUCCUUGAGGACGGUGACGCGGGCGACCUUGCCGAAGCGGGAGAAGAGGGUGUGGAGGUCGGAGUUGGUGAGCGCGAAGUCCAGGUUGGACACGUACACCGUGGACUUGGACGGCGCGAGGCCGCCCGAGCCGCUGCCACCCCUGCCGGGCUUGUUGCCCCCGCCUUGGCCCGACGCGGACGCGCUGGAAGCGCCAGCGGCUGCGGAGGGCAGCGGGUAGCGGUAGAGGAAGCUAUCGUCCUCGCCGUCGGAGUCGGACCCCUGCCGCCGCCGGCGAGACAUUUUGCCUGCGGUUUUCCCCCUUCCUGAGGAAGGGUGCCAUGUGUAAUGUGUUUUGACGAGCCGAGGCGUGAACUGGGCCAGACCCAGAACAGAGGAAAAUGGCCGCGAGGUGUCUAUGGGCCUAGAGAGAAGAGUGGGCCUGUGGGCGACAUUGAGGUCUUCCAAUUUUAUUUUUUUUGGAAGAGUAAGUCUAUUCAGGUUGGUUGCAAUUUACUAGUAGUCGUUCAGGUUCACUCAUCGCCAUAUGAUUCUCCAAAAGGAAGUUAUCAUCAUCCGCAUCAGUACGAAUGAUGAAGUAGACGCAUCAUGGUUCAUGGAUCUACCAAUGUUUCUUUGACUCGUUAGUGGAUUGGUUGUAUAUACAAAACGUGAUUUCACGACUAUUGAAGGCAAUGCAAACGGUGUCGGCCAAGAAGGAAAUAAUUACUACUACUCCAGUGAAGACGGAAGGAUUAUUGUAUUGAUUGAUGGAAACACCAUCUCUCUCCCCGAAGGAUUACUUUAGCAUAAUAGCAUUGACUAAAUGUGAAAAAAAAUAGCAUUGACUAAAUGUGAACGGGGAAUAAUCCUUCAAUCCAUGGCAUGAACAUCGGGCUCACCAGAAUUCAGAGUGUCUCUUCUGAUUUCACAACACCACGUGGAACUUCGCGCCAUCAGGCCAUUGAUUAAUCGGUAAACGAACUUGACACACAUGUAUUUAAAUCGCCCAUGACCUCCAAAUCGAAUCGCCUCCCGCAAACAGGAUCACCCAGGCAAAGCUCUGAAACCAGCCAUGGAGACGGUGAGGAAAGCUCAACUUGUUCUUCUUCCCUGAUCCAUCCAAUCCAUGGCUUCUUGCUGUUCUAAUCAGGAAAGACAGGCUAGCUUUGGCUCUUCGCAGCAGGGAACCAGGCGUUUCAGGCUCGAGGUCGACAUGCAGUGCCGGUGCAUGGGGUGCGUCAGGAAGAUCGAGAAGGCGAUGGCCUCCAUCGGAAGUUUCAGUGGUACACAGCCUCUCUGACUCCUCUCGUUUGAUUAUUUUUUCUGAAAAUAUUUGAUCGCCAUGUUGAUAGGAGUCGAAACGUCAGUAGCGGAUAUUGAUACUGGGAUUGUGGCUGUGGCCGGGAAGGUGGAUCCGACGGAGCUUUGCCAAUGGCUGAAGAAGAAGACAAGGAAUGAUGUCAAAAUUGUCGGCUCUGAUCAUAAUCAGGUAUCUUUCUUUAUCUACCAGAGCAGAAUGAAGGGCACUGUGAAAUUUUUGGUUUUACGAACAAAUAUAUUUUGAUAUUUACUUUGGCAUACACUGGAAAUGGCAAGAAGGAUCAUGUGUACUGUUUGCUUGCCAGAAGGACAAUACUCAGAUUAAACUGCACAGAAUAGAGGAUAAAAAAGUAUCAGGCUAAAAACACAUGUAGAAAAACUGAUAAAUCUACAGAAGGGGGCACAACACAGAGUUUGAACUGCUGAAUGUUUUUAACAGUUAAAGGCGUGACAAGAUUCAUGUUUCCGCAACUCUGACUAAACUAAUACUCCUACCUGGUUGCAAGAUUCAUGUUUCCACAACUCUGACUAAACUAAUACUCCUACCUGGUUGCAGAAAAUGAUAUUGGUUCAUGGAAGCAGUUCAAGAACUGGGGACACCACACCUUCAGCUCCAACAUUACCGGAUCAUUUGUCGUGGGCUCUAGCACCAUCAGGAAUUCAGUCUGGCGAUGAGGACCUACAGCUGAUUGAGGAGAAGAUCAGGGACCUCGAGAAGGCCAGGGAUACAUUGAAAAUCAAGAACCUGAAGAAUGAACUUAUUGCAGCCAAGUGUGAGCUUAAACAGUCAAGGGAAGUGAUCAGUAAUGGUAAGAAGGCUCUUCUAGAUAGUGCUCUGAAUCAGCUCAAAGCAUACAAGAAAUUAGAAUCACUCAGUCAGUCACUAUGUGACUGAGCCUAAACAAUUCAUGGCUUCAUAGUAUGGUCCAUGUAAACUUUGUUCUUGCCUGGUGUGCAAAGUAAAACUUCUUGGAGUUUUCAUAUAACCCUGAAUCAUGAUGUGUUAUUGUUGAAAUGUCUAGAUGCCAUGGGGUGUAAAUUUCCAUGCCAGGCAGUGAUCCUACUUGAUCUCUUGGCAAAUUUGUUGUCUGCAUUUUAUUUCCUUUUACAGAAAAGUAGAACAGGAAGAGUUAGAUAACAUAAGUUCAGAAAUGGUUGUUCAGUUAUCAGUUCAAGUUUCAGCAGUGACCUUUCAACACAGCAAACUACAUUUAUCAUGUGCCUGUAUAGAUGUUCAUGCUUAAUAACAUGGGCAUUAAACUAGCUGAGAGCUGAGAAUUAGAACAGUUGAGGGGCUUCAGGAAACAUCAAAGUAGCAUAUUACAACCAGAGCACUCAAAUUUCUUCAUUAUAUUUUUUCGUCUCUUACACAACGCCAAGCAAAGAGCACACGUAGGAGAGGCACAAAGGCAGAGAGUUCAAGGAACGCACUGCUGUGUUAUUCAGACAUGCCGCCUAUGAUCGCCGUCAUCAUCAAGGCGUAGGUUGACGCCGUGGGUGCGGAGCGCGUUGAGGAUGGCCCAGACCUUGGUGCGGUUCUUGAAGCCCUUCUUCUCGAUCUCCUUGUCGGCGUUGGCGUGUAUGGGCUCCCGGGCGAGGCCGUCGACCCUGAGGCGCAUGGCGAGCACCUCGCCGACCGCCGCGGCCGCCUUGGCGUUGCAGGCGCGGCCGCACUCCAGCCCGUCCCGGAGGGGCCUCUCGACGGAGGACGCGGUCACCACCACGCGCCCGCUCUGCCGGUCCACCACGUUGGCCGUCACGAACUUGAGCGAGAUGAAGAGCCGCAGCACGUACCUCUUGGCCUGCGCCAUCGAUUCUGGUGCCUCGGUGGCGUUUCGGCAAACAGCUGGGAGGCGCCGGGCGCGAUUGGGAGAUGAAGAUAUAAGGGCAGGACGGCCAGGCGAGGCCAGAGGAUUGUUGACACUGCAGAAGGGGGACGCGGAAUGGUAAGGACGCGCCUGUGAGUGGUGGCGGAUCCGGCGGCGGUUCAGCCGGAGACGGCGUAGGAGGGCUGGAGGGGCAAGGGCUGGGCGAUGGUGACCCCUCUAGUUAGUCGGUGCGCGUGUAAGCGGCUAUAAGGCCGCCUUGGAGCUCGCUAGCGCGGGGUGGUGGUGCGGCGCGGAGAGCGACGUCGAGCGGGGAGGCGCAGCCGUAGUCCGCGGGAGGGCUGACUGGCCGAGGGCGACGACGCGACGUACAGGGACCCUAUCCCGGCUAUCUAAAGAAAGAAAAACGAAAAAAAACAAAAAAAAUUUGAGAGCACGAAAAAAAUCCCGGCAGGCGGCAGGGAUCCCGGCCAAAAUGUGGGACCAGAUCCCGGCCCAGAUGUGGGUCCAAAUCCCGGCCCAAUCCUCAUCGACCCAAUCCAGUCGCCAACUCGCCAUCGUCUCUCCUCGUCCACCUGCACAAAAAAGAAAGACGGCCGAGCCGCUGCCUCCGGCGAGGCGGCGACGCCGACGCUACUCCUGCAGCGGCGACACACUACCGAGGACACCUUCUUCUCCCAGGUGAGCAUCCAGCUUCUCGUAUUCCUGCUCUCUCCCUUCCUUCCACCUCCCCCAACUCCGGCCCCGAAUCCCGCCGCUGCCCUCUCCUAAAUCCAGGCCGCCGGCCAAGCUCUAUUACAAAUCCGCUGAGCUCCAACAACCAAAAAACGGGCUGCAGCUCGGGAUUGCAUCCUCGGAGCUUGCAGCCCAGCUGCUGCACCCCUGCUGCCAUGCGAGCUAUGGCCGUGAGGGCUUCCAAACACGCCCUUAGGGUUUGAGGUUUUAGGGAUUCUUCCCCCGUCCAUCGCCGGUCACAUCGCCUCCGGGAUGCAAGCGAGGCUGGUCGCGGUUGCCCACGCAAAGCCCAAGCGGCUGUCGCCCGCCAGCGAGUUCUGGUGAUGGUGGCACUCACUGGGCAUGGAGGGACAUGUGGUCCACUCGCAAUUCGGAGAUGGUGAACAAGGACAUCACCACCAUGAUAUUGUUUCAGUGGCUGAUCAGUUAGAGCUGCUUCCUGAGCUACAGAUAAUCUGACGCAUCAGCAAGAGACUACCUUUUCUUGAUUAGCACAAAUUGGAUAUAGCAGUUUCUGCCAAUAUUGCAACUCCAAUCCAACAACCCAAUAGGAGAAGCGAGGGUAUGCUUAAAGGUGCCUUCUCACCAGUGGAAGUGUCUUCAAAUAACAUUUUAGGUGGGCCUCCAGUUGGGUACAGUAUUCAACACUUCAAGGAGAACACAAGCAGUCUUCAGCUUUCUGCUUGAGAUAAGAAUUGAUGAUAAUACAAACUGCACAGCACUUGCUUCUUCCUAUUGAAGAGCAACCUUCCCUUCCACAUAUCGUGUACAUUUCUGCAACAGGCCCAGCCCCCCGUUUGCAUUGGAUAGUAGUGCGUAGGUAGACAUUCAUCCUGACAAUUGCAAACAGUUCUUCCGUAACGAAAAUGGCUGCACCAUUUUGCCAGCACUUCCUGGCUUCCUGCAAUUUCCUAGCGAUCUUCCUCUUGUUCUUGUUGUUGCACGUAAAUUCUGCUCUGAACUGAAGCUUAUGUGCUCAUAUAUCCACGUUGACACAAUGCCAUGUUUUGGAGGUGGUGGCUAUGAUUGCUUCGAUUGCAUCAACGAUAAAAGUUCACCGGGCUCUUUAACAAGAAGCACUAAAUCACUUGUUGAAUUAUUCUCAGCCAAAACAAUGAAUUAGUAGCUAUUUUCCAAAUAAAGAUCUUUAUUUUCUGAGGAACAUGUGCCUUCCAUACACGACCAGAUGUCACGAGCACCUCUGUUAGCUCUGCUGCAUUGACCACCAUUUUCUUUCAAUAAUUCCACAUUCUCAGCCAGUAUAUAAGCACUUCUCACUGUGAAUAACAUGCUUCUCCGGUUUCCAUGCAAUGUAAUCCCCAGAAGGGUUUGUUGGCAGUCUGAUUGAGAGAAUAGCUUCUGCAUCAUGGGGAUAAAAAAUCUCACGAAUUUGCUGCUCCUUCCAAGAACGUGAGACCGAAUCAAUAGAUCAGCCACUACUUUUAAUCAGUUAGAUUUUUCUGAUUUUCCUCCUUAUGUUUACAUUGGCGAAGUAAUCCAAUUCACAUUACAUACAUUUUUAUGUUACUGUUUUUGAACCAAACAUAUCCUCGCUUUCUUUGUGCGCUGACUCUCCUUUCUGCACACAGGGGCGGGUGAACUCGACAGAUAUGGCGGUUGACAAGUGGGUGACAGUGGUGGAGCACUCAAAGGAGAUGGUGGGCGAGAAGGCGGCGGCGGCGGCUCGAGCGGCCCAUGAGUCGAAGGAGUACAGGAGGUCGCUCGUGGACAUCGGCCUCACUCUGUUGAUCGGCGUCGUAUUCAUGCUCCUGAGUUUCCUCGUGCCGGAGAUAUCCAAGGUGUGGCAGAUUCUGUGUUGGCAGACCACGAUGAUCUCUUUCGCAUGUGCCGUGUUCUUCACCUGGAUCCAUCUGAGGGAUUUCCAUCCCAAGGUGGAGUCAUCUCGGGUUUGAAGAACUGGGAGUGGAGGAGACAAAGGUUGCUGGAAAAUGUUGAACUGAAGCCUUGUCACACAAACGUAUUUGGUUGAUGGACCUUAUUCUGGAAAUGUACAGAAGAAAAAUGAUUCAAAUUUCUUCUUCAGCUGAACAAUCCAUUCAAGAAUCAGUUAGACGUACCGUGAUUAUUCUCCACAAGAGUACUGCAAUGAUAUUGUUGGUGGUGUUCUAAAUUGACCUCUUUUUCUAUUGAAGGAUGGUUCAGCUGCUUUAUUUAUAAGUAAAACUAUAGCAUUAUUUGAUUCAAUGAUGCAGAUUUGUUGUCUUGACUUGGCCUCAUUUUCGACACCCUGUAGUACAGUUCAUUUAUAUGCUGCUGCACUUGGCAAUCUCACACUAGAAUUUUUUCUCAAAAAAAAAAUUAUCGCCACUCGAAAGAAGCAAACAACAAAAAUAAAUGUGGAAAGUAUUGUUUUUUUUACCAAGUAUUGUUGAUUGGAGUCUCUGCAAUUUCUGUGGUUUUGUGCUAAAAUGCCUAAUUCCCCAUGCUUGUUAAUAAAAUGUAAAGCAUAUAAUUUGUUUUUGUUUUUUACAACUUCUGGAUCUGAAUACUGACUUUUAAUUGCAUUGUUUGGCUAAAUCUGUUUCAACUUCAUGAACUCGGCCGCCGCCUAAUCAAGCACGCUGGCGGACGAUGGACUGCAGCAGGGAGAAGGUGCCAGGGGCAGCACCGUCAGCAGCAGCGCUAUUCACCACUGGUCACUCCACCGCCAGCGCCUCAUCCAAUCAGUGCUAGCUCAUCUGCUUGUGCUUUUUCAGAGUAUUCCUUCUAUAAUUCAUUCAUCUGCUCUUUGUUUUUUCUGGUUGAAAUAAGUUUAUAGGCGACUGAAGUUGUACAGCACAAAAUUAGUGGAGUUACAUCAUGAAAUUAGGGAUCACCUGGUUGAAUAAUUAUCUGCUCUUUAUUAUGGAUAAUUGCAGAAUGUAUUACGUACUAUACUCUUGAAAUCACAGUCAUAUAUACUACAGAACAGUAGCUUAGCUUACCCAGUGCGGGGUUAUUUUCUCAACCUGAUCAAGUCUAGAAUUUGUAGAUAGUUGUGUAUUUUGCUCUUAGGAAAGUGAUGGCUGUUACUUCCUCCGAUCUAUAAUAAGUGUCUCGGGUUUAGUACAAAUUUGUACUAGGCUUAGUUUAAAACCGCGACACUUAUUUUGGAUCAGAGGGUGUACAAUUAGAAAACUUGCAAUGGCUAUUUAGUUUAUUAGAACACUUGUGUAUUUUGUCCAAGAACCAAACAUGGGUAAGAAAGGGAAGAUGUUCAGUCUUGUCAGGAGUGUGUUGAGCUCCUCCGAUUCAAACUGGACGCAAGCUUGCUGACAUUAAUUGAAGGUUUUUAUAAAGUGAUAAAUCACACAUCAAUCCUACUCUGUUGUUCCAGUGCAGUUUUCUUGGUCGUGUGAACUUGUAAAACCUCGCAACCUUUUUGUGUUUGAUGAAUUUUGGGUUCCAUGAACAAAGGUAUAUGUGUUUGGCGUUACAUUGGUUCUUUUAUGCAUUGUCUGAUUUGUGCUCAUUACUUGGUCUUCUUCCUCGUCGGUUUGGUGACGAAUCAGCGGUUCGACAACCUGUCUUGCAAGAGGUGUGUCCUCGGACAAAGUCCGUUCAACGAUCUUAAAUUCUCAUCGGUUGCGAUGAGCGACUCACGCGCCUAUUUAAAACCUAUGAGGUUAGUGCAUAUUGUGCAGGUCUAGCCUUCACCCAUUUGAUCACCAGAGACAUGGAGAAAUUUUAAGAUACGGACGACGGACCUUUAGAUUUUUACUUUAAAGAAUCUUGAUGUGAAUUUUAGUUUCAUUAUGGAUCUUUGUUGUCGGUUUUUAUUUCAGUUUUUUUAUUCUUUGUACACUGUUUAUUGAUUCAAUAAAGCCAGAUGUCUCUUAAAAAAACUCAUUCUGAUGUUUUGUUUACUGAUCAAUUCUAAAUUUUAGCAGUAAAAAUGAAGUUCUCCCCGGGGAUUAAGUUAAUGAUGCUUUCCUAAUCUCAAGCUAACUCACAAAUAUAAAGGGAUUUGACAGAAAUUUAAAUCAACUAAAAUUAACUAGUCUUUUUGGUAUUUCCGUGGACCUUAGCAAAAACUUGACAAAAACUUAACUGAAUCUACUGAACUAAUUGAAGAAAAGGACACUAACAGAGCAGAUCAAAGCAGUGACAAAGAGAAAGAUUUGGAUAAAGCAAAGGGUUUUUGGUGAAGGUAGAUGAACUAGGAGAUCUAGAGGAAAGUUGACUGCAAGAUUUGGGCAAGGAGAGAAUUGGGAAUUGGGAAGAAUCGCUCAACAGAUCUAAGAGAUAGCAGCAAGGUUUUAGACAAGGAAAGAUUUCUUGAGGAAAAGAACAUCACAUGGAGAACAUGUUUAGAAUAAGCAACAUGACAUGAAAAAUAACAACACACAUGAACAUUAACUUGACAAAAAGUUCAAAUUUAAACAUGAUCAACACCAAAAAUUCAUGAAAAUAGUUUUAAAAAGGGUACUGAUCAUUUACAACCUCCCAAACGGCAGGCGACCACAGGUCCUAUUUACUUUGAACUUUGAGCAUAUACAGUAUACAUGUAGCCUUGGGUCCCAGAGAAAUCUGGAUAUGGUUCAUGAGAAAGUGUGCUAUACCUUCACAGAGGUUCUUGCUCUUUCUCUUCUUCUUUUUUUCUGAGCAUGAUUUUUUCGAUUCCAACAGUUUCUCGUGAGUUAUGUUUUCUUUUCUUCUCCCAUUACAUGAUGGAUACGAAUUGAUCAUUCGUUUUCCUUUUUGUUUGACAAAUCGUGGUUCCUAACAUUACUAAGAGAGAAUCGUGUAGUGGCAAGGACCACUACACCAUUGCCUCCUUGUCUGAAGAGCGAGAUGAAGAGCCAAAGCAGGUAUCUCUUGCUCGGCGCUAUACGACCAACACUCGUCAAUCAACAUAUCAAUCUGCAACCCCACUUGAUGAUCAAACACCACGCUGCAGACGCUACCGUCGGUGGAGACCGAGGACAGGAAUAAAUCCGUGAAUUUCACUAAAUCCCUAGACAAGUCACUCAAUCGCUUGUGAGCACCAACAAUGGCUUACCUCAAAAUGGAAAUAGUGUAAUGUUUUUGGCUAAGGCAGCAACGAAGAGUCAAGAGGGACGUAGACAGCUGAAAUGUCAACUCCGAAACUAUAGCCUACAAUAUUUGCAAAGUCGUCGCAUUAUUGUUGCUUGUAUGACCAAGACUCGCGCGACUACAUUCCCAGACCAUAAUCGCCUUAUCGCGCCCGUAUUGCAAUUCUUCAGGCCUGAUCAAUCCAUCAUGGAAUGGUCAGCUCCCGCCUGCUCCAUCACUGUCCUGAUCCUUGUGUCCUUCCUGCCGUUGCGAGCGUCCGACGACCGCCUCCUCCCCAGCAAGCCGCUCUCCCCUGGCGCCACCAUCGUCUCGGACGGCGGCGACUUCGCCUUGGGCUUCUUCAGCCCCUCCAACUCCAGCACUACUCCAGCGAAGCUGUACCUCGGCAUAUGGUACAACGGCAUUCCCGAGCUCACCGUGGUGUGGGUCGCGAACCGAGAAACCCCGGCCACCAACACCACCAAUUCCUCCUCCGCGCCCACGCUCUCCCUCACCAACACCUCGAGCCUCGUUCUCUCCGACGGCGGCCGUGUCCUUUGGACGACGACGCCUGAGACCGACGUGGCCGCUGCUCCAGCGACGGCGGUGCUUCUGAACAGCGGCAACCUGGUCCUACGCUCGGCGAACGGCACCACGCUGUGGCAGAGCUUCGACCACCCGACGGACACGCUCCUGCCGGACAUGAAGAUGGCGAUCAAGCAGGGCGCGCGCGCCGCCGGGCAGCGCCUGGUGUCCUGGAAGGCGCCGGGCGACCCCUCGCCCGGCCGCUUCUCCUACGGCGGCGACCCGGCCACGUCCCUCCAGAUAUUCCUGUGGGAGGGCACGCGCCCCGUGUACCGCAGCGCGCCAUGGACCGGGUACCGGGUGAAGAGCGAGUACCAGUUCCAAACGAGCAACACCAGCGCCGUCACCAUCUACCUGGCCGUCGUCGACAACAACGGCGGCGGGGAGAGCUACACGACCUUCAGCGUAUCGGACGGCGCGUGGAAAACAAGGUACGUCCUGGCCUACUCGGGCGAGCUCCAGAUCCGGAGCUGGAACGCCAGCUCGUCGGCGUGGGCCGUGCCGGGCCAGUGGCCCACCUGGGCGUGCGACCGCUACGGCUACUGCGGCCCGAACGGGUACUGCGACGAGACGGCGGCGCCCACCACCCCGGCGUGCAAGUGCCUGGACGGCUUCGAGCCGGCGAGAGGGGAGGAAUGGGACAAUGGGAAUUUCUCGGCGGGGUGCCGCCGCAAGGAGGCGCUGCGGGGUUGCGGUGAUGGCUUCGUGGCGUUGCCGGGGAUGAAGCCGCCGGACGGGUUCGCGCUCGUGGAGGAGGAUAAGUCGCUGGCGGAGUGCGCGGCGGAGUGCAGCAGCAACUGCUCCUGCGUGGCGUACGCGUACGCUAACCUGAGCAGCGGCACGUCCAAGGGGGGUAUAGCAAGGUGCUUGGUGUGGGCCGGGGAGUUGGUUGACACCGGGAAGCUAGGCUCAAGCCCCGCCAGCGACACGCUCUACCUCCGGCUCGCAGGCUUGGACGCAGCACACGGUACCAAUCCAAUCUCUUCCCUCCUCAUUCUCUAUGUUAGUCUUUUUUCUUCUGAUGGUGACUAUUUCUAGUUCUUUUCCUGGGCAAUUAGGAGGGGAGAAAUUUUCUACCUAAAAAUAUUACUCACUCCGUUUCAUAAAGGUUUCAAGAACACGAGUUUAAAAAUAGGGGUAAAGGGCAUAGAUAGUCACUUCAUAAUUAAUCCACAAUCCAGCGGCCAGUCUAAAAGCCCAUAGAUAUCACAAAAGUUCCUCCAAAGAGAGUUUAACCAUUACGGACAAAAAUUGUUGGUUCUUUAUACUCCCUCCGUCCCAUAUUAAGUGACGAAAUAUUACAUGUAUCUAGACGCUUUUUAAAUAUAAAUACAUCCAUAUUGGGCAAAGUUGAGUCACUUAAUAUGAGACGGAGGGAGUAGUAAAAAAACAUAUAUAACUAGGCAGUUACACAUUUGUGAAAUAUGGGCAACUUCCCUUUUAGACAUGUGCAAGUGCGCAAGCGAGCAUGUUCAUGUACAUUUCUACACCCAGAGAUGCACAUAUAAUUGUGUGUCUAGAUAUUAUAUUGUGUCACUUGGUUUAGAGAUAUAAACUCCUCCCUACGAUACAUAAAAUGUGUCGUCCACUUAGUACGAAAUUUGUACUAACAUUCAGUACAAAAUGGGCGAUACUUUUUAUGGAUGGGAGGGAGUAGAUUUUCAAUGGCCUGAAAAUUAGCAAACCUGUUAUUUUAUAAGAAAUGCCCACGGUGCAACUCAAACACAUGCUUUAAACUUGUAAACUGGACCGUUCAUAACACUUCGCUUUUAUGCUAUGGUGCAUGGACAGGUACAAGAUCAAAGAACAAUGAAGUGAAGUUUGGAUUGCCAAUUUUAGGAAUUAGUGUUCUGAUACUGGGGUGCAUUUUUCUUGCAUGGCUGAAUUUCAGAGGUACGUUAAAUUUAUAUUCCUCUAGGAACUGCCUAUUCGACCUUUUUGAAAUAUUUGAGUUUGUAUAUUGUACCCUCGUGCCGCAGAAUAUUCUAAACCCCGUGAAUUUGCAAAUUCGCACCAGAGCCUAUUUAAGCAAUGUAGUCAUUGCAAUUAAUAGAUAAGACAAUAAUUCCACAUGUUAGUGAUGUCUGCUUCUUCUUCACACCCCCUCAUCCGGCUCCCCCCUCAUCUUCUACUGGGUAGAUUUCUGUUAACAAUCUAAGACAUGGCUCUCUCGUUGCUUGACCAUGGUAUCCUUGGUGGGGGUCUAGUAUAGUAAACUAGUAACACUAAUAUGCCAUGGUGGUUUUUGGUUAUGUGAAUUUACAACGGGUAUACAGUGGACAAACACUAGCAGUUAAAUCUGUGAAAUAAAAUCUUAAUUUUUUUAUCUUAUUUGUUAUGUGUAUGAUAUACUCAUGGAUGUCGGUUACUGAAGCAGGCAAGAAGAGAAACCAGGGAAAGCACAAGAAGGUAACAGUGGAUGGUUCAAGUGAACUUGAAUUUCCACUUGUAAGAUUUGAGGAAGUUGCCCUAGCAACACAAAAUUUCUCUGAAAAAUGUAUGAUUGGGCAGGGAGGCUUUGGUAAAGUUUAUAAGGUAAUUUGUUCUAUAGUAGUAUCCUCUUAUUCAUUCUAAAUCUGUUUAAGUAACUUAAUUGACUUGUUCAUAUGAAAACCAAAAUGCAUGUUUUUCCUUAACAUUUUGAAGGGAACACUAGGUGGUCAACAGAUUGCCGUCAAGAGGCUAAGUAGGGACUCUCAACAAGGGACAAAUGAGUUUACGAAUGAAGUAAUUCUCAUUGCCAAAUUGCAACACAAAAAUUUGGUUCGACUCCUUGGAUGCUGUGGCGAGGCAGAUGAAAAAUUGUUGAUUUAUGAGUACUUGCCUAAUAAAAGCUUAGAUGCCACCCUUUUCGGUAUAUUCCAUCAACACCACCAGAAUUUCCUAAAAUAACUCAACAUGUUCUCUUACAUAUUUUCUUUUGAUAGAUGAUUCAAGAAAACACUUGCUGGUUGGGUGACUCGGUUAAUAUAAUCAAGGGAGUGGCAAGGGGGUUGCUUUAUCUCCGCCAAGAUUCAAGGUUGACCAUUAUUCACAGAGAUCUCAAAGCUGGAAAUGUUUUGCUAGAUGCAGAGAUGAAACCCAAGAUAACCGAUUUUGGCAUGGCAAGGAUCUUUGGUGAUAACCAGGAAAAUGCAAAUACGCAAUGUGUUGUCGGAACAUAGUGAGUAAUUAUUUGAACCAUUAACUUGUAUUAACUCAUGGUUAAAUUCAAACCCCAUUCCCCUAACUGUUGCAAGUGAAAUAAUCAAGCAGUGGCUACAUGGCUCCCGAGUAUGCAAUGGAAGGUGUCUUCUCUACCAAGUCAGACGUCUAUAGCUUUGGUGUGUUACUAUUAGAGGUUGUAACCGGCAAAAAGAGAAGCUCAGGCAGUCACACCAUGGGCUUUCCUAGCCUCAUAAUCUAUGUGAGUAAAUACUCCCUCCGUCCCAUAUUAAGUGACUUUUUAUUACAUGUAUCUAGACGCUUUUUAGGUAUAGAUACAUCCAUAUUUGAACAAAUUUGAGUCACUUAAUAUGGGACGGAGGGAGUACAUGUUUUAUUUUAAGUGCCAAAUUAAAGAAAGAAAGUAAGCCAUGUUUCUGAAAGAAAAGGGUUAUUUUCUACAACUCAUAGAGGGCGUUUCAUAUUGUUUCAGUCGUGGAAUAUGUGGAAGGAAGGGAAGGCAAAGGAGUUGGUUGACUCAUCUAUCAUGGACACCAGUUUAAUGGAUGAAGUCUUUCUUUGCAUCCAUGUGUGUCCAGGAAAACCCAGAUGAUAGGCCGCAUAUGUCAUCUGUUGUGUUCGUCCUGGAGAACGGAAGCACCACGCUUCCAACCCCCGAUCUUCCCGCCUACUAUGCACAACAACGCAUUGACUUGGAGCAAAUUAGAAACGAUAUUCUGAACUCCGUGAAUACUUUAACUCUUACCAAUAUUGAAGGGCGAUGAAAUAAUUUGUCUAAAGAUGGGCUAGCCCACGUGUAUGAGCUUGUAGUCUAGUGGUGGAGUGAAAUACUGAAAUAUUUCCUUCCUAUCCAGAGUACAAAAGAGUUGUUGUACUGAAUCUUCGACACUUGUUAUGGAUCGUAUGACAUCAGUUCAGAAAUGGUUGUUCAGUCAUCACUUAAGUUUCAGCAGUGACCUGCAUGCAACACAGCAAACUACGUUUAUCAUGUGCCUCUGGAUUUAUUUAUUUAUUUAUUUUUUUUUAUUUUUUUGCAGGGAUGUGCCUCUAGAUGUUCAUGCUUAAUAACAUGGGUAUUAAACUAGCUGAGAGCUCAGAACUAGAACAAUUGAGGGGCUUGAGGAAACAUCGAAGGAGCACGCUAUAAUCAAAGCACAUAAAUUUCUGCACUUUACUUUUUGCCUCUUACACAAUGCCAAGCAAAGAGCACACGCAGGGAGACUGGAGUGGAGAGGCACGAAGGCAGAGUUAAGAUACCUAACUUGGCAUCUGCUUAGUCUAAAUAAGCAUCAGUGCUUAACAAAAACCGGUUAAUUUUUUUAAGCACCCACCUAGGCAUCUUGCAUUGUACAUGCUCUUAGGGGGUUGGACCACCCUGAGAUUUUCUAAUCAUUUAUAUAACACGGUUAAAAAAAUUCAAAACAUCAAAAUAACUAAAUUAUAUGAAUAUUUUCACUGUUAGACCACCGCGGGGCGCGGGCGAGGGAAACAGAAUGAAGGGAAUGUCGAAGAUGGGCGACGUACAUACAGGUCCGAAGAAGAAGAGCAACAUACAUCAAAUAAAUACACGAGCAGAGUAAUCUAUAAACUCAGAGCAAAUGAAUUUUUGUCAAAGAAUUUAAAAACUCACACAAAAAAUUCUAAAUUUGGAUUAGUGAUACAAAUUAGUUCAAAUAUGGUUCAAAGAGGCUCACUUGGGACCGCAGCUUCUAGCUAGGUUUUCUCAUCUUGCAAAAUCACCACCGUGGAUAAAUCUCCUCCUGAUCGAAUCUCCCGAAUUGGUGACGGUGUUGUUUAAUCAAACUAGAGCACGGCGUCGAGACCGCACAUUAAUAUCUAAAUUUCUCAUCGGUCAUCGGUUGACGCACUCAACCAUGUCGGCCGCCGUCAAGACUGCGGGCGAGCAGUGAUCUGAUCGGUGUACCGUUAUCUUCGCGCCGAAGCAACCACCAAAGUUGAGGCCAUGGACGUGAGGCGUUUACUCGAUGUCCAUGUUGAUGUAGAGUUGCUUGACAUUUCCGUCCUAGUUCUAGUUCUAGAGUUAACUGAGGAUGCUUCUCUUGACGUUAGGCAGCGGGCCCUCAUGAACGACGAGGUGGAUAUAGGCCUCGAGGUCGUGGCAGCAUGAGGCAUCGGCAUCCAACCUAAGGUAUGUCGAUGCCAUGUUGUCAGCCUGAGCUCGCGGCCCAUGUUUGCGUAUCACAGCCUGUCGACAUCGGGAAAGAAGCAGCACAGGAAGACAUCAUGCACAUUCACCACAGGAAGGAUCCGCGCGCCUCCGCACGUUAUAUGGUCACCUACCUACCGCACGUUGUUGGCCACCUGCCUGCCAUGCUACUAAGAGCAAGAUUAAUAAUACAAACAUGUAUAAUGCUGGCUAUUAGCCCAUCAAUAGAAAACAUGUAUAAUAGUUAGCUAUAAGUAUGCACUAUUUUAUGAAUACAUUGCCCGCAUCUCACUCUCAUAGGAAGCCUAGGGGCAUGUGUGAUGCCACCGGCUGUUAGCUAGCAGCCCGCUUCUCUCCUCUCUUCCAUUCAACUCAACAAAAAUAUAGUAUUUAAAAGCUUACAACCUGCCCACGUAACCAUAUUGUACUUGCUCUAAGCUCUCGACUUGCUAUGGUUAGGGAAAUUGAGUACGAAAGAGCGUAUGCAUUCGAGUGAUCGUGUCGGAAAGAUGCAAUCAAUAUCAGCGAUCAUACGACUUGCGAAAGGAAACAAACACAUCCCCAUAUGUGGAGGAGGCCAAGGGUCUGUUUGGAUUGAGCCCCAGAUAGCCCUACCAAAAAAUUGGCAAGCUAUACUUGUUUGGUUUGCAGCCCUAGUGGAGCACCAAUUUUUUGGAAAACGAUUAGGCCACUAUUUGGUUUGCUUACAAGUACAGUUUCUGCAACUUUCAGUUCUUGAACGAGCAGAGAAGAACACCUCAAUCAAUUUAGAUCACUGAAGCAUGUAUAACCUGCUCCAAAUUCUCUUGCACUGGAGCAUCUGCACACCACUAGGAGCAGUACGCCUCCAUCGAUUUAGAAAUAUGUUGACCACAUCGUCGGGAUUUUGAGUUCUUCUCCAACUCCGGCCAACGCCCGCCGCAUCGAUUUCUUUGUUUUCCGGCGGGGUAAAGAUGGAUUCCUUGGGCAUCUAAAAUCAAAGACACAUAAUCUUCAUUUCCCAUCGAUCAAUUUUGAGUUUUGGACCCUGUAGCAUCACUCACGGGGAUGUUGCCGCCGGCCGCCACUUUCGCUGGCCGUAGUUUGCACAGCCGGACAUGCUGAUGCCACCAACGUAUUCCUGGAGUUCCUCUGAUUCCGUUUUGUGCUUAUCCGUCAUCCCCGAUUGCCCCAGAAAAAAACGGGAAAACGCAAGACAUGCAAGAUUAGCGAGAGGUUACGACGAGAAAGAGAGGAGAAUGCGGCUGCCAAAUAUUUGGCGGAGGAUUUCUACGCCCUGGACUCGCCCGCGAGUUGGUGAAAAAGCACGGGCGCGCUCGGGCGAGAGUUGGCUCACCAAAUUAUCGGUCACAGUCCAAACAACGGCCAAAUGUCACGGGCGUACCAAUUUUUUGGUAAGGCUUGCGUUGGCCAUAAACCAAACGUACCCCAAGUACACAACAAAAUACUGAAUUGUGGGAGUAUAUGGGCUGGAGUAAUGGGUCGAUUAUUAAAAUUUUGGACUGAAUUGUGGGAGUAUAUGGGCUGGAGUAAUACAUCAGUUACAGAUGUGUGGACGUGUGGUUUUAUGCAUCAAUGGAGAGUUUGAAGAAAAAAAAAAUAUUACAAGUCUGGAGGACUUAGCCACAUGGAAGAAUAAUUGAACCCCAUCAUGUAGUAUCCUGUCCUCUUCACACCAUCACCGAUACUUCGGUCUUCCCUGCAAUACAUACGGUCACCACUGCCCGAUGUCAGCGAGUAGAUCUGGUCGCGCGGCAACUCCUUCUCCUUAUUAGAGAAGGUGGGGCGAGAGUAGUAGAUGUGGUUUCUCUCCAAACCGCGUCGUUGGACGCCCAACGGCACGUGCACCGCCUUAGACCGCAGCAGCCCCCAAAACAAGGCAUAGUUGUCGAAGCUCGUAACCUCUUCCCAUUUGCAGUCGCCGGAGUCAGCAUCGACAAGCUUGAAGACCUUAAAGAAGGCUUCGCGGUUAGGCAGCCACCGGGUCCUCACAGCCAUGGACAGUUUACCCUGUAGCUCGAAGAUGUGGCCGGCGUAUUGCACGGGUUCAUCCCGCCUGGUGGGGCCAUCACGCCUUUGAAUGGCCAGCACGUGUGUGGCUGUGACCACCGGCGAGCCAUCUUCCUCCCAGCCGAUUGUAAACUUGAUGAGCUCCUCAUCCGGUGCAAGAAGUGUUGGAAUUUUGGGUUAGGCCCAAGGUCCAAUCUGAAAUUAAUUCCUGAAAAAUCUCAAAAGCCCAUUCAUGGAGUGGAAUGAGGAAGUGGGAAUAGUCCCACCUAGCUAGUUUAGGAGAGUUGGAUCAAUAUAUAAGAUAUGUUGGUUCUAACCUCUUGAACAAGUGAGCAAGGUAAAUCCCCACGCGCGCUCAUCCUCCUCCUCCUCCGCUCGCCUCGCCCCACGCCACGCCACGAGUUUCGUGGAUCGAUUUGGUCGGUGCGGUGCAGGGUCGUGCUUAUCUUGUUUUCCAUCCAGUCGACUGCGUGCAUAGAUCGUCGGGAGAGCAGGCCUCUGGAACCCCGACCUUCGAGAUCCUGUCCGAGAGACUGUCGAUAAGGUUUUUGGGAAGCGUUCUCAUGCGACUGCUCGCUUCUUCACGUCCCUGUUUCAUCGGCAUCUUCAUCACCAAUGGCCGAUGACCUCGGAGAUCCUGCGGCUCAGACUGCCGCUCUAGCUCAGCAGCAGCAGGCUGCCCAACUCCAAGCCCAGGCAAUUGCUGCUGCACAGGCGCUGGCCGCUGCCCAGGAGGUAGUCAAGACUGCUGCUGCUGCCGGCAUGAACAUCGACGCCGCCGGACUCGUCACCGACCUCAACAAACAAACACAAGAAAAGAGUACAACACUGUACGUCUGCUCUUUCUUGUUGAUUUUGAUUAGUAGUUCUAUUAUUCAUGUCGUGAAAUUAGAUGAGUUUUAUUAAUGUGCGUUGCUAUUUAAUUUGUCUAGUUUGCAUGAUAUAAUAUGCUACAUGUUUUACACAUUGUUUUUCUGGAUUAAAUAUUCAUCGAAAUUACCUAAUUAUUCAACAAUCCAAAAACCUUAUUCGUGUAGCCAAUUUUCGAUGUCUCAAUUUGCUGUCGCAUUGAAACCACCUGUGUUUACUGGACUGCACUUUAAGAGGUGGCAGUAUAAAUGUCAUAUGUGGCUCGUGGCUAUGGGCGCAUGGUGGGCGGUACAACACGGGAAGACUCAAACAAUUGCUCCUCAACAGUUGUAUGUUGAGGCUUGUGUUGUAGUCGUCGGUGUGAUCUGUAGUAUGCUGGGAGAUAAGCUCGUUGAUGCUUAUCUACACUAUCAGGAUGCCAAAGAGUUGUGGGAUGCGCUCGAUGCUAAGUUUGGCGCAUCUGACGCCGGCAGUGAGCUGUACAUCAUGGAGCAGUUCUUUGACUAUAAGAUGGUUGCAAACCGAUCUGUAGUGGAACAAGCUCAUGGGUUACUGACUAUGGCUAAGGAACUUGAGCAAUUCAAGUGUCCACUACCCGACAAGUUUGUCGCCGGGGGCAUCAUGGCCAAGCUUCCUCCCUCGUGGAGGAACUUUGCUACUUCACUAAAACACAAGAGACAAGAAAUCUCUGUGGAGAACCUGAUUGGGACUCUUGAUGUUGAGGAGAAGGCGAGAGCAAAAGAUGCUGGCCCCAAAGGCAACACGCAAGAGGGUACGUCCACUGCCAACAUGGUUCAGAGGAACAACCACAACAACAGUAACAGCAAGGGAAAGGGAAAGGCAUUCAACAAUGCUGGUCCAAAAAACACUACCACUUUCAAGAAGAAGAAGAAAAGAGGCAACAAGGACAAGGAUCCUUACUUUGUGUGCGGAGGACUCGGCCACUGGGCGAGUAACUGCAAGGAGCGCAAAGGAGGACAGAUUCGGCAAAAGUUUGCUAAUUUGACCAUUGGUAACAAUGAAGAUGCAGGUGGGUAUAGUCAUUUAUUUACUGUAUUUUCUGUAUGUCAGUCCACCGAUUGGUGGUCAAUACAGGUGCAACUAUUCAUGUGUGUGCUGAUAUUUUCUUGUUUUCUUCAUAUCAGGCCAUCAGCUCCUCAGUGACGAUGGGGAACGGCGCUCAUGCUUCUGUUCAUGGUGUUGGCACGGUGGAUCUGAAGUUUACUUCGGGAAAGAUCGUGCAGCUGAGGAACGUGCAGCAUGUGCCCUCCAUUCAGAAGAAUCUUGUUAGUGGAUCCCUCCUUUGCAAGGACGGAUUUAAGUUAGUGUUUGAGUCCAAUAAAGUUAUUGUGUCUAUGUAUGGACAAUUUAUUGGUAAAGGUUAUGAGUGUGGAGGCUUGUUCCGCUUAUCCCUUUCGGAUUUUUGUAAUAAGGUCGUGAACCGCGUCAAUUGUAUUAAUAAUGAGUCUAAUGUUUGUCAUUCAUGACUUUGUCACAUUAAUUUUAGUUGCAUGAUGCGAUUAGCAAAUCUGAGUUUAAUCCCUAAAAUCACUGUGGCUAAAGAUUCGAAGUGCCAAACUUGUGUGCAAGCGAAGCAGCCUCGCAAGCCUCACAAGGCUGCUGAGGAGAGGAACCUAGCACCAUUAGAACGCAUACAUUCUAAUCUUUGUGAGAUGAACGGUGUAUUAAUCAAAGAUGGAAAACGUUACUUUAUGACUUUCAUUGAUGAUGCGACUAGAUUCUGUUAUGUGUAUUUAUUAAAAUCAAAGGAUGAAGCAUUGCAUUAUUUCAAGAUCUAUAAAGCUGAAGUCGAGAAUCAACUUGAGAAGAAAAUUAAACGUUUGCGGUCUGACCGCGGUGGAGAAUAUUUCUCCAGUGAGUUUAAUUCAUUUUGUGAGGAACAUGGCAUAGUCCAUGAGAGGACACUUCCCUAUUCGCCCCAGUCAAACGGGGUUGCUGAGAGGAAAAUCCGCACGCUGACUGACUUGGUCAACGCCAUGUUAGACACUGGUGGUUUAUCCAAGGCAUGGUGGGGGGAGGCGCUAUUAACUUCGUGUCAUGUCCUAAAUCGUGUUCACACAAAAGAUAAAGUCACCCCAUACGAGCUAUGGGAAAAGAAGAGACUCACACUUUCUUACUUACGGACUUGGGGUUGUUUGGCGAAAGUCAAUGUGCCAAUUACCAAGAAACGUAAGAUUGGACCAAAAACCGUUGAUUGUGUCUUUCUUGGCUACGCACUUCGGAGUGUUGGCUAUAAAUUCUUGGUUGUAAAUUUUGGAGUACCUGACAUGAGCGUUGGUACAAUUAUGGAGUCCAGGGAUGCUACAUUCUUUGAGAACAUAUUUCCCAUGAGAGAUAUGCAUAGCACAUCUAGAGAGGAUCAUGAUGUACCUGCUGAACCCGUCAGUUCAGAGGAACAUCAGGAUCAUGGUGUAGCUCCUGAACCCGCCAUCCUAGUGAAAAAUCUUGAACAAACACUUGAUGAGAUUCCUGAGGAGUAUGACAAUGAAGCCCCUAUUAGGGGUAAGUGACAAAGGAUUGCUAAAUCCUUUGGUGAUGAUUUCAUUGUUUACCUUGUGGAUGACACCCCUAAAACCAUUAAUGAGACUUUUGCAUCUCCGGAUGCAGACUAUUGGAAGGAAGCCAUUCGUAGUGAGAUGAAUUCUAUCAUGGCUAAUGGUACUUGGGAGGUCGUUGACCGUCCGUACGGGUGCAAACCUGUAGGAUGCAAGUGGAUAUUAAAAAAAACUUAGGCCUGAUGGUACUAUUGAGAAGUACAAGGCGCGGCUUGUGGCCAAGGGUUUUACACAGAAAGAAGGUGAUGAUUUCUUUGAUACUUACUCACCUGUAGCUCAAUUGACCACAAUUAGAGUAUUACUAUCACUGGCUGCCUCAUAUGGUCUGAUCGUCCAUCAAAUGGACGUUAAGACAGCUUUCCUUAACGGAGAGUUGGACGAGGAAAUUUACAUGAAUCAGCCAGAUGGAUUUGUAAUAAAGGGUCAUGAAGGCAAAGUGUGUAAGUUAUUAAAAUCUCUAUAUGGCCUGAAACAAGCUCCUAAGCAAUGGCAUGAGAAGUUUGACAAAAUUUUAACAUCUGCCGGCUUUGUUGUAAACGAAGUUGACAAAUGUGUAUACUACUGCCAUGAGGGGCGGGGGUGAGGGAGUUAUACUUUGUUUGUAUGUCGAUGACAUACUAAUAUUUGGGACUAACCUCAAAGUGAUUGAAGAGGUUAAGACUUUCUUGUCGAAGUGCUUUGACAUGAAAUAUCUUGGUGUAGCUGAUGUUAUUCUGUACAUCAAGCUCGUGAGAGGCGACAAUGGUGAGAUCACUUUGUUACAAUCUCAUUAUGUGGAAAAGAUCUUGAGUCGUUUUGACUAUGCUGAUUGUAAACCUUCUACAACUCCUUAUGAUCCAAGCAUUCUGCUUCGAAAGAAUCACAGAAUUGGAAGAGACCAACUGAUAUAUUCUCAGAUUAUUGGUUCACUCAUGUAUUUGGCUAGCACAACUACACCUGACAUCUCUUUUGCUGUGAGUAAACUGAGUCGGCUCAUUAAGAAUCUGGGAGAUGAUCAUUGGAGUGCACUCGAGAGGGUCAUGCGCUAUUUAAAGGGCACAAUGAGCUAUGGUAUACACUAUACUGGGUACCCCAAGGUACUUGAGGGUUAUAGUGAUUCAAAUUGGAUAUCUGAUGUUGAUGAGCUAAAGGCCACUAGUGCAUAUGUGUUCACACUCGGAGGGGACGCUGUUUCAUGGAAGUCUUGCAAGCAAACGAUCUUAACCAGAUCAACAAUGGAAGCAGAACUUUCAGCAUUAGAUACAUUCACGGCUGAAGCCGACUGGCUUCGUGAGCUCUUGAUGGACUUGCCGAUUGUUGAAAAACCAAUACCAGGGAUUCUUAUGAACUGUGACAAUCAAACUGUGAUAGUGAAAGUGAACAGUUCUAAAGAUAACAUGAAGUCAUCAAGACACUUCAGGAGACGUCUGAAAUCUGUCAGAGCAAUGAGAAAUUCCGGAAUAAUAGCAUUGGGAUAUAUCCCAACGGCUAAAACUCUGGCAGAUCCCUUUACAAAGGGUCUAUCAAGGAAUGUGAUAGAAUCUGCAUCAAGGGAGAUGGGGUUGCGACCCACGUGAGUUACCAUGGCGGUAAACCAACCUAUGUGAUCGGAGAUCCCGUGAAUUGGGACCUGGGAAACAAGUCAUUGGAUAACUGAGGAGAGUGUACAUUCUUUAUCCCACUCCGUUGACGAUGCAUUACUCUCGUGUACUGUAUGGUAGGUUGUUAACUUAAUGUGUUCUAACGCGUUACAUUAAUUUGCAAGGGAGAUACUGUCCUACAGAGUAGUCUCUAAAGAACACACCUAUAUGAACCUGACUGUCGGUCGCAGUCUAUGAGAUUUAGGUGGUCUCUAGUAAGCUCAUGAAAAGGCCUGGAGAAUGACUUAUAUGCUCCACACCGCGGGAUAGCAUUCGGCAGCCUAAUACCAGACAACAAUUUAGUGAAGCUCUAAUACAGAAAACUGACAAUUCAAGAUUUGUCCAUUGUUCAGUUGUGUGUGAGUGAAGCUAUUUGUUUAGGUGGAUAUUCAACCUUAACCAGUCUCCACUGAAACGCUGAUAUAUCAAAAACAGAGUUUUGGAUCAAUGGCAAUUUUAUGUGCUUAUGAGAUAUUGUGGAGGAUUGUUGGAAUUUUGGGUUAGGCCCAAGGCCCAAUCUGAAAUUAAUUCCUGGAAAAUCUCAAAAACCCAUUCAUGGAGUGGGAUGAGUAAGUGGGAAUAGUCCCACCUUGCUAGUUUAGGAGAGUUGGACCAAUAUAUAAGGUAUGUUGGUUCUCAACUCUUGAGCAAGUGAGUAAGGGAAAUCCCCACGCGCGCUCCUCCUCCUCCUCCGCUCGCCUCGCCUUGUCACGACGCGCGCGCGCCGCGUUUCGUGGAUCGAUUUUGAGUCGUGCCGGGCCAGGCCGGGGCAGGGUCAUGCUUAUCUUUUUGGCAAUCGGAAUCCGUUCCGGACGCGUAACAAAUCCCGAUAAUUGCGGAGUCGGUUUUGGUUUUUUAAACCGAACCGAAGUCCGCCUACAUGCCGAUAUAAUAAGACGACCGCGACCGCGGCCUCCGGACGUAUGACGCCACAACCCUAGCCAUCACGGUCACGAUCCAAUCUCGCUGUUCGCCGCCAACUGCUACUCCAUCCCGUCGACUGCGUGCAUAGAUCGUCGGGAGAGCAGACCUCCGGAACCCCGACCUUCGAGAUUCUGCCCGGGAGACGGUCGAUAAGGUUUUUGGUGAGCGUUCUCACGCGACUGCUCGCUUCUUCACGUCCCUGUUUCGUCAGCAUCUUCAUCACCAAUGGCCGACGACCUCGGAGAUCCUACAGCUCAGGCUGCCGUUCUAGCUCAGCAGCAGCAGGCUGCCCAACUCCAAGCCUAGGCAACUGCUGCUGCACAGGCACAAGCGCAGGUGCUGGCCGCUGCCUAGGAGGUAGUCAAGGCUGCUGCUGCUGCCGGCGUGAACAUCGACACCGCCGGACUCGUCACCGACCUCAACAAACAAACACAAGAAAAGAGUAUAACACCGUACCUAAUCUGUUUUUUCUUGUUGAUUUUGAUUAGUAGUUCUAUCAUUCAUGCCGUGAAAUUAGAUGGGUUUUAUUGCUGUGCGUUGCUAUUUAAUUUGUCUAAUUUGCAUGAUAUAAUAUGUUACAUGUUUUACAAAUUGUUUUUCUAGAUUAAAUAUUCAUCAAAAUUAUCUAAUUAUUCAACAAGAAGGUCAAGGCCAUGCGCAAGGGUAAGGCCAUAGAGAUCACCGUUGCAGAAGGCUAUAUCUAUGAAAAUCCUCUUGCGCCAACCAGACUCCUGGGCGGCCCUGGCCCAGCCGCUGUGGGAGCCAACUUUGCACAGCGCGACGUUGAGCCAAUCCUCGGUGAUGGCGGCGAGCAAGCAGCCGUCGGAGGUGGGUGCUUGGGAAAAGAUGAGUUUCGGGAUGGUGUUUUCCCUAGGAUCGCCACCUGGCGCGAUCCAGUAGGGGGAAGGGAACAUGCUCUGCUUCGGGGAGAGAACCCACCUCAACGCCGGAGAAGAGGUUCACGAUCACGAGCUCGCGGUUGUUGAACGCCGGGACCCAGCCGCCGUCGUGGGAGCCAGUCAGGAGCUUCCUGGCCACCUUGCUCGGGACGCGCAAGACACAACAACUGUCCUCGUUGGGGCCGCACAGGUGCUUCGUCUCGCUGCGGCAGCGUUGGGAGAGGAGCAGCAGUGGGGCUGCGGGCUGCGCCGUCGGGAGGAAAGCCUCAAGUGGACCAUGCCGACGAGGUCGUCGCAGAGGUCGGACCACCGCGCUGACGAUUCUGUGCUGCCGUUCCCGGCGGUCAUCCGCAGAGGCGAUUCGAUGAUAGAUCACGUGUACCGUGGUAUUUGGCGAGUGUACCGACCUGUAAGUCCGCUAACGCAAAGCGAGGAGUUGGUACUAGUCUAUCGGCCGAACAUCAAAUCUAUAGCCGAAUAGAUUUGUUCGAGUAUGAUUGAACAAAUCUACAGCCGAAUAGACAAAUCCGACCGUUCGUAGGAUCGACAACUUUUGUUCUCUGAGAUAAACAAUCAAGGUCUCGUACAGGCUAUACAGCCGUCUUGGCGUUGCAGGCGCGGCCGCAAUCCAGCCAGCGCGUGCCGGAGGGGCCUCUCAACGGAGGACGCGGUCGGUCUGCCGGUCCAUCACGUUGGGCGUUGGGCGUUGGCCGUCACGUACUUGACUUGAGCGACAUGAGUUCGAUGGACGAUGCCUCCUCUUCAAGCAAAUACUCCGUACUUGUGAAAUGUGAGCUCUUAUUUCAGAUGAAAUGUUGUGUUGUCAACUUGUCAAGGUGCCGUGUAACGCCUCCUCGCUUCCUUCUUCCUCCUCGGGCUCACCGGGUGAGCCAAGCAACCCGCUCGCUGGAUGUCAGACACACUGAUCGGCUGAGGAAAUGCUGCUUUGCUUGCAGUUUUUGUGUUCUUGUGCAUCUGUGAUCUGCGUAAGUCACAGUGAUCGGCUGAAGCAAUACUCCCUUGCCUGAUUCCCCUCUUUUCCCUCUGUUUCAAUCUCUCUAUCCGUUCCCCUUUUUCUACAGUCUGUUGCGACAUGGAGGAGAAGAGUUUGAUUCGGUCGACACUGGGAAAUUUCAUCCAGAAUAUGAUUGGUAGGCCCAAGAAAAAAAUGGUUUCAGAAGAGACAAGGUGUUCUAUCAAAAUGCCAAUCAAAAAUGUGUUAUUUUGACUUAGUUUGACACUGAUGAAUUGGACUGCAAUGAAAAAGUACAUAUGAAAGAAGAAAAAGGUUGGAUAGUCAAAAAACAAAGUCAGAAUAUGGUUGGAAAAACUUAAUUAUCAUAAUCCACCACAAUGCUGCGAAACCAACCCUUUGUCUAAGACAAAGAAAGAUGUGCACAUUUUGAUUGCUGAUGAUCUUGGCUAAUUUUUUUUAAAUAAUACUAUUUUUUUAAUCAUUUUUAAAAAUAAUACGUGUUUUUUAAAAAUUUCAAAAAUAAUGCGGCCUCGGCCUAGGCGAGGCCGAUUGAGCUCAGUCGGCCUCGGCCAGGCCGACUGCAGGCCGCCUGCUCAGCCCGCGAGGCCCCCACGAGGCAGUCGGCCUGGCCCAAGCCGACUGAAACCUAGGCCAACUGGCCCAGUUGGUUUCGGCCAGGCCGACUGGAUUCAGUCGGUUUGGGCCAGGCCGAUUCGAAGUAAUUCCAUUUUUUGUUUCGGAUCCUUGCGGUCUUUUGAACUAAAAUACUCAACUUGGAUAAAAGUAACACACCGAAUCCGAUCAGAAGUAAUUAGAUUUCGCCGCGAGUUCGUGCAUGAUCAACGCAUACACAGCCGAAGCUCAUUUUUGUCUCGAAUCCUUGCGGUUUUUUGAACUAAAAGACUUAACAACUUGGAUAAAGAGUAACAUACAUCGAUAAUUUGCUGGACAAUUUUUGUGUCGAUUCUUUGCGGUUUGUUUGAACUGGAAGACUUGACAUUUGGAUAAAUUUGGAUAAAUUAACAUACAUCGAUAAUGUGCUGGUUACAGAACCAAGGCAUGACUAAAUUAACAUACAUUGGUAAUACCGCAAUUGGACAUAAUUAAAGAUAGCAAAUACAUUUGAAACACAAGCACUACUGAGUCCACUUAGCCAUUUUCCGCUCGUAUCGCCACGUCCUUCUGCAGCCUUUGCCACGGCGGCCCUUUCUCUUUGCCUCUCCCUUUCUGCCUCACGAGCAUCCUUGCGACUUUGUUCCUCCUCUUGCAUCUCAAGUGCUUUCUCCCUGUUUUUCCUAAGUGCUUCAUCAAUCCAACGACGUUGUUCCUCCCUAUGCUCUUUCAUCUCUCUCUCUUGCUCCUCUUUCUCCUGGUCUGAAGCUUUUUCCACAUGCUUCUCCGCGUGGAAACACUGCCAUGCAUUUCGGGACCUUGUUUUGAUCUCUUCCACCGCCCAAUCCGGCAUCUCCGUGUCAUCCUCCUCGGCCUCUCGCCCUGGUCCGAGCAAGGCAAACUCAUCGGGGUCACUGGAAUAUUGGAAAAAACAGUAGUGGGAAGGAUGCUUGGAUGACUACCGGAGAUGAGGUAUUUAUAGGCUCUCAAACUCAUUCUCCCGGCACCGUUUCCCGCCUCGUUUUCCCGCCAGCGUUUCCCGCCUCCUUUUCCCACCACCGUUUCCUGCCUUUUUCCCGUCACUGUUUCCCGUCUAUUUGUAUCUUCUGUAACUAUAAAAGACCGUCCAUGGUAUUGAAGUGUAGUCUCACCAUUUCAUCUGGGAAGAUGUCGUCCGGCUUCCCAGAUGAUCGUAGAUUUUGGUCAGGUAUGUCCCGAGAGCUAUUGUGGUUAGCAGGUGAUUUCAAGGUAGACAAUAGGAUAGUUUCAUGGGACGAACUCAUUAGUAGUGACACCCUACUAACUGAGCUGAGCCACCAAUUAUAUAGGUGCAAUUUUCCAUUGAGGACUUCUGCAGAGAUACGGCAAGAACUGCUAAGGUUGCACGAAAGGUGGAAGAAGCACAGUGAACGUAAGAGUGAGUCAUACCUACAAUGGGCUAGAAAACAUCCGUGUUAUGGGUUGAAGAGGAGGAAUCCGAUGAAGAUAUCUUCAUGCCAAGCAAAACGGGUAAGAGUUCUUCAUCGUCCAAGGGGAAGAGUACUGCACCAUCGAAGCGAAAGAGCACAUCAUCGUCCAAGGGGAAGAGUACAUCAUCGUCCCAUGAAGAUAUCUUCAUGCCAAGCAAAACGGGUAAGAGUUCUUCAUCGUCCAAGGGAAAGAGUACUGCACCGUCGAAGGGGAAGAGCACAUCAUCGUCUAAGGGCAAGAGCACUUCAUCUUCGUAGAGUUAGAAUUAGGUUAUCUUAUUUUAAGUUGUCGAUUUUAAUUUCAGUCUUUCUAUUGCAUAUAUAUUUCAGUCCUGCCAUUUUUUAUAUGCAAAUGUAACUUGAAUAAGAAUGCGAAAAAUAGUAACAUGUAUCUCUCAUACAUAGGUAGAAAUAUGUCUCAUACAUAGAUAGAAAUAUGUCUCAUACAUAGGUAGAAAUAUGUCUCAUACGUAGGACCUACAUGCAAAUAUCAGGCACGGUGUCUGGGACGGCGUUCCGGGGGUGCCUAUGGCGUGGUCCAGCCAUACCUAUGAGGUGGCACAACGUUGCGCGGAGGAAUCACGGACCCAUCCUCACGAUACUGUGUAUCCUCCUGUGUGGGGUCUGGUCGCGGAGUACUGAACAUCCAGCUGUGUUGGAGAGAAUAGUGCUCUCCUCGAGCGUGAUCCUGCUCACUAUCCCACGAGGGUUCGGACAACGACGACUGAUGCCCGUAGGGUCCUGCAUGUGGGAAAGUACUUAGCAUUAGAAUUGUGUAGCAAUCAUGGUAAUGAACACAAUAGAUAGAAAUAUACAUACCCUGUGGCUGGGUCUGUGGACGAAACUCGAAGUUCAUCCUGCGACUCUGCUGGUGCUGCCACGCCGAACCUCUAGCCUGAAAAGAGGGGGGCUGCUGCUGCCACACCGAACCUCCAGCCUCAAAAGAGGGCUGCAGCUGGUGCCAAUAGUUGAAAGAAGACUGCGGCUGGUGCCACGACGAACCUCCGGCCUGCUCAGGAGGUGGUGGCCUGGGCGUCGACUGCUCUGGUAGACGUGGACGCGGGUGGUGUCGGGGGAGCGGUGCUUCCUGCUGACAUGGCCGCUGCUGGUGCGUGGAGUGACGAGGUGGCCGUACGGAUGCCUGGUGGUGAACGACGUCCGAAGUGCAGGUGCACGUGAUAGCCGCGUAAACAGAGCGUAGCUUCUCCUUCAUUCGUCUAAGCCAGGACUGGUGCGGCUCCCGUGGUAGUAGAAGUGGACCGGUCGAAAGCGAACGUCCAUACGCAGCGAACUCGGCCUGUAAAUUCUGUGUCAACUGAGCCUGCAAUUGGCACGAAGAGUAUUACAUAUAUAUGGCAAAGUACGUAACAAACACAUGCAUUAUGUUAAGAGAAGAUACUUACCGCGUGCUGUCUAGAGCCUGAAGUAGACUGGCUAGGGUACAUAUCUUGCAAACUCGGCUCGGCUAUCUCCUGGGGGUGAGAGUGCUGAAUGAUGCUCAAUCGGGUAGCUGUCAUGUACCUCUGCAAAUAUCCGUUGAAUAGAUCAAGAUCAAAGGCCUCCAAUGGCCAAACCCGUGUCGUCGCAGUCUCCCACUCUGUGACGUACGACUGAACCCUCUGCAGUCACUGAGUCAGGGUCCUGGUACUUCCCUUCCUGGUAAACCUGAGAUCGCAAUAGAAAGUUGAACAAUUAAAUUAUGGAUAAUUCUGGACGACAAUCAUAAAUUGCAGAACUGCACAUACCUGUGGACGAUCUGUGGAAGUGGAUCAUCCGUCGGUGGAGGAACGACCAACCGGCGUGCCCCAAACUACCUCAUGACCCUCUGCUGGGCCAUCUCCUCCAUGCAGACGUCGAAGAUGAUCUUUGAUUUUGUCAUCCAGUAAGCAUAAUCUCUCGUGCAGACCGUGGACAUCCCGCCAGGGUAUCUAUCAUCGAUGGCAUCUUGUGUGUACGGCUCCUAGACAACCGCCUCAGAGUGCAACACGUCGAACUGCUCGUUGAAUGAUGGGUAGCAAUUCCUGACCUGAUCGUGUGCAAAGCGUCUCUGUAAAAAAAAGAAGUUAGCUUCAUUCAUGGUUUAUGUAAACUAAUGUAUGAAUUUCACAUUCGACAUACCUUGCUACGUGUCCAAAUUGUCGCGAAAGUAGGCAGGUCGAUGUGUUCUAAGUCAAACAACUCCUGCUCAGGGUUAGGGUGAUCACCCGUAACGUCUGGUCGGCCGAUAGAAAACCUCUCCCACGACCAGAGCUGCAACAAUAAAGGACAUCCAAGCAGGGCUGACUUGGGCGACGCAAGCUGGCAAGCGUUGCACAUACCUCGGUACGUAGCCGCUAAGACGGCCGAACCCCAACUCCUCUGUGUGAUGUCGUCACCACAAGUUGCAUUCGCGAUCUCCACUGCAAUAGGGAUGUAGCGUGCGCUAAUGGUGGUGACGUGGUUCUCGGUGAACAUCACCUCCCGAGAAGCCACAUUAUAUAUGCCUCAAGGCUCCGAGUGAUCUGAGGCUCAGUCAUUUGGGUCUCUGUAUACCCAAACUUCUGAAUCUGCAUGCAACAAAAACCAAGUGUUAGUAAACCCAUGCAAGUAUAUGAGGUAUGCUCUUAGAUAUAUUAACUUAAAACACAUCGAUCUAACCUGGUAAUUAGGCAACCAAUCUAGCUUAGGUCCGUGAGCCUCCGAGGUAGGGGCUCAGCUCCGGCAAGAAUACCUUGAAAACGUAGGGAACAAAUUAACCCAUAGUUCCACAUAGCGUACAAAUUAAAACACAGGGCACAAAUUAACACAUACCUUGAAAGCGUAGUGCCAUACCCUCCUGCCAAUCAGCUGGUGCCUGCAACGGUCCUAUGGGAUCACCCACCAAUGGUAGUCCCAGCAGCAUCGAGACAUCCUGGAGAGUAGGAGCUAUCUCUCCCCAGUGAAAAUGAAACGUGUGUGUCUCGGGCCUCCAUCUGUCCACUAAGCAGCUCAGCAGCAAGUGGUCAAUUUGUAGCCGUGUAGAGUUGAAACCUCGUCGCUCACCCUCUACCAUUUCCGCACAAGUUGCCCCAACAAGUCGUGCGAAAGGUAAAAGGCCAGCCCACUUCAAACUGCAUAAAUAAAAUGGACAUGCAAGGGAUGAAUAAAUAAAAUGUAAAUGCAAGGGAUGAUUGAAUAAAAUGUACAUGCAAGGGAUGAAUAAAUAAAAUAGACAUGCAAGGAAUGAAUAAAUAAAAUGUAAAUGCAAGUGAUGAUUGAAUAAAAUGUACAUGCAAGGAAUGAAUAAAUAAAAUGGACAUGCAAGGGAUCAUUGAAUAAAUACCGCUGAAUCCAGGCAGGGUGUAUCAUCCAUUUUCCCUUAGGAGUGCGCGUGACAAGGGGCUCGACACUCUCAGGAUGCGCCACCAAUCGAGCAGCCUGAUGCUUACUCUCAAUCUCCGGAGAAAGCAAUGAUACUCUCUCCAUUUUGUGCCUGCAACAUUUAUAAACAAAGUUAGACAUACAAAUUAAAGUUAAGCAUAGUUAAACCGAGAGUACAUAUUAAAACAUAGUUGAACAAAGCGUACAAAUUAACACACAGUUCCACACAGAGUACAAAUUAAAACAAAGGGCACAAAUUAACACUUAGUUUCAGAUAGUACAAAUUAAAGCUUAGUUCCACAUAGAGUACAAAUUAAAACAUAGAGCACAAAUUAACACAUAGUUUCACAUAUAGUACAAAUUAAAACAUAGAGUACAAAUAAAAACAUAGAACACGAAUUAACACAUAGUUUCACAUAUAGUACAAAUUAACACAUAGUUUCACAUAUACAUGAUAAGCCUAGUUUCUUCCUCUCCCUCGUCGUCCACGUCUCCCUCUUCUACGGGCAGUAGCUCCACCAGUACCGAAAGUUGGACAAUAAGUGUCCCUGUGGCCAAAAUGGUUGCAUAGAAAACAUUGUCGUGACGGUCCUCCGGCUUCAGAUUCAUCCAUAUCAUUUCGGGUGCACCUGAACGGGCGUCUGCCUGUGCCUGUACGCAGUAGCCCGGGGUCAGGAAUGUACCGCCUUUCACCAGGGGUUACCUUGUUGAAAUUGCCCAUUGCACAAAACCCUAGCAUCUCACCCGUCCAUGUGCUAGGCACAGACUCUUUCAGGUAAUAGGGAGACACAAAUGAGAUUGCGUCCAUCCCUAGCUGCCCGCAAGCAACAAGUACAUGUGAGCAACGAAGGUGAAGCAACUUUGGUUUGUUGCAGGUGCACUCACACGUUGGCCACGCUUCAUUUCCAAUCUUCACCUCCUGUGUCCUCAAUUCAUUUCCAACGCCGAACUUGUCAGUUGGCAAGCGCACCUCAAACCUAUGUUCUUGAUUACCGAUGGCGACGACAGUAUGAGACGUAGCUUUUCCAUCUUCUCAUCCAUGUACUUCAUAAUCUUUUCACGGUACGGUGUAUUUGGGUUGUUCAUGAUAUGCAUUUCAGCUCUCUGGCGUCUAUCUCUGAAAUACUUCACCGUGCCAUGGAAAAUACCCUCGACGAUGGCUGUAAGUGGUAAAGCCCUAUUUCCCCUCAGGACAAAGUUGUAUGUUUCUGCCAGGUUAGUAGUCAUGACGCCGUACCUAGCGCCAUGUGUGUCAUGCAGCAAAGACCACCACUCCAGAGGCUUGUGCUCUAUCCACUGCUGAAAGUUUUUAAUCUGCCUCCCAACCCUUCUCCUAGUGCCGGGUGGGUCAAACCCUGGCAAGUCACAAAGCCCAACAAGUUCUUCCUCAGAUGGUCCUGUUCCAACUGCUGUCUGUGCAGCCACUGCUGCUACAUGUGCUGCUACCGCUGCGUUUCGUGCCGCUGUCCUCUCCCUAACAUGUUUCUUCUUGAACUCAUCAAGAUAACCACGUAUCCUAGUGUACUUCCAUUGUUGGUUCUGUUUGCAGAGUUUCUUGAAUAGAUUCAUAAGUGACUUGUUCCUGAACUGCGAGAAGAAGUUGGCCCCCAAAUGCCGCAUGCACCAACGACUCUGCAUGUCCUGCCAUGGAGUCUGUUCAUCAGGCUCAGGGUUUGUCAGUGUCCUUAUCACACUAAGUAUGCCUGCAUGUCUGUCAUGAAGGAUGCACACAUUCGGCUUAAUCAUGCACAAUUGCUCUCUUGAGCUGCCUGAAAAACCAUAACCAACUUUAAGUUUUCUCACCCUCCACGAAAGCAAAUGCGAGCGGAACGAUUUGAUAGUUGCCGUCUUGACCAAUGGCGGUCAAGAUCUGCCCCCUGUAUUUGCCAGUGAGAAAAGUACCAUCUAUGCAUAACACCAGUCGACAAUGAUGGAAAGCUUGAACGCAUACACCGAAAGUGAAGAACAGUCGUUGCAGCACCCUCACAGUUGGAUACUCUGAGUGCAGGAAGUGUUGGAUGUCGACAUAGGUGCCUGGAUUACGGGCUUGCAGUGUAUGGAGGAGGCGGACAACAGAGUCGUACGAGUCGAAAAACGAACCAAAUCUUUCCUCAAGAGCCCUCUGCUUAGCCCUCCAAGCCUUGCCAUACGAAAUGUUGUACUUAAACCUUACCCUGACCUUAUGCAUGAUGGCCUUCACUUCCAUUGCUUUGCUCUCCACUAUCUCCGUGUAAAGCAACCGAGCAAGAAGCGUCGACGAGAGGUUACGAUGGUCUUGAGGGAUACUGGGAAUGACACAUGUGUGCAACAUCAAGUCACUCACAACCCAAUCUGUGUCAUACUUAGGAACAUAGCCAUGCACCCUCCCGGGACAAUCUACUUGUUCACACUCCAUUGUAAGAUAUUUUUGUGAAGAGACUGUUGUUUUGAAAACCCUUUGCGUGGACAUUGCCCAAGCAAUUAUCGCAUCCUGCAGAUGUUUCUUGUCAGCAAAUCUGGCACCCUUCGCAAUGUUGUUCUGAUGAUAUUGUCAUGCAGAGUCGUGCCCAUCGUUCACGGUCAUAGCUGAAGAGAAGUGUUGAUUCCAUGAUGCAGGAGUCGGCACCUCCUCUUUGUCCGACUCAUGAGACUCAUCGUCAUAAGAACUACGGCCAUAUGUAUCUUCAUCCUCCAUCUCGUUCUGCAAGUGACCAUCUUCUUCGUCCGCAUCUGCCUCGCCAGUGUACUCAUCCUCUCCUACUGCCCCGGAGCUCUGGCCUGAUUCAUAACCACCACCUCCAGUAUUCGACACAGAGUUUGCAUUGGACAAGUCAUAAUUUGAUUCACCCUCGCCUUCAGCUGGAUUGGUCUCAUGAGCGACAACCUGGAUUAAGGCGACAGGUGUAGUUCCCCUUUUCUCGCAACUUUUUAACCAGCGCACCCACUUUGAUGUCCAGUCUAUCGGCCUCAAAACCAAAAAAAUAUUUGAACUUGACUUGGUCCACAAUGCUUGCACACGGGCGGUGUAUGUUUCAGGAUUGACCGCUAAACAUCCUACCAACCAUUCCUGCAACUGACUAAACGUCCAUGUUUGAGGGGCCGUUAGAUCCAACUCCACAUACUUAAACUGACUCAGGUCAGCUCCGUGCUCGGUUGUUAAGACAGUACCGGAACCGUAGUAAAAAACAAACUUCACUACACCGGACAUCUCUGAUGCCUAAAAAAAUGUUUAGACGCAUCAAAUACUAAGCAAUACGGCAUAUAAAAAAUAUUAUGACACGUCAAAUACUAAGCAGUACGGCAUAUUAAAAAUAUUAUGACGCGUCAAAUACUAAGCAGUACGGCAUAUUAAAAAUAUUAUGACGCGUCAAAUACUAAACAGUACGGCAUAAAUAAAAUCUAGCCUAAUCAAAACAUAUUACUACCGGCCAUACUAUUUGGACGCGUCAAAUACUAAGCAGUACGACAGAUUUAAAAUAUUAAUAGGUGUCAAAUACUAAACAAUACGGCAUAAAAAAAAUCUCGUCUAUCAAAACAUAUUACUACCGGCCAUAAUAUUUAGACGCAUCAAAUACUAAGCAGUACGACAUUACCCGUUGUCCAAAAUAAUGAGCACUACCAAACGCUAAAACAUACUUCUGGCAUCAUCACCAUUGCUCCAAUCAAAACAUAUACAUUGAAGCAGUGCACACGAAUCCUCAUAAACAUCAUGUGUCUAAGCAGUACACACGUAUCCUCAUAAACAUAUACAUUAUAAGAUAAAUACGUGAGAGAUUAGGAUUUACCCUUGAAGCGUGUGAACCCAACCUCGAGCAACCUCACAGUCACCCGAUGAGCACCACCACCUCCAAACUCCUCCAAACCACCACCAUUGCUCCAACUUUGCACCACAAAAUUAGCUCUACAUGGCCAAUGAAAACAGUAGAUCGAGGUGUCUUUGGGUGCCAACUAGGUAGGGGAUGCGAUUUUGUGGUUUAAAUGGGAUCAAAGUGCACUAAUUUGGGCUAGAAAAUGGGGCCAUUUGAGGAGAAAAUGAAGAACACAGAAGAGAAGAAGCUGGCUGGGAGAACGAGCAGAGGAGGAAGAAGCUGGCUGGGCUCACUCGGGCACGCACGGGAGGGAUGGGAAGGCAAAGUGAAAAAGGAAAAGGAAAAAGAUUCCGGCCCCGAACCCACCAUGCCGCUUUCGGCCACGACGAGGCCGACUGGCCAGUCGGCCUGGGCCAGGAUAACUGCCUCGUGGGGGGCCCACAGGCUGAGCAGGCGGCCUGCAGUCGGCCUGGCCAAGGCCGACUGGGCCUAAUCGGCUUGGGCCAGGCCGACUAGGCCCAUUCGGCCUUGCCCAGGCCAAGGCCGUAUUAUUUUUGAUAUUUUUGAAAAACACGUAUUAUUUUUGAAAAUGAUUAAAAAAAUCGUAUUAUUUAAAAAAAAUUAGCAUGAUCUUGCCGGUAGUUUGGUUUAAUGGAAUAGAAGGUAUUUCGUCUCAAAAAAGCAUUUAAAACAAACAUAAAAAUAAUAUAUCAAUGCCAAAUUUCUCAAGAUGGGUGACGUAGAGGGGAUGAGGAAUGUUCCCAAUCCUAAGCAUCCCGGCUAUCCCAGCCGAAAUACAAGCCUGUCCGGAGAGUACUCAUGAGUUCCCCGUUCGGUUGCAACAACCCCUGCAGGGAUUGAGUGGCGUUUAGAGAAAAUUGAACUAAACUGUCAUCGUUACUUCUCAAUCCCCAACGAGAAAGCCGUGCGAAAAACCCUGACAAUGAGGAUACACAGGGCAAAACCGAAGAAACAAGCCGCUACCGCGAAAACGAAACCCCUCCCGCUCCAACGACGCCGAACAGGGAACAUCACCUUGCGCCAGAGCGGGUAGGCAGAACUGGACUUCUUCGACGACCGGAGACAGGAAGAGGUUGCCCUGACAGGAACGGCUCGCGCAACGGCAAGCCUGCGUAGCACGAAGUCGCCCUCCCUGGCCAGCCCCACCGCGGCAAGCAAACUCUGCCGCCAGACGAGGGCUCCAAAGGUAACGCCUCCAAGGAGGACACGGCGUCCGAAGACGCCACCAUUGCCCGAUCCGAAAAACGCAUCUGAGCUUUCGCUCGGAGGCACCUCGCCUGCAAAAGGUGGGAUGUAGUAGGGCUGCACGAUGACGCCUUCAAGAAGGGAGCGGCGUCCAAGGACGCUGUCAUCGCUGGCACCAAAGGCGGUGCAGGGUUUUCACCCGCAGCCCACGCACCCAGCGUGAAUAGGGGCAAAAAACCUUCGCAAUGAAGAACUGACCAGAGGCCAGAGGCCACCAAAGCUCCGUGCGCACCGACGUAGGUCCGUCGACGCCAAUGGCCCAAACUAUCAGCCGCCAGGGCAUCACAACCGCCCCACGCACCGGCUUUGACGCACACUCGGCCCGCAGGCCCAAGCCGGACCCAAAACGGGCCCGCCCGCCACGGGCCAUCGAGCCGGUCGGGAACCUCCACGCACCGGCAAGUGCACGGCAAUGCUGCAACCACAUGCCGCCUAGCAGAACUGGCCGGCUGCCUGGGCCGGGCUCAUAUGUGAGCCCACGCCACCCAUCUGCACCCAGCAGACCAGUGCCGCCAUGCUGCCCAGCACCGCUCUGCGCCGACGGCCCCACGCGCCACCCCACGCCUCCACGCGUUCCCCGCCGUCAUCUCGCGCCACCAGGCGCCGCCUCGUCGUGGGAGAAGAGGAAAACGCUCCGCCGCCACCUUCCUUUGGCGUGCGCAGGCUUCGCCGGCACCCCCUUCGGCGGCAGCAAAGCAGGGGAAAGGGAGGAGGAGGAGGAAGACCGGUGGCGGCUAGGGUUUCAGGCAACACGGGGUAGGAGGAUGAUCCUUUGAUUUUAGUAUUUGCAUCUAGAUGUGGCCAAUGACUACAGAACGUACCCCAAUGCAGCAACUCAAUCCAUCAAAAAUAAAAAUAAAUCAAAGAGGCCGAAUAGAACAUGAAAUCCGAUAGAUCGAAUACGUUCAUAGGAUCGACACUUUGUGUUCUUUGAGAUAAAGAAUCGGAUUCCUAACAAUAUAUAGAAAGGGAUUUUGUUUUGUUUGUAGCCUUGUAUUAGGCAACUAGCCGCUGCUACUCGUAAUCGAUGGAAACAGAAAUGGGGAUGUCGACGGCGCCGUGGUCCUCCCUCCCCGACGACCUCCUCGGCCUGAUCCGCCACAGGAUCGCCUCCCCGCGUGACCGCGCGCGCCUCGCCGCCGUCUGCUGCUCUCGGCCACAGACCGGUGCCCGCAACGCACAAUCCGGCAGCGACGGCGCGACCUCUCCCGACUCCCACUCCCAGCUCGUCGCCUCUUCAAUCUUCUCGCGCUUGGCGCCUGCAACUCCGGCCAGCUCGACGGUGGAGAGGCCAAUCUGCACGGCAGCCGCAACUAAAGGACGGCACCAACUACCGAAUCAGGGGUAGGCGCAAGUUAGUUUCAGGUUGAGUUGUUGUUCAGAUCCGAGUUGUUGUCACGCUGUUCAGAUUUUGUUGUCGAGUUAGUGUUGCUGCUACUUCGAUUCAUGUUCGUGUGUAGCUUCUACUUGAAGUUUCUGUGUGACCGUGUGUACAGCGACAGCGUGUGUGAUUAUGUAUGUGAGGCUCAAUUGUACGUCAGAUUGCAGGUACGUGUGAUGCUAGUCUGUAUGAUUUGUCGAAUUCUGAAAUGAGAUGGUGCCGAAAUUUCGGAAAUUCCGGGUUACCCGAUACCCGAACCCGAAUUCCGGGUUAUUAAUUUUUUGCUCUAAUUUGGAGUGUUAAAUUUGGAAAUCCGAUUUUUUACUUACCCAAAUUACCCGACCCGAAUUUUCGGGUAAACCCGAACGCCCAGUCUGAUCCUAGUCCUUGUUAUUUGAAACAAAUAAAAAUAAUCAUAGCAGGGGUGUGGCCGGCCGGUACGUGGAUAUAUUUUGUAUCGUGUUUAAAGUUCCAACCGCACAUGUAUGCAUGUUACAUAUCGGAUUCCUUCUUUACUCCAAAAGGGAGAACAUAUCGGAUUCCUAGCUACUUAGUACUGCAGUAUAUAAGAUAAGGGAUUUGUUUGUACGGCGAUUAGCCAGUACUCGCAAUCGAUCGAAAGUUCGAAACACGUAGAGAGAUGUCAACGGCGCCGUGGUCAGAGCUCCCCUACGACCUCCUCGGCAUGCUCCGCCUCAGGAUCGCCUCCCCUCGUGACCGUGUGCGCUUCGCAGCCGUCUGCAAGCCGUGGCGUGCCGCCGCGCUGCUGCUCCCGGCGCCGCCUGCCGCCCCACUGCUGCUCCUCUCGCCGCGCGGCCGCAGCGGGAUGAAGCACUUGUGCGGCCCCAACGACAGCUGGGUCUUGCGCGUCCCGAAGAAGGCUCUCUACAAGCAGUUCCUCGGCUCCCACGACGGCGGAUGGGUAGCUGCGGUGAAUUACGACGGGCUAAUGAUCGUCAACCUCUUCUCCGGCGCCGAGGUUGUGCUCUCCGCAGACCAAACCACCAAGCUCGCCUCGAUCUGCUCUCCCAAGCCGUUGCCGUUCCACUGCGUGGGACACAGCAUCUGGAAGAUUGUCUUCUCCGGAGACCCCGCCUCCUCGGACGGCUGCACCCUCGCCGUCCUCAUGGGCGACCAGGCCCACGUCGCGGUGUGCAGAGUCGGCUGCCCGAACGGCGAAUGGGCCGUGCAGGCUUGGCACGGGGAGUCUAUCCAGGACAUCGCCUUCUGCAACGGCGAUCUCUACGGCCUCACGCUUGGCAGCGAGUCACUGAUCAAGUUUGAGAUCAGCAUGAAGCUGCAGGAACAAGAAGACGGCGGCAUGGCGCCGGUGCUCACGACCAUGGCUCACAAGCUGGCCAUCCAAAGGCGUGACGUUCCCACCUGGGAGCACGAUUUCAGGGCCUACUUCGCCUACAUUUUCGAGCUGCACGGCGAGCCGGCGAUGGCGGUGCGGACCCGGUGGCCGGCCAACCGUGAGCCUAUCUUCAGGGUGUUUAAGCUCUCCGCUGCUGCCGACGGCGUGUCUGAGCACAGGUGGGCAGAGGUGACGAGCUUGGGCGACUAUGCCUUGUUCUUGGGGGUGGCAUGGUCCAAGGCAGUGCAUCUGCCGAUGGAUGCCGGCCGGUGCGUUGCUCGUGAAGGCCUGGAGAGAAACCACAUCUACUACUCCACGCCUACCCGCUCCGAGGAAGACAAGUUGCCCGGCGACCAAGUGUACUCUGUGACAUCAGAAGACGGGCACCGUAUGUAUUGCAGGAAAGACCAGAGCGUGGGCGAUAGCGUUGGGAGAACAGGAUACCACAUGAUGGGUUGGCAUUAUUCUGCCAUGUGGCUACUCCCUCCAGACUUCUAGGUCAUAUAGUACUUCUUUUAGCUGAUAGGAGUCUUCUUUUAGCUGAUAGGGAGAUGACUCCGUCGAUCUUCGUACCAUAUUAUCAGCAUGAAUCUACGUGUGACUGAUUUCGGCCUGAAAGAGUAUCAUCAACCGUCCAGUGCAGUGAGCCGGCUUUCUUCUUGCAGAACACGUCGGAGCGAGAGAGAAAAAACUGUUUACCAGAUGACGAACAAACUGUGACAACCAUAUCAUAACACUGAAUAUAAUCUAUACAGAUGGUCCCCCCCUGAGGUUUGUACACACCGGAGUUUGUCGAAUUUCUGAUGACUGCGACUUAAUUACCGCUGUUGAUAAUACCCUCUACACACUUCUGCAAUCUGCAUGCUAUCCUAACUCCUAAGUAACUAAGCAAUUACACGACAGACUUGAAUCACAACGAUGACACCAGAUCACGGCACGGCAGAGCACCAGCAACUCGAAAAAGACCGACAAGAAAGCAGAAAGAUUCAGCUAAGUCCUUGCUCGGCGCCUACGAUACCCGUCACUGGAAUCAUGCGUCCAAAUGUUGAAUUACUCAUGAUGACAUUGGGCAUCUGCCCAAUCUGGUCAAUCAGCCGUAUGUGUUUGCAUGUGGCUCGUAACCAGCUGUGCUGUAGGUGCAAACAUGUUUGAUCCUGAAAAGGAAAUUUGGUAUUGGUUAGCAAUAGCCAACUUUAACUGGAAGAUACAAGAUGAGACGAACUCCUGUGAUUAUCAGUGUAGGUUAGCACCUGGAACAGCAUUAAAACCAUUCACAGUUUGGUGCAUGGCGGCCCGUGCAUGAACAUUAUGGCUGCUCUUCGUCUCAACAGCAUGUUCACCUCGGUCUAUUGAAACCUGUGGUAAUGAUCCACAUUGCUGGCUUGGUAAUGCUUGAGAAUCAAUCCUCUGAGCGGUGUCGGUAGAAGCACAUGACGCAGUGUGUGGAGGCCCUGCUGAAUGGCUUCUGCUGGCAGGAUCAUCAACAGUUUGCUGUUCACUCGACGCUGCUGUGCUGCUUGGUGGCAUCAUUGCUGUCGAAGAUGAAGUUGGUACAGGUGGCCGAAAUGUGUUUGAUGUUUCAAAAUCUCCUACCCACCCGCGACCAAACGUUAUUCCAGGAGGAAUGACCUGUUCAAUUCGCUUCGAUGCAACUUCCCAAGCGGCAGAACCAAGCUGUGCAGCAAAACGUGCCAGACUGCGGGAAUAGGACUGCUGCCACUGAACCCCAACCUGAAACAAGAAAAUACUGUGUUUAAGUGAGAAUGAUACUAUUUACCAUUCCCCAAAGUUACUGGGAAUCUGAAAGACUGAAACUAUAUUGAUAUAUCAUCGAUCUCUUAGGGAACAUGGCUUGUAUUGGACACUCAACUGGUACAAGAAUCUUCCUUGUUCCGUUGUAUGAUGUUGCCACUGGCAGCUCAUAUAUUGAACUGGAUGGUUGAUGAUGAUAAUAUGUGCUCCGGCGACUUUCUUCUACUAAAAGCGGCUUCUUCGCCAUUUUUCCUGACCAUUUACUCCCGGACCCUGGGACAUACGGAACAUUAAAUGAUGUCAGGGGGAAAUGGGUUGGUUGAAUCGGAAAGAUGUCCUUUAUUCAUCAGCAUCCCAUUGAAUACCCACUCAUUCAAAAUACAGAACUUUGGGGUGAUUUAAAAUAAUCAAAACCUGAGUAAUCUUCAAUGCUUUCCAUUUUGCGCUCGCUAGACCAAUUGUGCUCAUUGUUUCUAUUGGCAAAAGAAGCUUUCAGUACAUCUGCAAUUCUUCUUUGUAGAUCGAAUCCUGAGUGUGCAUGAUGUCCACUAUUUCCACCAGUAGCGAGUGCCGCACCAGGAAAUUCAGGAGGAGCACGUUCUGCUGGUGGUCUCCCAAUGUUUGGUUUGGCGGAGUUCUUUGGAGGCCUGCCUCUGCGACGUUGUGGCUUUGGUUCUUGCUCUGGUAGUGGUUCUGGCUCCGGCUUUGCUUUUGGUUUUGGUUUUGGUUCUGGCUCUGGUUCACUGGCAUCGCUAUCUUGCCUAAGAUUCUCAAAGUCCUUCUUAGCAACCUCUUGAAUUGCUCGUGCCUAUAAUACAUGAUACAUGAAUAUUACAUUUGCGCCAUAGCUUCCACAGAAACAUUGUAAUUCAUGAAAACAAGAAGACACAAUGCUUGACCUGUCGAUAGUAUAUUGUGUCUGGUGAGUUGUAGCACAUCGCAUUUGAGGUUAUCAAAAACACAUCAUCCUGUAAAUAGAAAGUUUGGGUUAGAGGUUACAAAAUGAAUGAGCAUAUAAAUAGCAUGCUGAAUAUGUGAAUCAUUAUGAGGAAUAACUUUGUACUAGCAUAAUAGUAAGAGUAUCACAACACAUUAACAUUACAAUAAGCUUUACGAACAAAAAGAUUGUGACAUCCUCCUAGCACGAGUAAGAAUAAUUCAUUCGAUAGAUAAUAAAAGUACACACCCAGCACGGCCUGUAAUGUUGAUUGUAGUUUAGAUACUAACAUACCGACUAUUUAACAGUGAGUCAAACUGCCAUUUCUUCUCGAGGUGUGGGUUGCAUCCCAGACCAUGGUUUAGCAUGAAGCAUGGAAUAAAACUUGAUGAACACAACAAUGUUAUUGAUAUAGAGGUAAGACUAAAUUGAAUGCGCACUGAAGAUGUAAGUAUACGAUGCCGGUUACAGCAUAUUUAGAUAUAGGUCCAACAGUUUCAAGUGGUACCAGAGAGGGUAGGAGAUAAGUAGCUACAGCAAGUAAAUUGGUAACAGUAAGCAUGCAUACCAAUCCCAAAAGUAAAAGUUCAGAUCUUCCCAUCUCAGUAAAUGCAUAUCUCAUAUUUCAAACUGACAACUUCGACCUCAGGUCCAACAAUACUUCGUUCGUGAGUACCACCACUACAUGAUUCAUUCGUGAGUACUACUACAAAAAGUGUUUAUAUAUUGGAAGUUGAACGUUCUGUUUACCCCAAAAGUAAGCUGCCUUAUUAUAUUCCUUUGGCCACAGGUAACAUGCAGUUUGCAGAGCAUGUAUAUCGCUUUUACAAAUGUAAUAGAACUAGGAAAUCCUGGAAAUGAGUAAUAAAUAUUGUCCAAGCGUUCACACAGCUGGUUUGUGUCUCUUCCUUCUUUUUUAUAAAGAAAGCAUCAUUUCGUAUUUCCUUAAAUAAUAGUUGAAGACAUUUUUACUUCACAGCAGGUGCUUUCAUUAGAUCAUAUUUUCCAUUAGAAAAAAAAUGGUCCAUUUACAGCUUUUCUUUUCUAAAACACACUUCUUCAGAAGAGUUAAUCAUUUAUUUACAUACAAACACUAUUUGUUAUGGAACUGUUUAUAGUAUCAGAUACUAUAGCCAAAUGACUUAAACAUCCUAGUAAUAAUUGGAUAUACAGAACAUAUGAAGACAGCAGCACCUGAUAUGUAACUAAAUAUAAACACAGCCCUGCUCAUAAUUUUAUACAAUUAAAUUUCUGCAAAUGGAAUCAAUAGCAGUAACUCCUGGUGGUGCAAGUGUUUCUCUUCACUUAUUACUAUAACAGAUACCUUGAUUCAGAUUUCAUUUUGCCUUUAAAGAAACUUGUUAAAUGAAAAUGUUGUGCUCCUGUCUUUCAUUAAGAAAAAAAAUCAGGUGUUCGGUACUUCAGUUUACAAGAUAUUUAUCAAAUGAAACAUUGACAGAAAAAACACCUAGCAGCAAAACUCACAGGUUUGUAUUAAAAUAUUUGCACCGCAUGUUUCGACUCUAAGAGAGUGAAUAUAUGUUCCUAAAAGGCAUGGUGCAAUGCUGCAGCAGUACAGAAUAUUUGCCCCGCAUGUUUCGACUCCAAAGACAGCAGUGGACAAGGUAUUUUUUACCAAGCCAGAAAAUGCCAUGGUUUUACUAUUUCUACUGGACUAUAAGAAUAAAGAACAUGUCUGUAAGGUACAAAAGGAGAAGAAACGUCAGCAGGGAAAAACACACGAGUGUGACAGAGAUGACGACUAAUCUAGCUGAUCAAGCAAACCGACAUAACCAAAUUACUGUAACAGCUGAUUUCCUACGAAACACUCUCAAUCUUCUGCCUGUUAAAGGAAAAUCCAAAUAAAAUAGAAAAAGGUGAAACAACAAAAAAACCAAAAGAUUCUACACUGACCUCAAAUUGCUCCAAGAUGGUAUAAGCCCCCUUAUCAAGCUUCUUGCGAACCGUCUGAAAAUCCAUUGGGUCCUUGACAAUAUCAUGGUAAUCGGGCAGCUGACAAUAAAUGCACAAUUAAAGGCAAAUCAGUCAGCUUCUGAAAAACGAACCAAGAAAAACAAGCUUUCAUCUUCAGACACAAACCUCUUCUGGAUCAACUGGCUCUGAGAAUACACCAUAUGUGUCUUUCCUGCAAGAAAGCAAGAAACAGACCUCAGAUAAGAUGUCCCGGAACUGUGAAUGAACUGGAAGGAAGAACAAGCAGAGAGCAUAGCAACUCACUUCUGUAGCCUAUCAAGGAUGAAGACCAAUAACUUUUUGUCCGGCAGAGGUGUCGUGGGACCGGAAUCUGACGGCUCUGUCGAAUGAACAAAUCCAUCCACCCACGAGCACAGAAACAAUCAGAGGCACGGGCAUUAAUUAAACAAGAACAAACUGGAAUGUAUCCACCACUACAAGAAUAAUUAAAAAUGACAUCCUUGUGCACAUUCGUCCAGGUAUUUUUUGCUUCUGAAAUCUGAAGAAUAAAUGCAUCAGAGAGCUAGGGAAAACCAACCUUCACGCCCAUCCGUCGCUAUCCUCGUCUUUUCUCCCUGCGGCAACAGCAGCAACAGAGGAUAAAGAGAAAUUUAAAAACAACAGGACAAAAAUAUCUUCACAGAAAAUCGAGAUGAGCGGAGAAAAGGCGCCAGAAAAAGUGGGGGCUUUCGUUUACCAGCACCAGUUACCAAGUACAGAUCCUAACGACGCCGGCGUCGCGAGAUGUAUAGCAAAAUUUGGCGCGAAAGGCAGAGGAAACCAGCCCAAAAAAAGGUACGCCUUUAAAAGCUUGGAAGCGAUCCACUUACAAAAAAAAUGCGCCAAUUAUUGCGACGCGAGAGAUGCGAUGGGUUUUUGGUUUAUCCGCCAAAUGAUUGGGAGAGGGCUCUCAGGUUGAACUGCGCAGCGUUGACUGCUGCACGACGGCAGAGAGAGAGGGAGAGGGGGGAUAAAUAAAUAGAGGCGCGCGGGCGGGCUUUUCAUGCCUAAAAUAGCAAAGAGAAUUCCUCGGGCGGCGCGCGGCGGCGCAGAUCCGUACGUUCCCGGGGGCAGAGCACUCCGAAUUUGGCGAAUUCCGCGCGAAACCGGCCGGAUUCGAGCGGGGAGUGCGCAGAUCGGGAUUGGGGAUGCGAGGGAAGCCCACCUUGGCUGAUCCGCCGUGGAGGCCGACGACGAGGCGGACCUUCUUCUCGCGGCGGUCGUCGUCGCCGGAGUCUUCGUCGGCGGCGGGGUUCCGGCGCGUGGAGGGGCGGCGCUGCUGGGGCGGGGGCGGGGCCGGUGGCUCCUCCUGCAGCUUCUGGAGGCGGAGGCUGCGCUUCUGGAGGUCGAGGAGCGAGGGGCGGCCCUUCUUCUUCCGCUUCCGGCGGCCCGGGGGAGGCGCCGACAUCACCGCGGCCGGCGGCGGCUGCUGCUGCUUGCCCAUUGCCCGCCCGGCGAGUACACUGCCCUUUUUUUUAUUUCGACGGGGCUUUACUUUUUUUUCUCCCUCCGUUGUGUCGCAGGGGGGUAUCGCGUGUGUUGGGGUGCGGGACGGGGCGGGGGUGGGUAGACUUUUUGGUGCGGCGGGGGCCGCUUCUGUGUUGGCUUUUCUUUUUUCUCGCUUUGCAGAGCACGUGAGCUGCGUGUGUUUCUGGGCCUUCUGAGUUCUGGCAGGGCGGAGCUGGGAGUCGUAUACUCGUAUACCGUCUACUCGCUGCUGUCAACUGUAUACUGAUGCAUGUAUGACGUACCCGGGCUGCCAGUCGGUGGCACCGUGGCACUCACCAGGAACGCGACGAUAUGGCACGUCCGUAUGGUUCCACACGGGACAAAUAUUCACUGCCCUGUAAAUUCACUUUCAAUUGUUGUGAAUAUUUUUGAAAAAUAGUUCCAAGGAUGUUCAUAUUGAUGUAAUAUUCAAGUUGCAAAUUUUGGCGAAUCAACAAGAUUCCAUCAACUGAUGGUUCAUGACGACAUUUGUGUAACUACUUGACAUCAUUAUCGCAAACUCAACAAGAGACCAAAUGUGAUGUAUUGAAAGGCAAACAACCAUUGCACCUCGUCUUCCAACAAAAUCGAUAGGUCCCAAUUAACAAGGAGUAACAAAUCCUUGGGCGGAGCGUGAGUCUGGUUGGGCGGCUCUUUUUUUCGGGGAAGUUGAGUUUUAUUGCUCAUGACCAAGAUUACACAACCAGUAGCCACGCAUAUUAGAUGGUAUAGUGGAUUGUUCCUUUCUAACGGAAUAUGGUUUUGCAGGUACCGACAUGAUCCUUAGGGAUGAGUUAGCUAGGAGCAGGAGCUGCCAUGUUACAACAUCGAGGAGUUUAUCUCAAUGUUUCGGAGACAAAUGUGUUUACAAACUAAAAAUGUGAGAUCUCUUAAAUAAGUCGUAUAUCUGAAAAAAGAGGAGUAUCAUUAUGCAAACAGAUUGUUGGAACGUUGCUAAAUGUAGUGGCAUGCAUGUAAUACAAAGUCCAUCGAGACAAGGCCACUUCAAAGAAAUCCACAGGCUGACGGGACUUGACGAAGAUUGGUCAAGGACAAAACAGAGUCGCAUUGCAUAUUAACAGAGUCGAUUUCAGGUAGAUCUGUUCGCCGCAGAUUGGUUGAACCACGUCCUGGUUACCAGAGUCACAAGGAUCCCGCUUUUCCUCGAAAGAAAAAAAAAUCACUGACUGCAAUACUUUUUUCUAAGCUUGCUUGACCCCUAAUCUACUGCUCUUUGUCUGCUUUUCCACCUGGGAUUAGCGCUGAUGUUGCUGGGAUAGUAGUAUUGAUGUGGAGGAAGUCCUUUCAGUUUCUGUUUCGGACAUUCAGUAAUCAAUUUCAGCAAAGUUCUCAACUUGCCGGUGUUUGGUUUCAGUAGUUCUCUGAUGCAGAGCAGUGAAGUUUCAGCAAAGUUUAGUACCCCCAGGUGUUUGAUUAUUAUUUUUUUAUAAGAAAGGUGUUUGAUUUGAUCGUACUAUUUGUAAUUGGUAGUUAAAGAUUUCAGGUGUUUAGAUUUACAUGCAUUAAAGAUUUAGCAAAGUGGAGUUCGAUUUCCUUCCACGGUUGUCUGUACUCUGUACACGACCUAAUUCUUAUGAUUAUUGUUUGCAUAUAUAUCCCUUCAAUUCACUCUACGAGAUACACUAGCCAGCAAUCGCACAUCCCAUCACACGGUGAUUCAAAGAAGAAUGACCUCUGGGAUGAUUCGCUACUCAUCGAGUUCAUAUCUCCUCGCUUUGCUUAUGUUCUUUUCUUCAAAAAAAAGAAGAUUUUAUCGACUUAUCGUAGUACUAACCCUACAACGUAACUUUCGCCCUCUGCAUCCAAAACGGCACAGCCACACUUACUGUUCUGAAGAUUGGCAUGAUACAAAGAGAAAUCCUAACACCAAUUUGGGAAUCUGUAGUUCCAAGUGGACAAUUAGUAUACUAAUAGAGGAAAGGUGCCAAACACACAAUUGGCGGAUAGAAGUUGAAACUACCGAUGGCCGUGCACUAAUAUAUCCCAAUAUACAAGUACAUCAGAUCAUCGGGGCGAGUAAAUUUCACAAAACCACACUUCGAGAAUAGGGUUUCAAUGAGCCACAAUUAUGACUAAUAGUCUCACAAAACCACACUUUUUCGGACAGAUCUUCACACAGAACCCAAAUCAGGUAAUUAAGAGCGUUUGAUGGUGUUUCUGACAAGUAGGACCCACAUGUCGGAUGCCAGGAUCGAAUCGGGAUUGUCCGGGUAGAUAGAGGAGCUUAACGGGUGUCGGGCAAAUGCUGACGUGGAUAAAAAAAGGGUUUGACCCGUCCGACCUGGCAUCCGACAUGUGGGUCCCACUUGUCAGAAACACCAUCAAACGCUCUUAAUUACAUGAUUUGGGUUCUGUGAGAAGAUCUGUCCGAAAAAGUGUGGUUUUGUGAGACUAUUAGUCAUAACUGUGGUCCGUUGAAAACCUAGUCUCAAGAAGUGUGGUUUUGUGAAAUUUACUCUAAGGGAGCUAUAAGACUUCUUCAUCAUGUAUUCGGCAAGGCUUAAGGGGCCGAGACGUCGUUUCUCAACAUUGUCGGAGAAGUCUGUGGUGGCAAUCUCCACUCUGCCGUCCUCAAGGUGAUGUAUGCGAAUCCCGCGCUUCUUCGACCCGCCGCCAACGUAGUAGAGGCAGUUGCCUUCAAUGGCGGGGAGAUUGUCGGCGUCGACAGACAGAGAGCGAUGCUUGCCAAGGAAGAUCGCACGGUUUCCGAUGCGCUUGACCGGCUGAUCCAGAUAAGUUUUACGGUCAGGACCAACCCUGAAGACCUGCACGGCGCCCAGCUGGUGAUCGGACAAAGACGGAGCGUUGUCGACGAGGAACGUGGGCAGCUGGUCCUUCUGAUCCGAGGUUCCGGCGACGACGACGGUGGUAAGCUUGGUCUGCAGCAUGUUACCGGAUGAGCACACGUCCACGGCCGCUACAGUUCCCUUCAUGUCGGCGGCGUAUGCCCGGCCUUGGAAGGCCACCGGGAAGGCCACCGUGCCCGCGAGCGAGAGUGACUCGAGGGUCGGCUUGGCGCGGCGGCCGGUGAAGGGGUUGAGGAGGAAUAUACGGAGGCGGCCCUUCGCCUCCAGGAGUAGGAGGCCGUCUGCUGUGGAGCAUGGGCAGGUGCAUCCAGAGGAACCGGCCCGUGUCGACGUGCAAGAAGAGGAGCCGGCCGUAGCGUUCCCGGCCAGCGGAUGAUCGGGCGUGAGUCGUCGGCUGUAGUUUGUGUCAUUGACGAUGCACGGGUCGUCGCCCGCGAGCUUGUCGAGCAUGACCCAUCGGUGCGGGCGGAACCGCGGGUCGUCGUCCUCGUCCGGGCCGCGCGGGUCGGCGGUGGCGGCGCGCCAGCCGCGGCACACGGCGCGGAGGCCGAUGUAGUAGUCGAUGUCGCUGGUGGCGAGGAAGACGUCCGCGACGCGGCUGACGAGGUCGGGCAACAGCUACGACCAGUCCGCCGCGGGCUCCAUUGUCGCCGUGUGCGUGCGCCUGUGGCUGCAAGAGUUUAUGGAUGGGCCUUGGCACUCGGACGGAGGAAGAAGCCAGAGCCGCCGUCACCUUCCGAGCGAUGGCAAACCCUGAAAACGGCCCCGCUGGCGUGGAGAUGAAGUAUGAAGGGGAGAACCGUCUUAUCCAGCUGAUUCCCCGCCGCGUGCGCCGUGGAAUCCGCCUGGAUCGCUGGGGGCGUUUCCAACUGAUCCCCCGCGGCCUUCCGUCGAAUCCGCCUGGAUCGGCCGCCACUUGGCAGGCCGCGAAGGAUCUCAGCCCAGGAAAAGCCCACGGCUCCAAGGCGCAAAUGAAAGAGGAGAAGAGAAAAUCGUGAGAAAACUCACUGGAGGAGAAAAAUGGCUAUAGUAAAAUUAGUGAAAUACCCAAUCCGGAAAAAACGUCUAGUGCUUCGCCUACUUCCUCAAACAAAAGAGACGCGCGAAGGGCAGAGCCUCAGCCACCCAGCAGUAAUAGCAGCCGUGGUGCCCGUUGAGAUUCCCCGCGCCGUUCCGUCGAAUCGAUCAGCCGCGCGCCCGGCGCCCCUGCACAUAUAUUAUACCCAAUGCCCACACCUCACAACCACUUGCUAACGCGCGCGGCGGUGACCAUGGCUGCGGUGGACUGGUCAUCGCUCCCCGCCGACGUGUUCCUAGCCACCACCGGUCUCGACUACUACAUGAGCCUCCGCGCCGCGUGCCGCCCCUGGCGCGCCGCCACCGCGGACCCGCGCGGUCCGGACCGGCGCUUCCAUCCCCGCCGGUGGAUCAUGCUCGAACUGAAUAUCCAUGUUUCAAGAGAUAUUGUUAACUCCAAAGCUUUCAAACUGAAUAUCCAUGUUUCAUCGAAAUAGGGUACAAAACUUUCGAGUUUGUGGAUGUUCAACCCAAAAUCCAUAACAUACAACGGUUCAGCCUAUUUCUUGAGUUGACAGUUCGCAAUUCCUAGUGGCAAUGAAUACAUGCUAGCUACUCCCCUUUAACUAAUGAAUACUUGGCUCGAAACCUCUCGACCAUUGAGCUUAAUGAGUCCAGCCGAGUUUGAUUUUGAACUGGUCAACGAAACAUUUGAGUCAAGCCGAGCAUAAUUCUGAGUUCGUUAAUAAAACAACUUUAACCACUCAAGCAACGAGCUACUCGUUUAACACCAUCCCCUCUUCUCCCCUUGGUCCAUGGUCCAUCCCUCUUUUUGACCUAACUCAAUAUCCACCCACAUUCCUUGACACACAAGCAAAACCACUCUUGACUCGCGUCCUCCUCUCAUAUGGCAUAUAUGUUAAUUUAUUAACGAUCGAGUUAAACAAACCAAUUUUGUAGUUAAAUUGAGUCGAGCCCAUGUCGCUUUUGAACAUGAUAUACUAUUAACGAGUCGAGCUAACUGUUGUAACUAGUGUGUUAUCUUAAUUGGUUCUACCAAUUCGAGCCAAGCUAACUACUCCCUCCGUUACAUAAAGAUUGGCACGGAUAUCCGGCUCUACUCACACGGACAUGUGGUCAUAAUGCAAAAGAUGCAAAUGAACAAUUCUGAACAGGAGAUUUGAAUUCAGAACCUUUGGUUAUGUGGCAUGUGCCUUUAACCGUGUGGAGCUAACAAUUUAACUUAAUCCGUAUUAUAAUCUCACGCACACUGUGCUUGAUUCUUCUUGCUUUGCUUCCCUUGGUGCGGGUGCACAUCUCAGAGCAUACGGACGGUAUAGAAAGAAGGUGCAGUGCGUCCCAGACUAACCAAACUUUUUUUUUGGCUAUACAAAAUGCACGGUUGUUUGUUGCACGCAACGACGAUUGUUCCUUUUGCCAAAGUAAAUAAAUAAGCAUCUCUCGUCGAAGAUCAUUAUUUUUCUAAUUCUCUACCUCGUGAAAGCUGGAAGUGGCCACGUCACCGGCAAAACUAACCAACGGUAAUAUCUCCCGGAAAAAUCCACCGAGCCAGCCCUUCGCUAGCGCCAAAGAAGUUCACCGCGCGCACGGCCAAAAUCCACGCAAGACCAGCGAAAUCUCGUGGUCUCCACUCUCUGCUCGCCCGGCGCGGCGAGAAGAUAAUCUCAUGGCCACCGCACGGCCACAUCAGCGAGCCACCGCAGCAUCCCCGUGAGGACAUUGACCCCACCCCAUCGCCCUCGGCUCAGACUCAAACCCAUCAAAAAUCCGGGCGCGCCCACGGUGCCAGCCACUCCGUGGCCAGAGCGCGGCCACCUCGGCAACCCCCAUCCGCCUUCCCGGCACCUCACAGCGCGCGCGCCAAUGGCGACUCGGCUUAAGAUUCCCCGUGGAUAAGGACUCGAUCGCGCGCGUUCGGGCCUCCUAUUUAAACGCCUCUCGCUCCCGCUUUACUCCACAGCAACAACCGCUCCAACACUUCAGUUCUCACUCCACAGCUCAGAGUCAGAGCUACUAGCAAUGGCAGCGGCGACCAUGGCGCUCUCCUCCCCCGCGAUGGCCGGCACCCCGGUGAAGGUCUCCAGGGCCACCCCCUUCGGCGAGGGCCGCAUCACCAUGCGCAAGACGGCCGCCAAGCCCAAGGUGUCCGCGUCCGGCAGCCCGUGGUACGGCUCCGACCGCGUGCUCUACCUCGGCCCACUCUCCGGCGAGCCCCCGAGCUACCUCACCGGCGAGUUCCCGGGCGACUACGGCUGGGACACCGCCGGGCUCUCCGCCGACCCCGAGACCUUCGCCAAGAACCGCGAGCUCGAGGUCAUCCACUGCCGCUGGGCUAUGCUUGGUGCCCUCGGCUGCGUCUUCCCCGAGCUGCUCGCCCGCAACGGCGUCAAGUUCGGCGAGGCCGUCUGGUUCAAGGCCGGCUCCCAGAUCUUCAGCGAGGGAGGCCUUGACUACCUCGGCAACCCCAGCCUUGUCCACGCCCAGAGCAUCCUUGCCAUCUGGGCCUGCCAGGUUGUACUCAUGGGCGCCGUCGAGGGGUACCGUGUUGCCGGUGGCCCGCUCGGUGAGAUUGUUGACCCACUCUACCCAGGCGGCAGCUUCGACCCCCUUGGCUUGGCUGACGACCCAGAGGCAUUCGCUGAGCUCAAGGUGAAGGAGAUCAAGAACGGCCGCCUCGCCAUGUUCUCCAUGUUUGGGUUCUUCGUCCAGGCCAUUGUCACCGGCAAGGGUCCCCUCGAGAACCUGGCCGACCACCUGUCCGACCCAGUGAACAACAACGCCUGGGCCUUCGCCACCAACUUCGUCCCCGGCAAGUGAGCUUAGUUAGCAAGCUCCAGCGCCUGCUCUAUGCUGAGGCGCUUGGCCGACGACGUCAUUGUUGAUGAUGGAUGCUGCUGCAUGUGUCGAGAUUGAGUCAGGAGUCAGGACUGAUAGAUGUUGCAUGUGAAAGUCAGAGAUGAGGAGUUGGUGUUGUACACUAAAGAUGGUGUUUGUGUAAUAUCCCUCGGUUAUUUGUGAGAUGAAUCCGGGCAUCUUUGUUCUUCUGCUCACUUGUUCAUUUCUCUCUCCUCUUGAAUGCGUGCUGUUUGCAUUAGAAGGAGAACGCCGAGAAAGCGCACCUCACUCGUUGCAUUGGUUCUACUUCCUCUGAAUCUGAAUGUGUCUGAAAGUUGUCUGAAUUUUCUGAAAGUCCAAGCCGGUAAGUUGUCUGAAUUUUCUGAAGUCAAAUUUCUAUUUAAAUGUUGUACAAAUCUUGGGUUCCUCCUAGUAAAAACAAACUAUGGAACACUGCCAACUAGUGCAGCUUCCUUGUGAAGAUGCUGCUGUACUACCGUCCCUGAAGAACGGUCAUGGUUAUGCUGUUCCUGGUGUUCUCAAGAUCGUCUCUCUUUGCUUCCAUCAGCGCGAGAUAGGCAGGCUGGUUUGGUUUCGGCAGCGACAAUGUCGACGACGAGGACCCGCUUCCAUUCUCCAGGAUGGACACGACGGCCGACAUGAGCGGCCUCCUGCUCGGGUCGCCCUCGACGCAGAGGAGCCCGACGUGGAUGCAGAGCAAAGCCUCCUCCUGCGAGCAGCUUCCUGCGAUGGAUGGAUCCACCAGGCCGCCUGCCUUUCCUUCCCUCCACAGGUUCCAUGCCUGCAUGAAACAAUCAAAUCAACCAUUCUGUGUUUUUUCUCUUAAAAUUCUGGUGUCAGUGGCUGUUCUAAUUCAGAUGCUCACAUAGACUAUGAGGCUUGGAAACUCCAUGAUGUCAUCAGGAGAGCUUAUCCUGACACCGCUCACGAUCUCCAGGAGCAGCACGCCGAAGCUGUAGACAUCGGACUUGACAGAGAAAACGCCCUCCGUAGAGUAUUCAGGAGCAAUGUAACCACUGUCCAGUGUCCCCACAAAGUUUUCAGAAGACGUGCCAGAAUUUUGUCAAAUGCUAAAAGCUAACUACAGCUUAAAAAGCAAAAUCUAUUUUUUUGUUUGUAAAUCUAGCUUCAGUAUUCAGAGUACUAACAAUGUUCCGACGACUCGCUUGGUGUUGGCAUUCUGCUGGUUGUCGCAGAAGAUCUUGGCCAUGCCGAAAUCCGCUAUCUUGGGCCGCAUCUCAGCAUCCAGCAGCACGUUGCUUGCCUUGAGAUCUCGGUGUAUCACUGUCAACCUCGAGUCCUGGUGGAGGUAGAGGAGCCCCCUCGCGACGCCCUUGAUUAUCUCCAGCCGCGUCGGCCAAUCCAGCACCGAUUUCCUUUCACUAUCUGAAGCAAAAAGAUCACAUGAGACCGUCAGGAAUCGUAUCAUCAUUUUCUGUUCUUUCUUUCUUCAGUAACUUGCUUGAGUUCUGAACAUAUAUACAUACCGAAGAGGAUGGCGUCCAGGCCUUUGUUGGGCAAGUACUCGUAGAUGAGCAACUUCUCUGCUCCUUCCGUGCAGCAGCCGAGGAGACGGACCAAGUUUCUGUGUUGCAGUUUGGCGAUCAGGAUGGCUUCGUUCUUGAACUCUUCUGUUCCUUGGUCAGAAUCCUUGCUCAGUCUCUUGACAGCAACCUCUCGACCGCUCUCUAAUGUCCCCUUCCGAAUGAUACAUGAAACAGGCGAGAUCAUGAGUAUAAUUCAGUAUUUCAGUGCAUCGAUCAAUGCUUCCGAGUUGAAAUUUAUUUAUUUUGGUAAACUGGAAGAAGAGAAAAAUUCUCAGAUAACUGAAAAAGUGAAAAUCAACAGGCCAGAUGAAAAAUCAUACUACCUUGUAAACCUUGCCGAACCCUCCACGCCCGAUCAUGAAUGCUUUGGAGAAGUUUCCCGUGGCGGCCACGAUGUCGACGAACCGUACGGAUGGGAACUCAAGAUCUUCAGCGUGUUCUCCUUCUCCGAUCUCAGUCGACGUAUUCGCGCUCCCGGGCACCAGCUUCUUCUGGCUCUCGGUUUUUCUCCCCUUUUCUGUAAAUUUUGAUGUCCCAAGCAUUUCAUCUCCGAUGAGCAUGGCAUGUUUAGAGAUACUAAUAAAAAGAGAGGAAGAUAAUAUAAUUGUAUGUAGCACCUCUGAACCUACAGAACCACACAAACAAAAUGCAUGCGAGCAACAAGACGCCGGCUAACACCGGCAGUGCUAUUUUCAAGGCAUUUUUGCUUGCCAUUGUACCUGCACGUGCAAAAAGUCAAAACAAUGGCAAAGUUUGGUGACACAAUCGAUUUCGGCCAAAGGGGCAAACUUCUUCUUUGAAUUCUGUUGAAAUCCAAUAAAAUUCUGGAAAAAAGUCCGGUAGUACUACUAAGAGCUGAUUUCUAUUUCAAUCUGGGUGAAAUUCAGGUACUGCUGGUUUUUGAAGUUGUAACUACCUGCGGAACCAGCAGGAGGAAGGGGGACGCGAAGGUAUAGCGUGUCGGCUAGGGAGGCCCAGAGGGGCCCAAUCAUCUGCGUGUCGACGAGGUCCCCGGCCCACAAGAGGCACCGCCUGACGUCCCCCUUGGCGCUGCUGCUCUGCAGCUUGGCGUACGCGUACGCCAUGCAGGAGCAGUUCCCGGCGCACCUCGCCGCGCACUCCUCGGCGCUCCUGUUCCCGCCGUCCAGCACGAACUUGUCCGGCACCUUCACCCCCGCCAUGGCCAAGAACCCACUCCCAUGCCCGCACGGCGGCAGCGGCUCCUUCCGCCGGCACCCCUUGGAGAAGUCACCGCCGGUGGCCCACGCCGGCUCGAAGCCGUCCAGGCACCUGCAAGCCGCCGCGGCGACGUCGCAGUACCCGUAGGGCCCGCAGUAGCCGUACCGGCUGCACCCGCUGGACGGCCAUGACCCCACCGUGGCCCACGCCGAGGCGCUGCCGUUCCAGCCGAGGAGCUGGAACUGGCCGGAGCUGGUGAGGACGAACCGCGUGGGGGCCGCGCCGGGGGAGACGGUGAAGGUGUUGGAUAUCUCGUCCUCGGUGUCGACGAUGGCGGUGUACACCACGGUGCCGGUGCCGCUGACGUAGCUGGCCUGGACGGUGUAGCCGUUCCACACGGGGCUGCGCCAGUGAGGGCGCGUCCCGUCCCAGACGAGCAGCUGGAGGGCGGUGUCCGGGUCCAUGCCGUAGGAGAAGCGCCCCGGGGACGGGUCCUCGGGGGAGCUCCAUGACACGAGGCGCCCGCCCUCGUGGGUCCGGUGGUUCAGCCAGACCUUCAUGCCCGGGAGGAACGUGUCGGCCGGGUGGUCGAAGCUCUGCCACAGCGCGGUCCCGUUGGCGGACCGGAGGACCAGGUUGCCGGCGUUCGUGAGCACGGCCAGCGCCGCGGGCGGCGAGCCGCUCGCCAUGCCGGUCGUCCAGACCGCGCGCCCGUCGGCGUCGGACAGGACGAGGUUGGAGGAGUCGUUGUCCAGCGCGAGCCUCGGCGCAGAAGUGCCGUUGGUGAUGGGGGUUUCCCGGUUGGCGACCCACACGACGGUGUUGACGGGGAUGCUGUUGUACCAUAUGCCGAGGUACUGUCUGUCCGGAGUGGAGAUGGACGGGGAGAAGAAGCCCAGAGCGAAGGCGCCGCCGUCCGACACUAGGGGCUUCCCGGGCGCGAGCAGCUCGCCUGCGACCAGCUCGUCGCCGGCCCCCGCGCACGGGCGCGGCGAAAGGAAGAAGAAGCAGACGACGGCCAGGGCCGCGACGACGACGACGCGGCCGGCAGCACGCGCCAUGUCCGUCGAUCGAUCGCGAUCGAUCAACAGCGUUGAUUGAGACGGGAGAAAGAACUCAAGCUUGGCAUUGGCAUGCAGCUAGUAGUAUCAUUUUGCGCUGGAUUGUGAUGUCUGUUGAGUCAGGUCGCGCGCCUUGGCCUGCAAGAAGUCUCUCAACUCCAUUGGAUCCUUCCUGUUGGUUGGAGUUGGAGAUGGACGUUUAUUCAGCGCUUGGACUGGACAGUCUUUCUCUGUGACGCGAUCAAGGCCAACAACUGCACAGUUGAUUUUUUUUAGGGAUGCACAGUUGAUAUCUUAUGCUUUUGGAACGAUGGUGCGACCCGAUUAACGCGCUCAAGUCGCAGGUAAAACCUACGGGUACCUAGACUCAGAACAUAUGAAAGAAAAUCUGAAAUUGUUCCGAACGUUUUAUUCAGUCAUUUGUUACACAAUAUGGAUUUAUUUCUGAAUUUGUUCAUAGUUUGGACCGGACUAGGUGCGACCUUGCGGAGUACGUUGCUCCGCAUGAUUGGAUGGAAAUCUACAAACCAUGAUGCCAUGGUCAAUCUCAUGAGUUACAGUUUAGACUUCAGAGCUGUGCGUGCGUGCAUAUGAACGCGUGCGCGGCGUGCCCUUCACCUCAGUCAACGCGCGCUUUGUCUUCUCACACAGCUUGUUCCUCACACUCUAACUUUGCCCCGACCGUGUUGUUCUACCAUUCUGUUUUAAAAGCAAGCAAACAAAAUUUGCCUUUGUAACAACACGUCAGAGAAGAAGAACAACAACACCUAAUCGCUGACGUAGAAUCACUUCUGUCGAGUUGGGUUUUGUCAUGUCCUGAAUUAUUUUACAGGUAUUUUGAUAAAAGAUGUGGCAGAGUAGGUAAUACAGACACAUUCUCUGUCACACAAAGGUACACCUCGAUGAAUUUUGGUUGGCCGCAAGAUAUAGACUACUCCAGUAUCUGGUCUUGUAAGAUUUAUGCUUGACUUCUUAUCAAGCAAGGGAUUAAGGUAAGAUAUGUGUUGCUGAAGCAAAAAAAAAAAUUGUGGAGGAUGAUAAGUGCACAUUCGGCUGUUCCUUCCUGAGCUAGUAUCUGUAAAGUUAAUACCUACUAAAUGCAUUUAACGUUUGCAAGUUACAAAUGCAAAGUGUCCAUAUCAUCGUUCACAUUACCAUCCACCCCAUGUAUUCUAGCCCACAAGCAAUCCAUUUUGGUGACUCCUACGACUCAACCUUUUAUCUCCUAAGAAUCUUUACCCACGUUGUAUAUAAAUAUUUCACCAAGUAUAAUAUCUAUGAAGUUGAUCCUCACUAAAAUGCAUUUUGUUUGCAAGCUCCAUGUGCAAAGUGUUCACAUCACCAUACACGUCAUGUGUUGUAGCUCGCAAGCAAUUCAUUGUGGUGGCUCCCUACGAUUCAACAUUUUAUCUCGUAAGACUUUUCACCUUGAUGUUGUAUGUAAAUAUUUCACGAACUAUCCUUUUUUUUAUGUGUGCGUUGUUUUUUCUAAGAAAUGCGAAUACUUCCUGAAGCUUUUUUUCGAUUUUCCAAAAUUUACUGUUCAUGUACAUCAAAAUUGCUCCUAUUCUUUGGAUGAUGAAGUAGUUUGGCCAUACAGUAUUCAUAUUUGUUUUGUAUUUGAUCAUAUUAUUAUCAUUUAUUCUUACGUCAUGUCUAGAUGUGCAAACAUAAUUUUUCGUGGCAGCGCGGGGAAUCAACCAGUUGCAUGUGUGGAUCCUUGAUCUACAAGCAAAACAGAUUGCAGAAGAAAAUCCUUUUUUCCCCGAAAAAAAGAUUGCAGAAGAAAAUGAAUAAAUGCUUUGACGAAUGGCUUGUUGUAGCAUCCCCGUAAGUUCCAGACGAUUGAAUAAUGCAAAGUUUUCGGAAUUCUCGUAGAUUUUGGUUUGGCAGUUGACAUUUUAGCUGUCCACGUCGGAGUUUUUUUAAGAACAGUCCACGUCGGAGUUGGGAUGCCACGCCACCGUCAGUGCGACUAGUCAACUAUACUGACUGAAACAUUAGCUAUACUGGUCCGGCCCAGUUUUUGUUUUUGAACACGGGCCGGCCCAGCUGGUCCAGCUCUGGCGCGGCUGAAUCGGAGGGUCAAAACGACGAGGCCCAAGGCCGACAAGACCACGACCCAGCCGCCACGCAUAGUGUGUGUGUUAUGAAGCCCACGCCCACUUAGCAAAGUAAUUGGGCCCAUCGGCAGACGGUCUUCUUUCUUUCAAGAAACAGAACCAUGCCAAGGAAUUAGGCCGGCCUCUGCUGAGCAACACAAGGUUUCGAUUUUCCUGUGGCGUGAUGGUCGAGCGAACGACCGAACGUGGCUCCAGAGCUUCGGACGCGGACCUCAAGGCCUUUUGCGUAAAAGAUGGAGGCAGGUAGAGGUGCAACACCGUGACCUUUAAGGUAUCUUUUAAUUCUCUUUAGUUCAAAUAAAUGAACUAGUUUUUAAAAAAUUGUGUCAUUUUAAAAUUUUAAUCCAUUUAGUUGAACUAAGGAUGGUCAAAGGGUAUCCUGAUGGUCGCAUUUUGCAGCUCUAGAGGUAGGGAGUUUAUAUAAAAAAACAGCUCGACCUGUCAUCCCACGAGUUUGAUAAGUGAUUGUGUCAGAAUGCGAGGUCAUAGGGUAUAAAGAUUGUAUAUGGACGUAUAAUGCAACUUUGAGGACCCAUGAGAGCAGAUUGCAAUAAAGAGAACUAAAUCAGACCGCACCAUCAAAUUUAUGGGUCACGUAUGCAUUCCAUCGUUCUUCCAAUGAUAUGAUAGAAUGAGUGGAAUCAAGUAGUGACCGUGUGCCAUCUAUAAGUGUGCUUUGCGGCUUAUAGUCUGGUCCAUGCUUGCAUAGAGCCAAAAGUCGCUGACAUGAUCAAGUUCCAUGUAAUCUGAACUUUAAAAAUAUAUUUUUUCGAACGGCUGGUGGCCGAACUUUAUUAAAAAAUCAGAGGAGUACAAGGCGGGUGCUUUUCAGAACAAAAGCAGGCGCCCGUGCGUUUAGCAAAAUGGAACUAUUAAUCUGGUCCAAAAUCUGUUUUCACCUUUCAGUUUCUAAGAAACAUGGGUUAGCAAAAUCUUUUCCUAAAGAGAAGGACGAUAUCUAGGAAGAUUGCAGUGGAAACAUGGCUUAACAAUGGGCAAUCAAUGUGCCAACACCAACACAGGUUGCUGAGUGUUUGAACGGACAACGUACGUCCAGCUCCAGCCUCCAGGACGUGCACCCACUAAGAUGUCAGAAACGAAAAAUUCCACACUAAACUGGAAUACGGAGUACUUUAUUCUGCUAUACAGGAAUAUUAAACCUAACAAGGAAUGAUGAAUAGAGAAAUAGCAAGAUAAUAUAUAAUAUACAUUGUACAAUAAGCAAAAUUGUGACAAUUUGGGAAUAGAGAAAUCAAAACAUCGACGACUUUUCUCGGCAAGAAAAACAUCGACGACUGGAAGCUGCAUGAUGACUUCGUCAGGCUAUUUCAGACUUGGCUCGAGUUGACAUUAAUUUGUUCCUCUUCCCACUUCGUUGGUACUUCCUUCGAUCCAUAUUAAUUGUCAAAAUCUUACAUGUAUCCAGACGAUUUUUAAGCAUAGAUACAUCCAUAUUUGGACAAAUUUAAAACAAUUAAUAUGAAUCGGAGGUAGUAGGAUAAUAUUGGUAUUCCGAGCCACGCGGGAGCUGUGGCUGAUUAAGUAGCAUUAGAGGGUUCAAACCUUGAAAGAAAGACUGCUAUAAAAAAUCCUCACGGCUGAUGUCUUGCCGGCGAGGGGCUAGCACAUGUGUGUUACCAGCAAAAAAAAGUGGGCAUGUGUAAUGAUUAGUGGCUAUCCUUUGAUGAUCACGUGUAACUUGGUCAAAAUUCGUUAUCGAGUUUACACUCGCCUGGGUGGAUAAUUGGUUUGUGAGAGGAUCUUACGGGCUUACGGCAUAUCCCGGAAACAAUCGACCCAGCACAUGCUAUAUGUCCUCGGGAGUGUUUGAAAGGAGGGACCGUAAUAGUUGCCAAAUCUUCGACGCGGCAAAGAUGAAUUGUGAUGAAAUAUAUUUCAAGGUUGUUUAUUGUUAUUUGUUUCGUAUCAUAGGUUGAUAGUUUUUUCUUAUAAAUUUGGUCAAACUUUUAAAAGUUUGACUUAAGACAAAAAUCAUAUGCUUUAUAAUAUGGAAAGAAGGGAAUAGCAUGCAUGACAAUUUUGUCGAGUGCGUCUUUUUUUGGACCGAUACUGUUCUGCAUAUCUUUUCUGAUAAAUAUAUACAACUAUAUAAUUGUAUGAUUAUUAUUUCAUCGCCCUUGUAUCUCAGUAAGAGUAAAAUUGUUCACAGAGUUCUGAAUAUCAACUCCGAUUUGCUCCAUUUCAGCGCUCCGCCGCGCAAAGUAUGCAGGGCGAUUAGGCACCGGCAAUGUUGUGCUUCCGUUCUCCAAGACAAACACUACGGCUGACAUGGCCGGCCUAUCAUCUGGAUUUUCCUGGACACAUAAGAGAGCUACGUGGAUGCAAAGCAACACUUCAUCCGAUGAAGAAGUGUCCAUGAUAGAUGAGUCCAGCAAUUCCUUCGUCUUUCCUUCCUUCCACAUACUCCAAGACUGCAAAAAAAAACAUUGCAUAUUUUUUCGUUUUGGUUGUUAAACAUUUUUCAACAACUAUGUUUGUAUUUAUACAACUUUAGAGUUCUUUCCAUAUAUACUCACAUAGAUUAUGAGGUUAGGGUAGUCCAUGGUAGCGGAGCUUCUCCGUUUGCCGGUUACAACCUCCAAUAGUAACACACCGAAGCUAUAGAUGUCGGACUUGGUAGAGAAUAUGCCUUCCAUUGCAUACUCAGGAGUCAUGUAGCCAUUGUUUGAUCAUUUCAUUUGCAAGAGUUAUAUGUUGAACGAGAUUAAUUUGGAUUUAUUUACAAGUUACAAUGAAAAUUCUACUCACUAUGUUCCAACAACGCGUUGAGUAUUUGCAUUUUGCUGGUUGUCACCGAAGAUUCUCGCCAUACCAAAAUCCGCUAUCUUGGGUUUCAUAUCUGCAUCUAACAAAACAUUUCCAGCUUUUAGAUCUCUGUGAAUUAUGGUCAAUCUUGAAUCUUGGUGGAGGUAAAGAAGUCCCCUUGCAACCCCUUUGAUUAUAUUAAACCGCGUCGCCCAAUCCAACAACAAUUUUCUUGAAUCAUCUGUGGCCAGAAACAAAUGUAAGAAAAUGUGUUUUAGAUUCGUCUUAGGAAAUCAUGACGUGUGUUGCAAGAGUAUGUACCAAAAAUGGUAGCAUCUAAGCUCUUGUUAGGCAGAUACUCGUAAAUCAACAACUUUUCAUCUCCCUCCCCACAACAUCCAAGAAGCCGAACCAAGUUUCUGUGUUGCAAUUUGGCAAUUAGAAUUACUUCAUUCUUGAAUUCCUUUAUCCCUUGCUGUGAAUCCUUGCUUAGCCUCUUGACAGCAACUUCUUGGCCACCUAACAUUCCCUACGGAGUUGUGUGGAAAUUUAUAUCCGGAUUUGUCUUGUGAGCAACUCAAUUUUACCGAUUUAAGAACAGAGGAUAGGAAACUACUAUCGAACUACUUACCUUGUAUACUUUUCCAAAGCCUCCUUGUCCAAUUACACACGUUUCAGAGAAGUUGUGCGUUGCUAUGGCAAUUUCCUCAAAUCUUACAAAUGGGAAUUCAUGAUCGCGUGGAGGGUUUCCUUUCCCAAGUUCAUAAGAGAUACUCAUACUAUCCAAUGUCUAUCAUCUUCUGCUUUCUCUUUUUCCUGUUCUUCCCUGCUCCCACAAUUUCAUAAACAUUUCAAUUCAGGAAAUAUACCUUGCAAUUUAAUCCACAAGAGAUGGUCAAAUGGACUUUAUCAUCAGGAAAUAACCCUAUACGUACUAAGGUACCUUGCAAUUUUAGCCAUGCCAGGAAAAUGCACAUGAGGAUCACAAUAGUACCGCCCAAAACUGGCAGAGAAAUCUUAACCGUGGUGCUGUGUUUACCUGUGCAAAACGUACACACACAUAGCACAUCGCACGAAAUAAAUGGAAAUACAUCUGUGAAAACAAGAAAUUCAGAUCAAGAAUUGGUACCAUCCGUUGCGUCCAGGCCUGCAAUGCGGAGAUAGAGCGUGUAGCUGCCGAGCGCCUCGGCGCCGACCUUCCCGUCGUCAAUCAGCCCGCCGGCCCACACGAGGCACCUCGUCAAGUUUCGCCGCGGCGACUUCCCGGCGUCGCUGCUGCCCAGGUUGGCGUACGCGUACGCCACGCACGAGCAGUUGCGGCCGCACUCCGCCGCGCACUCCUCCAGCGUGCCGCCCCGGUCCCCGCCGACCACCGCGAACCCGUCGGGUGACUUCAUCCCCGGCAACGCCAAGAAGCCGCCGUCGUUGCCGCACCCAAGCAGCGGUUCCUUCCGCCGGCACCCCUCCGAGAACUUCCCCUGGCCCCACUCCCCUGCGCUCGCCGGCUCGAAGCCUUCGAGGCACGCGCACGUCGGGGACGAUGGCGCCGCCGCCGUCUCGUCGCAGUACCCGUACGGGCCGCAGUGGCCGUAGCGGCUGCAUUCCGUGGACGGCCAGUGCGCGAGGACGGCCCACGAUGACGAGGCGGCGCUCCAGCUCUGGAGCUGGUAAGUGCCGGAGUGCGUCACCACGUACCUGGUGCGCCCGGCGCCGUCGGAGAGCGUGUAGGUGAGGUAGAUCUCGUCGUCUCCGUCGACGAUUGCCAGGUAGACGACGAUGGCCGCGGCGCUGCUGGCGUUGUCCUUGGCCGCGCCCGCCGGUGGCGGCUGGUACCGGCGCUCGCUCUUCACCAGGUACCCGUUCCACGGCGCGCUGCGGGCGACCGGGCGCGCGCCAUCCCAGAGGAACACCUGGAGGGACGUGGCCGGGUCGCCGCCGUAGGAGAAGCGCCCCGGCGAAGGGUCGCCGGGCGCGUUCCAGGACACCAGGCGGUCGCCGGCGCGCGUCCUGUACCUCAUCCGGAUCUUCAUGCCCGGCAGGAACGUGUCCGUCGGGUGGUCGAAGCUCUGCCACAGCGUGGUGCCGUUUGCCGAGCGGAGGACCAGGUUGCCGCUGUUCAGGAGCACCGCCGUCGCCGCCGGAGCUGCGGCCACGUCGGUCUCAGGCGUCGUCGUCCAAAGGACGCGGCCGCCGUCGGAGAGGACGAGGCUGGAGGUGUCGGUGAGGGAGAGCGUGGGCGCGGAGGAGGAGUUAGUAGUGUUUGUGGCCGGGGUUUCUCGGUUGGCGACCCACACCACGGUGAGCUCGGGGAUGCCGUUGUACCAUAUGCCGACGUACAGCCUUGCCGGAGUAGUGGAGUUGGAGGGGCUGAAGAAACCCAGGGCGAAGGCGCCGUCGUCGGAGACGAUGGUAGCGCCAGGGGAGAGCGGCUUGCCGGGGACGAGGCGGUCGUCGGCCGCACGCAACGGCAGGAAGAUCACAAGGAUCAGGAUAGUGAUGGAGCACGCGAGAGCCCACCGGUCCAUUGGUCGAUCGGACAGGCCCAAAAAACUUCUGUUGUACUGUACGUACGAGCAUGUGGAAAGGAAUGUAAUCCGCUAGUCGUACACAGUGACUCGUACUACUAUUUCGUUGUUGAUGCUGACAUGCUGUUGUUUACAAGCCUUGAUCGGACCCGUUCCAGCAUUCGAUCGCGUGGAUUACGAAAGCAGAUGGCUGAAAAAUGCAUAGUUCUUGAAUCCUGCGGUAGGAGCUCAGAGUGUUUUGGAUUUGACAUCUCAGCUGUCCACGUCGGAGCAGAGCGCGAUACGGCGAUAGUCAUCGUGCUCGUGUGAACCCAGCUGGUCAAACCGCGGCACGGUUGAAUCCAAACAAACUUUACCCUAUUUUUCUAGGGAAACAAACCUUUUAGCUUUGUAAUUGAGGCCCACGGGCCACGGGAAUUAAUGGCCCAGCGAGAGCUCUACCCAGUCACCCACCCACGUCCGGCCUAGUCGCGGGGUGCGGCCUCGCUGGUCGGUCGUCGCUUCGUGUAAUAUACUCCGAUUAGGCAAAUUAGGCAAAUCCGAACUGAUCUCCAAUAAGAAAGCCAAUCCGAACGCAUCACGUAAUUCCGGCAGCAGCUAUAUUUAGUGACUCCUGUAUGCAGCUCGAUCGAUGCCUUGGAUCUCUUGAUGCUCCCCAGACCGAUUGAAUCGCCUGCCUCGAUCGAAGAUACAACACUUGGUUAAGUUUGAUACUACUACCAAAUUAACGAAUUUGAUUUAGAUCGGAGAGAGAAGAUGGGAUCGUCGUCAAGAACAGGGAAUAACCGAGUGGAGGAUCGUCCGGAGGAGGAGGAGGACGAGUUGUUCGUGGCCCGUGUCGGCUUGUCCGUGACCUUUGUCGUCAUCUUCAUCCUCUUUCUUCUCGUCGACACGGGCGUGAUCAAUCCCGGCGCCCCCAAGUUUCUCAAGAUCUUCUAUGGGGUGACGGGGCUCAUCUGCCUGCUCGGUGCUGCCAUCCUCGUAGUCGACUGCCUGCGUGAACGGGAACACUGGCCGGCGCCCUUUCGCCGUACGCGCAUUGCCGGGCCCGCCGAUCUGCCGGCCUGCGACGCGUGUUAGUCUGCUAGCUAUAUUGCCUGCCCUUUUUUUCACCAAGAAGCUGGAGUACCUUUUUUUUUAGGUGUUCACCAAGUAGCUACCUUGCCUGCCUUGGUUCGGCUCAUCGAUCUUACCGUUAUAAUAGGGUUUUUUUUCGUGCUUUGCCACAGCCUUUAAAAUACACCGGUUACCAAAUAAUGUAAUGUUUGUGUGUUGCAACGGACAAACAAAUUUGAUCUAUGUACUUGUUUCCUGAUGUUUUUUAUUUUAUUUGAUCUAUGUACUUGUUUAUUGGUUAAGAUACAUGCGAAGUACGAUAUGAUGUACUCGUCUCAUAAUGAUCUAUGUAUUGUUUAUUCAUGAUUUUGAUUUUUUUUAUCUACGUACUUGUUUCUUGGUUAAGGUACAUAUGAUGUACGAUAUGAUGUACUCGUCUCAUAAGAGGUAUGGUACCAAAUUAUCACAGAUGUUCAUGCUAUGAUUUUUUUUAAUAGCUGUGAUGUACCAUACGAUGUACUCGUCUCCUAAGUGCAUAUACUCGAGGUACUCAAAAUCUGAUAAAAUACAUGCCAUGCACCAUAAUGUAUUUAUCCAUGUACCAUAAUGUACUUAUAAGGUAUAGUUCAUAUACUUACAAAAGGAAAAAAGUCCGAGUGCCUAACAAAAAAAAAAGAGAGAAGAGCAAAAGUUGUUAGGUUUUUUAAUUUAAAGCAAAAGACAUUAACCAAGAGGAAGAUGGAGAAGGCCAAACAUGUAGCCAGCACCGUGGGCGCAAAUGCCACCAGUGGCACCAUUUCUGAAGGGGCGCGUAGAGAUAAACAAAAACUUUUUCUACACGAACUCCCAAGAUCUAGCCGAGGUAGAAGGCCACGAGGAUUACCACUAGACGCGCAGUUGCGGAUUAUCGAUGCAGCGCCUUGAUGCAGUGCAGUCCCUCGAUCCGAUCCAGCCGAUCCAAUCCCGCGAUCGUCGAAGUGCUGAACGUACAGCACCUCUGCCGGUAUCCACACAUGCGAGGAGGAGCUCCGGCGGCGGACUGCUAGGUCCGGUGCGAUGGUUGGACUGAAUGGGGCUAGGGUUCUCAACGCAUGAGAGUGGCGAACCGUGCCCCUUAGGCAUCCCACGCCCCUGCUUAUAUACCGAGUGGAAGUGGGCUUCAGCACUUGUGGCCCAUCCACUCUGCGAGUCGAACUCGCAUUGUCAGUCCAUUUCCGGUUUGGGUCCAACCCGACCAAAUACUUGCUUCCGCUCUUAAGUGUGUGACCCCGCAGGCUCAUGGCGACUUGGACACGAUUGGAGUCCGACUCUCAAUCGAUCAACCUGUAGCGGCUCCUAGCAGAACGUGCCGACUCCCAAGUACCAUCGAGUCAUGACGACGUACCUUCCAAUGUGACAUACGUCUUAGUCCCUUUUGCCUCACGAUAUACCUUGUCGAACUAUAGGCGAUUAAUCGUCAUCCCUUUAAUAGUUCAACUCUCUUCUCGAUCUGUGAUAUGCGAUUCAUCCGACUAACUCUUAGUCGAUCGACCCAGUUAACAGUUAACCGAGUCGCGCAUGGCCAUGCUUCCCGAAUCAUAUCACUCGAGAGGGCCCAGAGAAUAUCUCUCCAGUCGGAGGGGCAAAAUCCCAUCUUGGUUAUCCACAUCACAUAGCUUGAUUCUCAGUCAACUCGAACUCUGCCUUUAUAACUGCCCUGUUACGGAACAACGUUUAACAGAACCUAAGUUGGUGAUCCACAACUCGGAUUGUGCGAUAACCUCAGGUCUAAGGAUUACAUUGAUUGAGACAUGCAAAUGACGACCUACUCGUUGCAUCUCAAUAUGGGUCAGUCCGACUCGCUAAACUCUUUAGCCGAGUCCGUGUAAGCUGGAAUGACAUCACCAUGCCCAUGACAAGUGGAACCGAGUCAUCAGCCAACUUUCACAUUAGUUUAGGUUAUGUGUUCAGCACAACCUAAAUGACUAAGGACAAUUUAGUAUGAACAACAUGAAUACAUAGUUCCACAAUCAAAUCACAUAUUCAAUGAUACAUAUCAGAUGUUCAAACAAGGACAACUUAAUAAUCUUUAUGAAUACAUUGGGAAUUACAUCAUACAUGAUUGCCUCUAGGGCAUAUUCCCAACAAUUUCCGCUUUACUUUGAUCGUCAGCGCUCUGGGCUGACGUCACGGCCUUGACGUGCGCGGUGUUUCAUGCACGUCGAUGCGUGUUAGGGUGGUCGCUGCACUGGUUCUUCGGAGGGUUCCAAAGUCCAUGAGUUGGCGUAUGGGAGGCGGUAACCAUCUUUCUGGUGGCUUCUCAUGGCGCCUAUAUAUGUAGAGCUGUUGUCGGCAUUGCUCUGGGCACUUGCGUAUUGCGCUAUGGGUUCUGAACUUCUGAUGGGUUGCUUGGCGCUGCAGAUGUGGAUCCGGCACGAUCGGCAGCAUUGGAGCGUCGGUGUCCUCCCUCUGCCCUAACCACGACGUCCUCCCUCUGCCCUAACCACGGCGCCCCCCCCCCCCUCUUCCCCAACCACGGUGUCCCCCGGUGGCCCCGUUGCUAGAGGUGAAGCUCCGCAGCUAAGGAGGUGCAGUCCGGCGACAUCCAGGCUGAGACUACAGGGAGGUGUGGGGCCAGUGAGGCCAGAACGAUCCACCGGCCGCCAUGUGCCUCCUCACGCCUUUUUUUUUUGAAAAAGAGGGACCCCCUCCUGUUUCCAUUAAAGAAACGAUAGUCUUCUACACAAAUAGACAAAAGUAAGAAAAAGAAGAAAAACAUUCAGCGCGAAGUUCAGAUCACCAGCAGGUCUAGAAAUGAUACUAGCAACAGCAGAGAAAGAGAAAACAUACUACAAUUCAUAGAGCUCCUAGUCAGUAGAUUCAGAUAAAUGUUCUUGCUGCAGCAAUAGUUCCUUCACUUCAUGUAACCUGAACUUCUCCUCCUCCACUACCUCCCUAGCGAAGGCAGAGACCAGACAAAGCAGAAAAGCAGAGACGGCGAAACUUCAGCCCGCCAUGAUGCGACGACAAAGAGGAUGCCAUCCUUUCGCUGUUUCAAAAAUUUCCUUGGCGACAACUUCAACCAGUCUUACCCCCCACCGCAGAAGAUUUCUGCUUGCUUCCUUUCUCUGCAGAACAGACCAAAGAUUGAGCCAAUAACAGAAUCUCUUAAUGAUACCAAAAGGAGAAUAUCUUAAUGAUAUUUGGUCAAAAAAAUAAUAUCUUAAUGAUACCAAAAGGAGAAGUCAAACCAGCAGAUCUACAACAGGCAUCAUUUCUAGUGUUCCAGAGUACCCACAGUAAUCCUGCAACCCCUACCAUAACCAAUUUCCUAACAUUGCCAGAAAAAGCCUGCAUCCAUCCAGUCCAAAUUUGAUCAACAGUAUCCGGCUAAGAAUUUAAAUUGAAAGAACAAUUUAGAAUAUUUCAUAAGAAUCAAGCUAAAGUACACUGGAGGAAAAGAUGAUCAAUUGAUUCAUCCAUCCCACAGAACUGACAUUUGGAAUCCCUUUUCCACCCUCUAUGCUGCAAAACAUCUUUAGUCAAAUCAAAUAUCUCAGCCUCCUCACGUCUGGCGCUGCUCAUUUUUUAGAUUCUGUUCCAUCUUGAUUGAUUCCUUAGUUCACAAAUCAAAGAUCUCAGCCUCUCUUGAUUGCAAUUGGUACGGCGACGGAGAUUUUUCCUCUUUUUUUAGAGCUCUUUUACGGUACCCCACAUUUAAUAUGAUCCAUCCAUUAGUCACGAUCUAAUGGCUAAUAUUGUCCGGUACUCCACUACAAGUUGUCUGGAGUACUACCUCAAGAAUAGACGGAGUACCACGAUAUGAGGGGCAAAAUCGUAAUCAUAAGAAGUUUUUUUUCUCUCGCGGAGUUAUUUUGAUAAUCCAACACUAAAUAUUGUGCCAAAACUCAGGCGUGAAUGUUUUGAUUUACGCCAUCUAAAAAAGUCAUGAACCGGAGAUGAACCCUAAUCCUGAGGAGGUGUGGCGCCAGGCUUUGAUCCAUCACCGGCCGGCGCAAGUAUGCAAGGGACGAGGACGCUCCCCCCGCCGGCGCAAGUAUGCUCGUCGAGCCGCCGCCUUCUCCGUUUCUGAAGACACGAGCAUCGCCGUCAGGGCGCGGACCAGAGCUAGGUUUGGUCAAAAGGUAAACUGGGCCAAACAGUAGAGAUCAGGACGGCGGCGGAGAGCGGGAGACACGACAGAGUGCGGCCUGCACACAGUGCCGAAGGCCAAGGGUCAGCACUGACGCUUGCUCCCACGGCCAACGGCUUGGGCACGCAGGAGACUUGACGAUCCACGAGACCUUGGGCUUGGUUGAUUGAAAGGAGUACGUGAAAGUCCAAGAUGACCUGCGGGUUGCGGAAAUGCCCAGACUGCCCUUGCAGAUGAACGGACAGAUUUGUAUGGUACUCCAUCUUGUGUUUUGGGAGUACCAAUACUGUAAAAACUCUUUUUUUUUAAUUCUUUUCUUACUGCCCUAAACCCAUGGCAAUGUUUCUACUUUCCAGUGUCUUAGUUUGUUGUGGCAGGUAAUACAAUCGUUCCACGUAUAGGCUCCUCAGUUAGCGGCUUAAGCCUCGGUAGACUCCGGCCGCCACAUGCCUACGCUGACGGCUGCAGCUUCUUGCGUUUUGGCGAUGCUAUAAUCCCUUCUGGUGCGGUAAACUCUUUUCUAGCGGUGCCGGUUUCUACCGGCGUGGGAUGGACCAAUCGUUCACUGCCAGCAUGCACCACGUAUCCGGACGCUAUGUAUAUCCUUCAGUAUUCAUUUGUUCCCUCAUUUAUUCAACGUGGUAAUCUCAGUCUGGGUCCCACCAUGUGCUAAAAGAAAAGGGAGCACCAAAGAAGAGCGACGCGGGGCUCUGGACCUCUGUUCGAGGCGUGACGAGCGGGGCCCAAGCAAGGUGCGGGGCCAGGCGGGCAGCGAGCCAGCGACGGGCGCUGGCGCUAGUGUGUGUGAGCAAAUUUGAGGAGGUCUGUACAAAUUUGAUGAAACUUUUCUAAUCCUGUACUAACACAUUUUGAGGUUUGUACAAAUUAUGUAAGGGUUCAAACCAACUCAGAUUUUGAUGAAACUUUGGGGGUUGGCUUAAGAUGGGAACAUCCACCUUCAGUAAACGUUUCAAAAAUUUUGUAGCAAAUUUGAAACUCUGAGAUUUAAAUAUGGUUUAAGUUAAAAGGGCUAGUAAACUAAUUUUGAUUGACGCGAAAUUUUGCAUGUGCUCAUCUUGCAUAUAUGUGAGUUUGUACAAAAAGUUACAUGUCAAAAAGACGAAGUAGAAAAGUGGGUUAUUUCACAUAGGUUUGAAAAGGGGUUUAGUCCGCGCGAGUUCUAAAUUGAUGCAACAAUAAUUAAUACAUGAGAUGAUUACAUGAUGCAUGCUUAAUCUUAAAAUGAUCCUAUAUUAAUCAUCACACUGUAGUUCUCCACCAGCUCGGUCACCUACCGAUGGCGCGCAUGCCGCGCUAGCCACGCACCGCCUUGUGUUGCCCAACAUACCAUUUGUAUAUCAAUUUUUGGGUCAUUACACUAUAGUUCUCAAAUUUGUCGAAAUAUACCAUUUGUAUAUCAUAUACCACAUACCAAUGAAAUAUAUCAUUCAAAUACCACAUACCAAAUAAAUAUACCAUGUACCAAUAAAAUAUACUAGUGAGAUACCGUUGCAAUAUCAUAUACCAUACGAAUGUAGUGUACCAUUUGUAUAUCAUAUAACACCGUAAUAUCAUAUACCACAUUACCAAUGAAAUAUACCAUUCAUAUACCACAAAGCAGAGAAAUAUACUAUUCAUACACCAUGUACCAAUAAAAUAUACCAAUGAGAUACCGUUGUAAUAUCAUAUACCAUACGAAUGUAGCAUACCAUUUGUAUAUCAUAUAACACCGUAAUAUCAAAUACCACAUACCAAUGAAAUAUACCAUUCAUAUACCACAUAACAAAUAAAUAUACCAUUCAUAUACCAUGUAAAAAUAAGAUAUACCAGUGAGAUACCGUUGUAAUAUCAUAUACCAUACGAAUGUAGUAUAUCAUUUGUAUAUCAUAUAACACCGUAAUAUCAUAUACCACAUGCUAAUGAAAUAUACCAUUCAUAUACCAUAUAACAAAUAAAUAUACCAUUCAUAUACCAAGUACCAAUGAAAUAUACUAGCGAGAUACCACCUAAUUUCAUAUACCACAUACCAAUAAAAAUAAUAAUAAUCUAAAAUAUUGCAUCAUGUCAUCAUUACUUAUAUUGGUUGUGCAUCGAUUUAAAACUUUGCGGUCAUCAUUCUUAAACACCUUUUCAAACCUUUGUGAAAUAAAACAUCUUCAACCUUGUCCCGUCGACCUAAAACUUUUUGUACAAGCUCACAUAAAUAUAGUUCGAGCCUCUACAAAAUUUCAAGUUAAGCGGAAUUACUUUAAUACCCUUUUUGAAUUAAACGAUUUUCGAAGUCACAUAAAUCCCUGAAUUUCAAACUUGCUCCAAAAUAAUUGAGAAUUUUACUGGAGGUGGAUAACACCAUCCUAAACCAACCCUCAAAAUUUCAUUGGAUUCGGACUUCAUUUGAACUUUCAAAUUAUUUGCAGAAACCACCAAACGUCUAAGUUCAAAGUUGGAAACGAAAUCAAUCAGGUGACCCCACAUGUCAUACUCUCACGUGUAACUUAUUCUCUUUCUCAGUUCUCUUCUUCUCUUCACAGCACGGUAGAAGAUAUCCAGUGCUCCCACCCCUUAGGAUGCGAGCGUGCUCAGUUUUCGAAUUUUUUGAUAUAAAUUGAGUAGCUUUGUAAGAUAUGUGUCUAUCAUGUCACAAAGUUUCAAAUCCAAAUUCAUCAUAUGCAUAGAAAAACAAAAAGGACAAAUCCAGAUGCGAGUAGGUCGCAAAAAGAUAAAAACACAAAAAGACAAAAUUUCUAACACUAUUCAUGUUUGCAUUUGUCUUUUUUUUUUCUCUCUGUGUAUAAUGAAUUUGGAGUUGAAACUUUGUGACAUGGUAGACACAUAUCAUAUGAACCCAUUCAAUUUAUUUUGAAAAUUUUGAAAACUUUUUAGAGGUGCUGCCGUGCAUUGGGAGCACGGUAACACCCUAAGGGGUGGGAGCACUGGAUAUCUUCUUCACAGCACGGCACGCACAGGAACUCAAACCGCAUCGCCACUUCCUGACAUCGCUCGCCAUAGCCCUGCACUGUGUGCCAAGGCCUGCCCAUCUACUCGCAUCACGCACUCUAGCGGACGUGUCAGCCGCGGAUCCCGCCGGAUCUAGAGAACAACGCGGCGGCGGCGCACUCCAGCUGCUCGUGAUCUUGGGAAGAACGGCACAACGGCGCACUCCGGGAAAGAAAUUGGGGCAGCCAUGGAUCCGAGGAAGAAUUGCGUGGCAGCUCGGUCCAGUGGCUCGCGACCAUUGGGAAGAACGGCACGACAGCGCACUGCGGGAAAGAAAUUGGGGCGGAAAUGGAUCCGGGGAAGAACAGCAUGUCGGCGCGUCGAUGAAGCUCCCUGCGGCAGUGGCACAGGUGGCGACGAUGCUAGACACCUCCGGCGAUAGGAGGGAGGGAACAACGCGAUGGCAGAGGGAGACUGGGAGAGAGAUGACAGUACGAUGGAAACCAGCCAAAAUAUCUGCUCCGUGAAGGACAGUGACAAACUCAAGUGGGCUGGGUAGCAACAAGUACAAUACAUCUUGCGACCGAACCGAUGUAUAAAUUUCCAUAAUUGAAAUACCGACUCGGGCGUGCGUUGAUCUCAUAGCGCGAAUGGACGGUUCGUAGGAUACCGGCACCGCUACAAUCGCCGCUUUGCUUCUGGUGCAGCUAUUUAUGUUUAUGAUUCAACUUGUAUUCUAUCAACUAUGCCUUCUCGCGAGUUUGGCCAUGCAAUGACAAUGUUGUUAUUAUAUACUGUCUUGGUGAUUUAUCCUAUUUGCCUUUUUCUCCAGAUAGAUUCGCAGAUUAUUGAGAAUGCGACAAAGUUAUAAAAAAAUGGCUGAAGUUGGAAUCUCAGUUGAAGAGCAUGAAGGACAACUCCAAGAUUUUCCAUCAUCCAUCCCAUUUUUGCCUCCCCUGGCUAGUAUUAAGCAAGGACGUUACUUGGUAAUACUUUGCAUGCAACGGUAUGGUGUGUCGAAUUUGAAACUCAUAAGCAGUUGGUUACUAUAUUUCUAGUUUUCUAUAAAAGAAUGCAGCUAAUCUGAAGGUCUACUAUGCUACUCUUCUCAUUGCUGCGUAAUGGUCUUGUGGAUUUCUUGCACCAAUUAUCCUUUUUUUAAAAGGUCCAGCAAACGUUGGCUUUCCAAUGCAUUAGCAGGCAGAGAUAAUUACAGGGUUUGCCCUAGGCCAAAGAGAAAAAAGGAGCGGAAACAAAAGAAAGAAACGAAGGUGGCCAGGGGAGACUGAGGAGGAUUUCAGGGGGGUUCCAGAGAAGUUUCCUGAGAGCCUUUGCGCCGACGAAAGCCCGGUCUUGCGCUUGAAAGUAGCGAUCUGACACAUGCCGGUGGCCUUGUCAUGGAAAACUCUUGAAUUGCGCUCGCGCCAAAUCGAGUGGCACACCAGGAUGAACAAGGACCCAAGCCCUUUGCUUAGGUUUGCACUGUAUGAUUUCAUGAGGCGGUCGUGGAAGUCCUGGAUCGACGUGGCCCCAUGGAUGGCCGUAGCAAGGGCACGACAGUUAGGCCAGAGUGCAAUCUCGCACCAGAGCAUGCUGGAGAACGAGCACUCGACGAAGAGGGGGAAGGGCGUCUCCAGGUUCCGACGACGGAGAGGACAGAAGUAGCAGUUGGGCCAGCCGCGCCGUUGCAGACGAUCCGCACACAAAAGACGGUUCUGAAACAGAAGCCAAGCGAAACAUUUGUGCUUCGGCGGCGCCCAGACGUGCUAGACGGUCUAGGGAAGCGAUGAGAGCGUGACGCCGAUAAAGUGGAGCUUGUAGGCGGAGCUAGAAGAGUAAGAGCCGUCUGCGGUCAGGGUCCAACGAAUGGCAUCCGGAGUCUCAGGCUGGAGGGAGAUCGCGUGCAGAUCACGCCAGGCAGAGAUGAACUCGUGGAGGGCGUCGGUAGGCAGGUCGCGACGCAAGUCGCGGACCCAACGAUGAUCGGUGACAGCUUGGACGAUCGAGAGAUUCUUGCAUCGGGAGAGGGCAUGCAGUUGCGGGAAAGCCAGCUGGAGCGGCCGUCCACCAAACCAGGUGGAAUACCAGAAACUGGCGGUAGAGCCGUUGCCGAUGGUGACACGGGUAGCAUCUGCGAAAGGUCGCGGUCAACCUCGUCGCAGGGAGUAGGCGUGCCGACCCAAGGCCGAUCCGACGCUCGCCACUCGAGCCAGAGCUAUAGUAGACGAAUGGCCCUACCAAAAGCAUCCAAAUUCAUGACUCCCAUCCCGCCGUGCGCAAGAGGAGAGCAAACCCUAGACCAACUAACCUUGCACUUGCCCCAAGCGAGCUCAUUAUCAUCAACACCCCAAAGGAAACGUCGGCGGAUCUUAUUGAGGGUGCUAAUGAAAUUUCGGGGAAGCUUGAGCGCGUUCAUGGCAAACACCGGGAGGGCGCUAAGCACAGAGUUGGUGAGAGCAUACGGCACCCACUGGUGCUAAUCCAUCUUCCCCGCCAACAAGCCAGGCGAGCACGGGCAUGAUCCAGGAUGUGUUGAAGGUGAGCGCUCUUGAUCCGUUUGAGGGACAUGGGGAGGCCUAGGUAGCGAAUGGGGAAAUCGACAUGUAUCCCAUGGAAAUGCAGAAGGACAUCGUCGAGGUUGGUAUCGUCGCAUCGGAUUGCGGCCACCUCACACUUGCCAGGAUUAAUGCGCAGGCCCGUGGCGAGACCGAAUUCAUGCAGCAGAUGGAGAACGAAGAGCACGUCGGUGCGCACAGGGUUAAGGAAGAUGAUGGCGUCAUCUGCGUAGAGGCCGCCGCGCGGAGCUGCUUCUUCAGGGGUAGCGGGGAGAGACCGCUGAGCUCUGUGCCGCGUUGAAAGAGGCGCUACAGCGGGUCGAUGGCGAGGAUGAAGAGAAGCAGAGAGAGCUGGUCUCCCGGGCGCAGGCCGCGACGGUGAGGGAUCGAGGCGCCGAUGGUGCCAUUGAGAAGCACCGAGGAUGAGGCGGUGGAGAGGAGGAGCGCAAUCCAGUCACGCCAUCGAGCCGGGAAGCCGAGUCGUUGGAGGAGUUCUAGAAGAUAUUCCCAAGACACGGAGUCGAAAGGUUUGGCGAAAUCGAGCUUCAUAAGCAGGGCUGGCUUUUUCCCGCGGUGGAGAGUGCACGCCGCGUUUCGAACGAAAAGGAAGUUGUCGUGGAUGCAGUGGGUCGUGAGGAAGGCGCUCUAAGAGGGAGAGAUGAGCCCCUCCAUGAAGGGGGACAGGCAGUAGGCGGGUACUUUGGAGAAGAGCUUGGCGAACGAGUGAAUAAGGCUAAUAUGGCGCAGGUCGUGGACACUGUUAAUUUGGGCUAUCUUGGGCAGCGAGAAAAUGAAGGCUGAGCUGAGAGUAGAGAAAUUUCCACUAGCGAGACAAUGGAGGUGGUUGAAAGCAGCAAGGAGGUUGAGCUUGAUAAUCUGCCAACAGGAGCGGUAGAACACGCGUUGUGAAGCCGUCUAGCCCGGGCGCGUUUCAGCAGGCGAGUCCCGGAUGGCGACCCAAAUCUCGUCCAUCGAGAAAGGGAGGUCGAUGCCGACCGGGGGAAGGGUCGGCAGGUUGAGCUCGGACCACGCAAAAGAAUGGGAGCGCGGGGAAGUCGAACCAAGAACGGCAGUGAAAUGCUGGAGCAGGGCCUGAGCUUUGUCGUCAUGCGCCACGUGCACACCGGAAUCGUUGGCAAUCUGGUGAAGGAAAUUUCUUCGGUGCCUAAAGUUUACCUUGAUGUGGAAGAAUCUGGAGUUGGCGUCGCUUUCUUUGAGCCAGACCCGGCGACGGCGGGAGCGCUCGAUCGCGGCGAGCCCAGGGAUCCUAGCUUUGAGGGCGCGGCGGAGGUGAAAUUCUAGGGCCGAGAGGAUGCAGCCUUCCUGAGCGACGUCGAGCCAUAGCACGAGUUCCAGAGCAAGGUGAAGCUGGAAGCGGGAAUCACUAAAGAUUCCUUUGCUCCUUUGACGUGAAUACGACGAAGAGGAUUGGCGGAGUCCACCUCCUGGCUCCAGGCCUCAAUCGUAGCAUCGAAGAAGCCCGGGUGAUGCGGCCAAAAAUUCUCGAAACGAAAGCGUGCUUUCCUCGGCAGCAAGCUGAAGCCGGCAAGAAGAAGAGGACAGUGAUCCGAGCGCGAGAUGGAAAGGGCGUGAACGGCAUAGGAGGAGAAGAGCGCGUCCCAAGCGGAGUUACAGAAGAAUCGAUCAAGCUUGACGAGGGUGGGGUGCUGCUGCUCGUUAGUCCAGGAGAAGUUUCGGUUGACGCAUCUCAAUUCGAAAAGCUCAGCCUGAUCAAUGUCCGCGCGGAAUUAGCCCAUGAGGCGACGACUAAGGUUGAGGUUGCUCUUGUCUCUUGCUUCGUAGAUUAGGUUGAAAUCGGCGAAAAUCAACCAGCAGGGUUCCCCAGGGCGCGGAGAGAUGACGGCCAUCUCUUGGAGGAAGGCGGGCUUGCGGGCAUCUUCGGCUGGACCGUAGACGGUGGAUAGAAGAAACGCUAGGCCGGAAACAUUGAUGGUGACGACGACCGUAAUGGAGAAAGAGAGGAUCUGGGGGUUGGAGAUGGCGACCACGUCGGGGUUCCAAAAAAGGGCCACGCCGCCCCACGUGCCGUCGGCGGGCAGGCACACGAAGGGCUGGCGGGAGGGGCCUGCAAUCUCACAGGCUAGGGAAGCGUCGAUCGCGGACAACUUUGUUUCCUGAAUGCAAGGGAUGCCGGCUUUGGCGUUGGAGGCCAACUCACAGACGGCCGCGCGGCGAGCCGCGUUAUUGAGGCCGCGGACGUUCCAGCAAACAAUCGGACAGAUGGCGUCAAUUUGGGGCGGAGCAUUGACGAAACGCGACAGAAACUAAUACUAGCACGAGUACACCCGAAUAUUACUUGUAGGUCCCUCGGGAUCCUUGGGGGACUCAAUCCCUUGCGUUGUUUUUGCCAUCGGUCUGCCCCGGUGGAUUUGUACCUUUAGUAUUCUAUCCUGGCCUCUAUGUAUGCAACCCGUAUUUCUGUCGCAACGGUCAUCUGAUCCAUCACAUUUAUGCAAAACAACUUUUUUGGUCCAGCUAACUCACGCUGCCACCGAUUUUGGCCCAGCUUCACAGGUAAACCAGAGGUCAAAUUUUGAAGCAUUAUGCAUAAUCUCCAUUCAAUUUUUUGGCACACAUGCAUCAAUUUUAAGCCGAACCAGUUCAUCAACAAAAUAUUAAUUAAACAUAAUUAGGAACUUGAAUCUGAACCAAUUUUGGAUAGAACUUGGAUCUGCGCCAAAUUUUUGUCAAUCAACAAAUUCAACAACAAUCCCCAAAAAUAAAUGUGAACAACAGAAGCAAACUGCAAAAGCUAAACUCAAACAAAAUCAAGAAAAUUUGCCGCAUGGCCACAGACAGUUAGGAGUUAAACUCAUAGAAAUCGCAUCAACAAAUCUUCCCGCAUGCCCACGGAAAAAAACCGAAACCAAAAAAAGUCUUGCAACAAUCUUGAAGCAGCAAAUCUUCAUCAGGGAAUCACGCAUGUGUGAAAACUUGCACAAAUAAACGCAGGGAAGAAAUCUUGCACAAAAAAAGAUCUUGCACCAUGGCCACGCAUGUGUGAAAACGCAGGGACCUAGCCGAGAACUCCGUGUCCAUGGCCACGAAGGGGCCGUCCGAACCUGGUCAGUUCACCGCCGGGAGCCGCUGGCGAGGGAGGAUGAGCAGGGGGAGAGGAUAGUAAAGGGGAUUUUUUGGGGAAGGUGGGGCCCAGUAUUUCGGAAUGGUCCAGCUUGCCAUCAUAAAUGGCCCAGGUCUCAUCGCAAAUGGCCCAGGUACACAUAGGAAAUGGCCCAGUAUUUACACUAUUCAGUACCGCAUCCUGGACCAAAUUUCAGAUCAUGAUGGGCCAAACGGGUGGACUGGAUAGAGUCCACCAAGGGUCCUGAGACCUGAAAAUUCAUUCAAAACAUACAUGGGGUGGAGACGAUCGACAGCCAAUAGCCCCAAACAGAUCGUUCUCCAAUAGCAAGCCGUCGAACCCUAACAUAACUACCAAAGGACCGGCAUGGGGCCGGCCGCCACCUAAACAACUAAGAUAGCAUAACAUGGGGAAACUACAAAUUAGUUCGCCGGCGAGGCGACGCUGGUGGCGGAGGCCUGAGCUGCGGCACGGUGGAGAGCGUUGCGGUCGAUCCUGGUAAGAACGGCGAGGCCGUCCACAUCAACUUCAGAGAGAGGCUCCUUGAAUCGCUGGAUCAGCGCAGCAGCGGCAGUGUCGGGGCGCUGGCGGACAGUGGAGGAGGGCUUCCCCGCCUGACGAGCGCUGCGGCGCGGGGUGAUCGCGGGCAGCUCCUUGGGCGGCCGCGGAAGCGGCGGCGGCGAGGCUCCGAGCACGCAGGAGGGAGGCACGGCGAACAGGGAGCGGAUGACCUCAUCAGUAGUCGUGUGGUCGUCGGGCGCGGGGGAGUCUGGGACGAGCAUGUCAAUGACGUCGGUGGUGGUGGCGGCGCGCCCAUCACCGACCGGCGAAGGGAGCCUGAGGGCCCAGACCGUGAUUCCCCGGCACCGCCGCCACGUCGGAGCUCGCCGGGAAAGAGAGUGGCGAGGCCACCACCUUGGCGCAGUACGAGUCGAACUUCGAGACCAUCGGGUCCGCGCCGCGCAGAGGCCCUCGAACUGCUCGGACGCCAUCAGGGAUCCUCGCUGGAGACGGACGAGGCGCUGGUCGGUGAAGCGGGGGCAGCCUCGGGCGCCGGCGGCGAGGGCGGUGACACAACCACUGCAGGCGUCGGCGCAGCCACCGCGGGAGGAGAAACCACGAACAGGCGCUGGGUAGGGGGGCCAUGAGCUAGGAGGGGCGGCGGAGGCGGCAGGAAUUCCAGAGGCUCAACCAAUAUACUACUGCCCCCUGUUUUCUUUUCCUCCCGUCUUAUUCACGAUUUCUCCUUCUCCGUCUUACAACCGACGCCACCAUGCCCGCAUGUCGAUCUCGACGGCGUCAUGAGCUGCCUACACAGAAAAAAAAUAGUUUGUGAUUUGUUGACCCGUAGCAACGCGCGGACACACCUGCUAGUAUAUGAUAAAAGUUGUACCCAUCUAAUUAAUCUCGUUCCUCUCUAUACGUACUCUCUCUUCCCUCUCAGGUCCAGCAUGCAUGUGGAAUUGAGAACGGUGCCUCUGACUCUGGAGACUGGAGAACGUCCUCAAGACUCCAACAAGUUUUGAUUUUGAUUUUGAUUUAGUAAAAGAAUAAAAAAUAUAUGAAUUGAAUUAGUUAUGAGUUUUUCAAGUUUCAACAAUCUUUGGGGUCGUCAAUAGCUGGUUCGAUUGAGUGGCCAGUGCAUUCCGCGCCUGUCUCUUCUCUGCAGGUUUGAUUGAGUAGCCAGUGCAUUCCGCAUUUCCGCGCUAGUUGCCAUGCAAACAUCUUCACUUUAGGAGGACAAUGGCACUUCCAGAGUAACGCCCAGUCAGGUCUCUCACACGAGGCACCAUCCCCCUGCUCAAUCAUCAUAAGGGGACGGAGUGAGCACCUACAACUGGAAAAGUACCGUAUGCUGAAAUUAAUUAGAAUAAAACUACUUCCUCCGUCCAAAAUAUUCCAAAACAAGUGACCGUGGAUUUUAUAUAAAAAUCUAUAUAUUCAAAUCAAAAUUACUUAUUUUGGGAGGGAGGGAGUACAUGAUUCCAAGGUAGCAUGGGUUGAUGUUGAUCUAAAAAAAAAAUCCUAGGGUGGUUGUCAGAUUCUAGUGUACAUUGUUCAAAAAUCUUGUCUGGUUUUUGCUUUCGUAUGAUUCAGUACUACUUCCGUACUAUGCAAAUACGGAUUAUAAAUCAUGAUGAUUGAACAUAACUAAUUUAGAGUCAUAGAUUUUACUAAAAAAACUUAGAACAAAGCUAACACGAUGAGUUAAAAGACUCGAGCUAAUGCAAAAACUGUUAUAAGCUCCCGUAUGAUUCAGUACUACUUCCGUACUAUGCAAAUACGGAUUAUAAAUCAUGAUGAUUGAACAUAACUAAUUUAGAGUCAUAGAUUUUACUAAAAAAACUUAGAACAAAGCUAACACGAUGAGUUAAAAGACUCGAGCUAAUGCAAAAACUGUUAUAAGCUCCCGGCGAGGAUCGAACUCACGACCUUUCGCUUACGAAGCGAACGCAAUACCACUAUGCUACGGAAGCUAUCAGUAAUAUGUUUUAAAGAAAAUUAAUUUGUAUUUUAUUUGUCAAGACCUUUUUCCCGUUCCCGUUCUUGCACUUGCAGCCAAAGGAUCAGCGGUUGCGGCAUGACAAGAUUUUUUUUAAUUGUAUUUUUAAUUGCUAACCACAUUUGCCAUGUGGUUAGUGGCAUGACAAGAUAGUUGUGAGUUUGACUAUAUAGGAGUAUAUCGCUCUGACGAUGCGUCACGCCGGUGACACGCAGUAGUAGCAGUCUAGCAGAGCACCCGACUGAAACGUGCCCGACAGUAGAGCACCGGCCGACCAAAUCCAGAUGAGUUUUCAUGCAGUUAUUAAAAAGGUACCACAUGGGGCACAUGGCAGCUUCCAGAUCCAACAAAGUCCAAAAUCAGUUAAACAAAAGGCAAGCAUACACAUACACAGAUUAGAACUUGGCGAGCACAUCGCAGAUUCUCCCGAUAGCUGCAGCCAGAAUGAGUAUAGGGAGAAAGGGAACGGACAUGUUUCCAACUCUCCAUCUUGCUGAAACCUCGGGUACUUCGGAGUCUUUUCAGAAGAAUACAAGAUACAGCUGUGCAUCGCAGGUAAACGAAUUACAGGUUCUAAAAGGAUUAACAGAAGAACUGUAAUAGUCUACUCUAUGUUUGCCAAAUAGUAAAAAAGGACCGGAAUGCUGUAGCCUGCUGACAUCGGCAGCUAUUGAAGACAGACAAAGGAUAAUAACUGAUAAAUGGAAUGUUUUGUACAACAGAAUUUCAGACUAGUCUCGCUAGAAACAAAUCAGAAACUUCCCCGACAGAAUGCCAGGGCAAAUCCACAAGCGCAAUCAAAAGAACAGAUACGGGCGCGGGGUAAACACAAACAAGCAAAUCUUUUGAGUAAUUACUAUUUUUGCUUCAGAAAUGAACAGUUUAACACCAUCUAUUGAGAUCUGAGACUUCAAACAAACAGCCACGGGUACUUUUGUAGGUACAGACAUAACAGAGUGAAAUAACAAUGGAUGACCAAGCGCCCAACCCUAUAAACUUGACUAGAACUUCCCCACUCCGAUCCAGGAAGGCGACAGUGACAUGAGCCAGACUAAAGCUACGAUUCAUUGUCCAUCCUAACAGCAACCUGAAAGAAAGGGAGGGACUAUGCUAAACUAAAGGCAACCAUCCAUCAGAGACACUAGCCAGGAACAGCAACAGCAAAGCUCCAGAGGUUUCCAUCCAGUACUGUGGCAGCUUGGUGAAAUCCGAUCCGCAUCACUCGUCAGCCUGCAUACAGGAUGUUUCAGACAUUCUCGUCAGUGAGGUGAGGUUGACUGAAAUUGUCGGAAAGGGAUUAUGGGGUGGGUGUCUCUAUCUCACCUCGCUCCCGUCAGCCUCGUCGUUAACCUCGGACUUGGACUUGUCCGAGUCACCAGACGCUUCCUGGCCUCCUGCCUGCAAGGGUAAAAGCACAAACCGCACAUAUGAGAACAAUGUGAUCAUCUCGAUUCUGACGACGGUGUUCGAUGAGGAGCUGAGAGCGCGCAUCGGUACCUGAGGGUUGUUGUAGGCGACCAUCUUCUUGUUGUACUCAGCCUUGAGCUUCUCGGCCUUGGCAACAAAAGGAGCUUUCUCCUGCGUUACAAACGAGAUAUGUUAGUCGGGCGAAGCUAGCACAAGGCAAUGGAAACACUGAACUGAACAGCUGUGAAAAGACGAGCAAAAGGGAAACGAAUUGUGCGGAACGGUAUCGAAAAUUUGAACGGGCGAACAAGAUGUUGCAAGUACUAAAAGUUUAUCACCAAUUAGAAUCGAAAAGGAGAUGGGUAAAUUUUAAACGAAAUGACACAUUUUAACAAAUUCACCAUAAAUUUGAACCACACGACCAGAACUACACAUCCAGUGGAUCCCCAAUUUGAACCUAACCCUCCUGGAACAAGUAAACCCGAGAUAUGAACGACAAAAAACGUAAACUGAACAAAAUUACAAAAUUACAAGUGACAUCAAAUCAGCAGACAAUGGAAUCAGAUCGAAAUCGCAUGACAUCAAAUGAGAAAACAAUGAAACCAGACCGAAAGAGCCAGCGGACCCUGCAGUUUGAGGAAACAACUUACAGCAUCGGACAGGGACUUCCACUCCGCACCACCGGCUUUACCAACCUGCGUCCCACCAAAACCAGCCGGUAUCAGAACGUAGAAUUUAAAUCGUCACAACGGUUCGAACGAGGGGAUGAACUCAGGCGGAGAAAACGAUCCUUACCACGGAGACUUGCUUGACGUCAGGGUGCUUCUCCUUGUAGUCCUUCCUGAACCCCUCCCUGCGGAAACGAAUGCAUAGCAAAAAUGUCGAUCAGAACGCGACACCACAGAGUGACAAACAACACGAAAACCAGAACGGAUCUGAGCUUACAUGAAGACGAAGAACGCGCUCGGGGGCCUCUUUGGCUGGUUCGGGUCCUUCUCGGCCUUUGUCUUCCUCACCGAGAGCCUAUGCCACCAACAAGUGCAAGACACCAAGAGCAAAUCGAAUCAAAACCGACGCGAAAUAGAGGCGAAACACUCGAACAGAACCACGGAAAUCGAACAGGUAGAGGGGAGAUCUGAUCAAUCAGACACUAACCUGGAGUCGCCGCCGCUGGACCUCACCCUCGCCUUCAUCUCGCAGCCUGCAACACCAAACCAACCCAGAUCUAAACCAUCAGAAACAGCACAACCGAAAUCACAACAGCAUGAAAUCGGAUGUUCUAAGAAACAGAUAUAGAUUGAUCUCGAACUCACGGUACCUUCGGAUCGGAGCGCGUUAGUGCUAGGUUGGGGAGAUGGGUGCUGCGUGCUUUCGACUACGAUGCGAUUUGGAGGGCUGGAGGACAGGAGGAGGGAGGCGAUUGGGGGCGGGCUUUAAAGGCGGGUGAGAGGCGGGAGUUUGCGCGGGGUUCCCCGAAAAAUUUCGCCACGUCAACGAUCCGCGCGCUCUUCUCUCAUUGGCCGUGCGGGCGAACUGCAGUCGGCUAGAGCUUCCGCUACACUGUUUGCGCUUACCCGCGGGGCUCCUGUCCAGCUGUCAGUCUUAUGGCCCACCUGUCAUUGGAGUUUGUAGGUUCUUUACGGAGUAUUUACGGUGUGUUUUCUCUGCCUGUGCUUCUCGGAUGGGGGGCAGUCUGGGCAGUUUCGAAGAGUUUACGGACGUGGUAGAAGUUUCCUGGCGCACGACUCAUUGAACCCGCAUUUAUUUAUUUCUCGACAGAACAAGGCCGUAUCUUUUGGUAUUCCUCGAUCGAGUGAUCGAGUCGGAUAUUGUACUAGGGAGUAUAUCGGAGUUAUUUUUAGAGGCUUACUCAUCCCGUUACUUAAAGAACGGCAUAUUAGUUUUCAUUAAGACAAGUCUUUGAACACAAAUUAUUAUGUUAAAGUGUUGUUUAUAUGACAUGAAGUACUUUCGAUAACGAAUUUAGCGAUACUAAUUUCAUGUCAUAUAAACCACACCUUGCCAUAGUAAUUUGUGAUCAAAUCCUUGUCUUAAUGAAAGCUAAUAUGCCAAUUUUUAAGGAACGGAGUGAGUACAAUGAAAAUACUCGUCACGUUGUCCGUAAAAUGUCCCAUGUAUCCUGCACAAACAUUGUUUUUGAUCUAUUUUACUCGUGCGAGAACAUAUGCUAUAUGAUCGACUCUCGUUCUUCUGCAAGGUGGUGUUUAGUACUACCUCCGUUCCAUAAUAUGAGACACGCAUGCAUCGCUAAAUUCUCAAUUUGAUUAAUUAAAUAUGUAUGUUUUUAACAAAAAUUACAUCAUUAGACUCGUUAUCGAAAAAAUUUCUAAUAAUAUAAUUUUUUAGUUUUUUAAUUAAUAUUUAGUUAGCUAAAUUGACGAUGUAGGAAAAUGCGAGCGUGCCUCCUUCCGUCCCAAAUUGACUGACGUAUUUUUAUACAAAUCCACGUCAGUUAAUUCGGGACGGAGUGAGUACAUUAGAAUGCCGGAACUUAGAGGAUGCUCUACGAUGCCAUUAAUUGUCUCUAUUUAAACACUGACGUAUAAAGUAAGUAGUAUCUUAUACUGUAAGUUAGUGUUUGGUGCAGAGCAAAUAGUCCAUACAUUUUCCUAAGGAAGUAUUGUAUUCUCUUUUGAGGAAUCAAAUAGAUUCAUGUAUUAUAGGAACUAAACAUGAGAAUGCAUGAUGCUCAAAUGUGGAACUAUUUUAUUACAUUUCACCAUUUUUUUAGCAGCCAAAAAGUACUACCUAAACAUCAAACGUGGUGCACCCGAUACAAACGAUAACAGUCUUGGUCCCUAUGAUGUGUUGUUGUGAUCUCUCGACCAUGACUUGGAUAUAGGUCUAUCGUGACAGUCCUCGUUGGCCUACAUUUCCUACUCCGUCAUCGAUGAUGCAUGUUUGUAUCGGGUGGAUUACACACAAUAUUAGAUUUCCCUUUAAGCAAUUCAUUACAAGCAAUUCUAGAAACUCAAGUCUUCAUGUGGUUGAUUCAUAAGAGAAGUUCUGACAAGCCACAAAUAAAUAUGUGGAAAUUUAUGAUUUUCGGUUGAAAACUCACCAAUAUAGCGAGAACCUUCCAUUUUUCUGGUUCAAGGCAUCAUAAACAUGGUGGCUGAGAUACUAUCAAAAAGGUCGAAACGUACUUGCUUUUCUAUUUCCAUACACAAGCUCUUCUUUCACGGUUAAGGCUUCAUUGACAUUGGUACUAGCCUAAGAUGAUGAUCAUGUCGUUUUUGGGUUUUAUAGCGUGGCAAUUGCAUGUGGAUGUAGUCAUAAUGGUUUCGUGUACCGGUGAUUCCACUUUAAUCGGCGUAAUGCUUACAGCUAUGAUGCGGUACAAUACGGCGCCCACUCAUUUAUAUAUUUUAAGCAACGGCCUCCUGACUUGCUUCCACAUACCCCGGAAUUCGGUCGAAACCGCUUCCUUUUUCCUUAUCUGCAUGCAUAACAAGACAGGGCAAUCAAUGUUCUCCAAACACUAUAUUCAUUCAAAAAAUUGGAACGAUUUAUCUCUUCAAUGGUGGAUUUGGUCCUCUAUUUGUCUUCACCGUUAACGAUGUGUCGAACUAUUAAGCACCCAAUUGUAUCUCUAUAUGAGGAUUCAUUGAAUCUCCUAGGGGGGCAACCAUGUCUAGGAGGUUUUUUAUACGGAGUAUAAGAACAUUACUCUACCCAUGGUGGAAUCGACGCUAUCUUUGUGCGUCCUCCUUAUGCGAGGCAGUAUAUCUCAAUUUGCUCAGAGAAGGAAGCUCCAACGCUCUCUGCAACUAUUCCGGAGUUGGUGCUGGCGCGCUCGAGCCAUCUUGCAGAGCGAGCUAAUGUCCUGGUCCCGGUGGCAGCUAUCGGGAUGCAACAGAGCUGUGCGGCCGAAGCAAGAAGGACGAUGGCCUUAAGGAUUUGGUUUGUAAUUUUAUACUCUAUCCUUAUUAUGAGGUGUUGAUGCAAGGUGCUCUCUCUCUGUAUUGUAUUCUUUCCUAUGCUAUGAUGAAUGAACAGUUUUUAUAAUUCGGGUGCAAAAUAGACACAUAAUUACUGAGAGCGGGUUUUUUGCUCCGGGUGGCAAUCACACCCGAAAUCUGAGCCGCCCACCUUGUUUUUGGGAUCUGUGCCCCUGAUUUUCGGUUUUCAAAAUACAUUUGCAAUACAUGGCAGUGGUGUACGUGGGGACCACGCACGUGGAUUCCAACCCCCCUUUCUUCUUUCUUCUGUCUGCCCUCUCCACAGCAAUGUCGCCUCCCUCUCCCCCCCCUUCUCUCUCUCACCCAACAGCCCAUGGCGGUCGGAACAGGGACCUCGACCGAUGCGGGACGGCGGCGUAGCCGGAGAUGGAGGCGGCCAUGGGCGUGUCCAGUUCAACAUCAAACGCGCCCUGGCUGGGUAUUCUCUCCCCCCCCCCCCCGGCCCCCGGCCAUCAUGUUCGAGCAAGAACUCAAGGGCGGCGGGACGAGGCAAUAAAUGAAGCUGCAAAUCGUCGGAGGAGGGGGAGGGCCGCCGGAGUUCAGAGCUCGGCCACGGUGUGGCCAUGAUCCGUUGCCGCAGUUCGGAGCUCGUCCACGGUGUGGCCACGGUCAGCAGGACGCGGACGCGUGGUGCUGCCGGCCCCUGCACGGGCACGAAAAAGCCGCCGGGGUACUGCCACCCCCACGCCCGAGCACAACUGCACCACGCCGCCACCGCCAGCCAGCACCCCCCCCCCUCUCUCUUAUGGCGGAGCUCGUCCAUGGCGCCGCCGACAUCUUCACCGAGUUCAUCUUCACGGGGUCCGGCUCCAACAACCUCCAACUGCAGCGUCUUCCCCAACUCCGGCAUCCAGCCGCUAGAAUCUCGAGAACGGUGGCUCGUUCUGGAGCCGGCCGAACCCCGACAACAUCCAUGGCGCAGGAGGAGCAGGCGGACGGGUUCUUCUAGUCGAAAUGGACAAGGUCGGAGUGGACAAGGGCAGAGCUGGCAGCGAACGAGAGCAGCAAUUGGCGGUCGCCACUGUCGGACGGGAGCAGGGGAGAGAAAAGUGAGAGAGAAAGGCGGAGGAGGAAGAUAGCGUGGGGGGAUGUGGGGGCAGAGAAACGCACAUGGUGGGCCCAGCACUGUUGAAGAAUACCAAAUUAAAAUGGGCAUACGGAUCCAAAUACAUGUAGGAGGAAGAUAGCGUUUACGAAUCUCAAUGUGCUUUGUAAGGUGCAGAUUCAGGGUGCGAUCGCACCCAGGUGCAAGAGGACAUUUCCCCAUAAUUACUGGCAUAUCGAAUAAUCAGCACAGCAGGUAGCACAAGUUCUUGUCAGGUAAUGUGAAUCACAUCUGAAAAAGUCAAACUGAAGCACAAGUUUAGGUAGAGCUUACCAUCUCAAGCAGAAAUUGAUAUUCAUGAGGCAAUUCAUUACUGUGGUUACAUCUGCCACUAACAAUUUCCAAGAGCAAAAUAGCGAAACUAUAAAUAUUUGACUUCUUUGUCACUUGUCCUCUGACUGCAUAUUCAGGGAGGAGCCUGGUAUCCUCUGAUAGAAGAAACGAAGGCAUUGAGAGAUGGGAAUGAACUAUGUUCCAUGUCCCAAACAAACUCAUAUACAAGGCUAUAUACUUAGAUUGUUCCUGCAACACGGGUGCUCACAUAGUCACAUGAGUUGCAUUUGGAGGAAGGAGCCUUGCUAACCAAAAAUCAUUCUAGAGGUGGGAUCCUUGUCGAAAAGAAUAUUGCUUCCCUUUAUGUCCCGCUGAAUUAUAGGAGGACGGAUUUCCUCAGGAAGAAAUGCAAGCGCUGAAGCCCAUGGGCAACAUCUAGAGCAAUUUUAACAAGAACUCUCCAACUGACGGCGCGGCGGGGGAUGGCUCGCGACGGGGGACGGCUCGCGACGGGGGAGGCUUCGCGAGCAGCGGCAGACGGCAGUGACCCACGCUUCGCGGGCAGCGGACGAUGGCGCCAUGGCGGCCUCUCAAGCGCACGGCACGGUGACUUUGCUCGGGGGCAUCCUAUUCUAAAUUUUUUCUUCCACCGAAAUUCAGGCCGAGCGUGUGGAGGAGUUCAACAUCUUCCUGUCAUGCUCUCAGCGGGUGCCGUGCUUAUGAUCUCCGGCCUUUUAUUCCACCGAAAUUCGCUGCCCAAAUGGUUCCAGAUAGUGUGCUGGCAGGCUGCGACCGUCUCCUUUUUUGCGGCCUGGCUCGCCGUCUGGGAUCACAUAAGACUUCGGCUCAGCCAAACUCCCUCUUCGAAAAGACCCAAACUGAAAACACAAAAGUUUACCUUUGUUUUUCCACAGUUCUUUUUCUUUUCUUUUCUUUUCUUUUGACAGCACAAAAGUGUACCUUCCACUUUCAACUAGUACUCCAACUCUUGUAGCUUCCCUCAAAAAAGUAUUAACUCUUGUAGCUUUCGGUUUUUUAAUAUCAAAACUGUUGAAGUUGUUGUGAUUUCAACCUCGACGUAUCCGCCACGGCCAUCAUUGAGCUCGCCUCUUCGCUGCUACUGGUACUACCUAGUGAGGCGGCAAAGCAGGCCAUGGAGGCGGUGAGUGAUGAUGCUGCCUGCAACUCAGUUUUGAGCAUUCAUCAGGGGUCAUACACAUCAAAACUAUCAAUCUCCAUUGAGAAAAAGGGAGGAUAUCCAUCCUUAAUAGAUAGGAAAAAAAAUUGUGUACGUAUCAUUUUUUUUACAAGAACACCAAUAAGAAUUGAAUUGAGCAUCUUUGCACUGGCAGAAUGCAAGCGUUACAAGUUUAGUUCCCCUUCCUAAGAUUUACAGCUCCAACACACACGACACAAGGCAAAUUAGCCAUUGUCCUGUAGCUGUCUUUUUUAUUUAUUUACAUCAUGCAUCUGACUCCCGUCAAAAUUCUCAUCUCACUCCAACUCGGCUAGCCCUCAGUGAGUUAGCAUCUCCUUUUGGCAUGCGAUGUGUCGGUGCUACUGCUACGGAACAGGCCUUCCCAGUGCUUCAGAGUUCAGAGCAAAGAGCAGGAGCCAAAUUCCAUCCUAUGAAUCCUCCAAGUUAUGCACCUCUUCUGGUCUUGUGGGUUUGUUCGUGCUAGGUAACCUAAGCUGCUCACAUAAGGCCCCAAAAAAUAUAAGUUGGAAAUUGUAUCUAUGAGUACGAUUAUUCGGCUACCAAUGAACCAACUUCAGGGAGUUGAUAACUUUUUGUACUACACAGAAGCAAGAUGAAAACUAUGCUGAACAUGACUACAUUUGGAAUACUGGGGAAAAUGAGUAUAAGCAAAAUGCAAUAGACACGGCAACUAGUGAGUGACCUUAGACCUCCUCGUGUUCAGUGGCACAGGAUCCUUCUUCAGUGGUUUAUAUGCAAAAGUCUCCAGAUCGAUCACCGGUGGGGGUGGCAUGGGGUUACCAGCACCUUUCUGAUUACUUGUAACCUUGACAUGAAAAUGGAUAACAUAUUAAUUUGUUAGUUUUCUAUAUAUACUUCAUUAGCCUAGGAUGUCAGUGAUAUAGGCAUAUGACUGAGGGAUACAGGUCUGGAAAGGGAAGCUACAUACCUGUUCAUUCGAUGAUUCAUGCUUGAUAUCCAAACGAUCAGCGAACAAGAGCACCUUCGUUUGAAGAGGACAGUUAGAUUGAUGUGGGAAUAGUACUAAAUCACAAGAUGCAUCAAAAUGUGCAAAUUACCCUGUCCAAUGAAUGUAGAUUUGAAGCAUCGGUUGCAAGAACUCGCACUCCGAGUGGCAUGGCACAAGCAUUUUCACAAGGGCAGAAAGGGCAUGUUACUGGCUUGUACACACAUCCAUCCUUCUCAGACCAAACGCCAGAAUGGUGAGCAGAACCUUGGCCACGGAAUUUGGUAAGGGUCUCUUGGUUGAGUGAGGAUGCGUCACACACAAUAACAUUUACCAUAGCUGGUGGCGAUGCCAUAAGAUCAUCUUGUGCGAAGCCAACACUUGAUAGUCCAUGUCUCAAAAGAUAUGUCAAGUAAAAAUUCGAGGGUGAUGACAAUGAGCAUGAAACAAGAAAGCCAUCCUUCUGUAAUCCGAGUGGUGUUUUACAUCUGCUGCAAUAAAUAAGAAGCUUGUUCCGUGCGGAUUCUUUUGGUGAAAACUCAACUGGCUUGUGGCAUCUUUCAAGCUUAAAAUUUUCACAUCUGGACAUGUUCAUACUUUUACAACAUAGGCCACCAGUUCUCUUCAGAUCUUCAGGCACUGUGAUGCCAGCACAAUCAGAAUCGCCGAAAGAUUUCGUUGAAGGAUUGGAAUGCUCUGUGUCCAUGCAAUAGCUUAUUGGAGGGCUGAACCUUCUCUUUUUCUGGUACUGUGAGUUUACGCUUCUGUUCACUGAAGAAUAUUCAUGCUCCAAAGGAUAAUCUCUAUUAGAAGUUCUUUCAGGAGUACCCACUGAUGUGGACACACAAGAAUGGUUUCUGUUUGCUGUUGUUAGCGAAGUGGACACAUUUACAUUUACAGCCUGAUCUUCAUCAUUGUUCAUCACUGCUGAGAUAUUUACCUCAGAAUGAUUGCUGGGACUAGCAACAGGAGCCUCUGUAAAAGUUUCUUCCACAAGAGCAGGCUGUUGCAACCUGUGUUCUGAUGGAUUAAAGAUAGUUAAUGUUGAGCACCUGCAAACAAUAGCAAGGCUAAAUAAAAUGGAAACUGAAUUACAUUAGAAUACUCAAGAACAAACAUGCCUGAAUGCAGAUAGAUUACCAAGACUUAGAAUCAAACUUCUCCAAGUCAAUAACAUCUGUAUUGACUUCAUAAUCCCCCCCAAUGUCUGCUUCACCUUCCAAGUUAUACUGAAUUUUGUAAGAGGGAGGGAGUUGGCAUGCUGUUGAAAGACUUCUGGGUAUGGGAGAGCUUAACUUCUUUGCUAGAUCAGAAGAUUUAGAAGAGAUCUCCCAUGCUUCUGAUGAUGGUGACGCAUAAGACAUACCAAUUUUAUUAUGGUAUACUCCUGCCAAACCAUCUAUUUUUGGAACCUUCAAACUUCCACGUUCAGUCUUUACCUUCUGAUUACUUUGCAGUAUUGAUUGGUUUAAGAAAUUUGGUUCUGGCCAAGGCAGUUUUCUUUUAUCGUCGUGCUUUGGAAGUAUAUCAGCCUCCAACUUGACAUUAGGGGACAUCUCUCGACCUCUUAUCUUUAUAUGCUCCUGAAGAGACCAUCAUUUAUAUCAGAUAGUCCAUCCACAUUCAGAAAAUCAAAUGCAUAAUAAUAUCAGUACCUCAGCCUUUUGAAAAAACUUCUCCAAUCCAUCCAUCGUAUCCUGGAAGCUACCAUAAUGCUUAAUCGAGUUCUUAAGCCAUUUUGAAAUGUGUACAAGGUUUCUCUCUUCCUGAUACCGCUCAUCUGUACAAAUAACAUAGUGGUUAUAAGUAAUCCUAUAUCAAGAACAGCUUAUUGCAUCCAUUAGAAUACACAUCACACAAAUAUGAAAACUACAAGGACCAACUUUCUGGCUAAUCAUACCAAUCAAAAUUAUGCCUCCGUAGUCAAGCUUAUGCCGAAUACAUCGACCUAGAAAACGACAAUAGUAAUUAGCCAUUUUCAACCUUAAUCACAACAAAUGAUCUACAAGUAAAUCAACAGCUAAAGUAUCAUACCAGCAGCUUGAUUCAGAGCACGAAAUGCUUGAUGACAGUACCAGUCACUCCCACUUAACAGAUGCUUUGAUGAUUUGUAGGAAUCAUUAUAUCUUUUUUUCAGCUUUACUUGGACAUCAUUUCUGAUUCAUGAAUAAAACAUCAGAAUAAACAUGGCAAAAGAAAUUGGACUUAUGUCUAGAAGAAAAAGGGUACUUACAUAUUUGGAAAUGGAAUGCCAACAAUGACCUUAAAUCUUGGUCAAGGAAACUGAUGCGUAUCAAAAUCAUUAACUCUCAUGUUCUAAUAGAAUAGGUGUAGAUGUGUAGUGAAUAAACACUAAUACCAAUCAUGCUACAGGUUACUAGGGCAAAAGUUUGGCAAUAAAUUGUCUAUGUCAUAACAGCAUGCAAUGAUAAGGAGAAAAGUAAGGAUACAACAACUCUAGCGUUGUCAUCAGAGAAGUCAAUUCCUUCAGAUACCUGAAACAAAAAAUCAGCAACUGCAAAGCAUAAGCUAAUGACAGCUAGUAUAUGCACACAACACCAGAAUAAAUGUAUAGAAUUAGCACCUUCCCACGACAAACUGCAAGAAAAGCAGCUCCUCCUUUAGCAGAUUCCUGUGAUGAAUUCUUUCUCACUCGAUUCUUCACGAUUUGUUUUGCACCACCUCUGCCUUUCUUGAGGGGAGCCUUGCCAAGGAUUGCAUCAUAGUAUCCUUUCAGGAUGGGCUCAAGUUCCUCGGUACUUCCUCUGGGCUCUGAGACAAAAAAUAUCUUAAAUAAGAAACCUGCAGGAAAUUGAAAAUUUAAACAGUGGGCCUUUUAGAAUUCCGAAGCAAUGAUAAACUUACCAACAAACACGGGCUUAUUAGCAUGCAAUCGUGCCCAUUGGCCUGUCUGAGCCCAACGAACUUUCAUUUUAUCCAGCAACUUAUAGCUAGGAAAAAACACUAGAGCGCCACCUGGAACUAUUCUGCAUAUUUCUUCUAUUGAAGCUCCAAGCUCGUCCUAUAAAAAUGAGAACAUUUUAUUUUUGGAGAAAAUUAUUUAUGUCAGAAUAUGACAACAAAAUAAUGACAAGUUACCUGGAAAGAAUACACAUCUGCAGUUUUAUAGCUGGCAUUCAACGGAUAUUUUGUUGGCCCAGAUGAUAUUACACUUGCAAAAACCUGCAUCAGAGUGCCACAUAGGCUGAGAAAAACUGCAAACAAAGUGGUUAUUUGGCAUAAUUUGGUGAUAUUUCUAUGCAUGCAAGCUCCAUAUCAUAUCCAGGUCAUAAUUUAAUUAAGGUCAGAGGCUUAGAGCUCAUCAGGCCAAAGCUUUUGUAUGCUGUCUGGAUGGAUAGCAGGGCAGCUGUAUUUCAAGUAGUGAGAAAUGAAAAUCAGUUCAAAAACUUUAUAUACACUAUAGGAUUAACAAAAAGCUGGACACCUGACAGGACUAGCUUAACUAGAAUUCAAAUAGGUUGGAUAAGAGGCUGAGGAAUGCACAGUAAGUUCAAGCCAUAUCAGUUAACUAAAAAAAGUGCUUAGCUUUCAAAUAGUUUGAAUCGGUCAACUCUUUUUAAUCACAUAUUGUCUUGCCAUUUAUCAGUAUGCACACUUUUUAAGGAUUACCAAUAUGUAUCAAAGUAAAACAAUCCAUUGCCAGUCUCUAUCAGACAAAGCUUGGGAAUCUAUGGUAACAAUUUGAACUAGAAUUUUCUGUUCUACUAUUACGACCGAAAAUCUAUUUGCAGGAAAAGGGAACCACAUUCCACAUUUUUAUCAGCUUACGUUAUGUGGAACAAAAUUAGUCUUAAAGUAGGGAUAGGAGAGACUAGAAAUGGUUACACUUUACUCAACUUCAUACCCAAUAGUUGGUAAAAAUCCAUCACCAUUUGGCUAUGCAGUACUUUUUAGCACAGCCGACUUGCAAAACACACACCUGAGAAUCAGCAUCAAUUACGUGAGGAGCUUCCAUGCAAGCGUCAAACUGGACACCGAGUUCAGAUGCAAAGGAGCCCAUUGGAGAGAGUGUGCUGCAGAGAUACAAAGUUAAGAGAGAACUGUAUAUUAUCUGUUAAUCUGUUAUUCUAGAGAAACUUUGAUGGGCUAUUUUAGAAAACUUCAGAAGUGGAUAACCUAAUUAUUUUAGCUUGGAACAAUUAUGCGACAGUUGGUCAUGUGCCUACAAGGUGAUGAAAACCCUGUUAAAUAGAGCAUGUCUAUAAGGCUGAAAACCCUGUCCUCAGCGAAAUUCCAGUUGGCACAAAUCUAAAAUAUAUUCACUAUUUCCAUGAAGUCACUCUUCUACAUAUACUUAGUUUCUCUUCUAUGUUCUUUUUUUUUUCAAAUUAAUACAUUCCAUCUUAUCAGAUGUCAUAUGUGGAUCAUCAAAGCGAUAUGCUGUUACAGUAAAUAAAACCACUUUCCUAAAAUUUCGAGGGGAAGUAUGAACUUGGAAACUUACCCAGAUGUCAAAAUUACUGAAAGGGUUAGAUCUGAAAUGCCUUGAAAAACAACAGCAGGACUGAGGCACCACAAACUCAUCACAGAUCUCGAUCCUAUGACAGAACUGCCUGCAAAUGGUGUGAUUCAAAAGUUAUGCAAUCAAACUACAUGUUACAUGUUGGAAAAAGGGAAAAGGAUUGGAUCAGACUAUCCAGUAUCCACGACUUUAUAGUUAAUCAAGCAACCGGAUUCGUAAUUUGAAGAACAUCUUAAUCUUAUGUAUACUGUGCAAGAGCCAAUUGACUUCAAUGACAUCAAGAAAACGUUUUAGGGAGUAAGCAUUACUACCUUCUCUUUGAACAAAAUGCUGGAAAGCAAGUUGGUAAUCAUAAAAAUGGCACCCAUUCCCAGCAAAAAAAUGGCUCAAUGAGGAGAAUAGACCUGCAAAAAUUGUGCAGUGUCAUUAGGUUAUUACAUAUGCUGGGGAUUAAAGGGGAAAAUGUGUGGCUUACUGUCCAGUGUCAUAACACCACGACCAGUUAAGUAUUCUCCAUCUGACUCGGUAUCCGAAGCAGCCUUAACUGCCUAAUACAAGAAGGUGAUAGAAUCAAGGUCUAAGUGGAUAAUUUUGUCAGUCACAGGCCAAAGAAGAGAAAGAUUACAGACAAACUGUUACACAGCUACAUUAACUAGGUGAUAUACUCUAGCGUAACUGCCUAGUAAAACUUGAAGAAAGAAGCACCUUCGUCGCACACUCUUGCAAUAUUGGGAAGUAUGCAGGAGUAAUACCGGCCUUCUGGAGUUCCUUCAUAGCAUUUUCACCAGUCCAACUGAGGAUUACAAAAGGUUAAAUAAACUGAAUGCAAGACAAAUGUUUAUUCUCAUGCUUUGUUGCAAGCAUGUAGUUAUUCUGGUGAAUUUUACAACUGGAAGUUCAACAUGGAACUCAAUCUUAUUAUGGAUCGGAGGGAAUAAUAUAUUUAAAAAUACUCGCACAAGGUAGCAGGUCAAUGCACUGAAAAUAAAUAGAAAUAGACAUGUACUGCACAAUUUUAUGCAACCUUACGUUAUAUAUUUCAUAAGAGAUUCUGUGGUCCUUGAAAACAUUCUACACAGUCUAAUGACAGGCAACAAAUGUCUGAGAUGCAGUAGUACGUAAUGUUAUUCCACGUGCACAUGAAGUACGUAUUAUUUGUACUAACACUGAAACAUGGUACACAAAUUUCAGAGUAUGGGUAGCUUACUGGUGCAUAUUUAUUCCUAAAUGACUGAAACAUGAUAUACAGAAAUCCUAAAUGACACUGCUUGGCGUGUUCGAGAAAAAAAAGUUUGGUUUGAACAUGGAGAUGGAGAGGAGAAAGAUUAUAACAAUGACAGUGGGAUUAUUUGCAACUUAUUCAAUUUGGGGAUGCUAAAGCUGGGGCCGAUUCAGAGAAAAUAAAAAGAAUCACGAUGCCAAUCUCCCCCCUAAUAAAUUGUGGUACCAGUACCUCAUGAUACUUCUCCCCAUAAAACCGCUCAUAUUUCAAUGAGCUAUGCAGAUCUUUCAGGGGUACGAAGAUGAGAUGGCAAAAACUAGGUAGAUAAAGAUAAAAACAGGUAAGAAACAAUACAGGAUUCCAUAGUACAUACAAUGAAGCAGGAUGUUCAAACUCGUUAUCUCGUAGAUUGCCCACCUGAUCAGUAAUCCAAUUGAUAAGCCCCUGCAUAAUUACUAACAGCUUAAUCCCUGAGACCAAUAUUGCUACCAAAUGUGUAUUCUUCCCUUAUUAAGGAGGAACAGUAGGAUUACAAACUCUUCUCAUUAAAGUACCUCAAUGACCUCAUGCAAGGGUUGGUAUAUCUUUGCAACAGCCUCGUUAGUGGCCAAGUUUGCUAGUUCUCCCGCCAAAGCUUGACCACAGAAAUAAAUAAAUUUAGCUCAGCACAAUUUAACAGAACAAUGCGUUAAGCUCUAAUGGAACAGUGACGAUUGCCUUACUGGUAAGUGAUUCUUCAUCAACAUCAACACUUCCAGCAUCACGUGCUAUAUCUUCUAUGUUGCUGCAAGACAAGUAUUUGAAUAAACACAGGCUGGAAUUCACCGCUUUGUUACUACAACUGCUCUAAAGAGAAAAUAUCAGAUUUGAUAAUUGGUUGAAAAGGUACCACAAGAAACUAGUUUAACAAAGGAAACCAUGGAAGUACAUCAAUCAUGUCAAGAAGGAAAUGAUUGACUGAAAAAGAAACACAAGUCUGGACUUACUGUGCUUCAUCAAGAAUAACAAUUGAGCCACUGAUAUCAAUGUCCAUUGCUCUUCUGACAAUUGGACUAAUUAGGUAGUUGUAUGGACAGAAAACCAGUUGAGCUGUUUCUGCCAUGGUUUGUGCAGCAAAAUAUGGACACCCUGCAGAUAGCAAAAAAGGGGGUAGUUGAACAGAUGUCAAACAUUCAGCGGUGACAUCAUGCACUCCUCAGGAUUCAGAAUUAAAUCCUUUUAACCAAAGAGAUGAACAGACCCUUGACUUGUCGUCCAACUCUAAGAAGAUCCUCAAUAUCGUGAACUUCGUAGCAGCCACCCUUCUGAAGGGAUGGAUGACGACUUAGUUUCUGUGCAUUCCUGCCAAUACAGUUUUCUCAUUGCGUUACUGUCUGUGUGGGGAAGGGGGCGGAGAGGUUCUCCAGGUUAAAUACGUUUUGCCAUGAAAGAAACUAGAAAAUCUCACUUGAAUUCUGGGCAUCCUUGAACCUUGUCAUCCAAGAGCAACUUGCUGAUGAAGGAUAGCACGAUUCAUUAAAUGAUUAGAAAAUGAAUAAUGCAAAAGAUUGGAAAAGUAAUGUCUCUUAUAUGUUACCAUUGCUCAUCAAUGUUGUCACUCAUGCAUACAUUCUUAUUGACACAAUAGUGCUUCCUCGAAGCCUGCAUUGCAUGAUUACUGUACUUGUCAAACAAAAUGCAGUUUAACUUCAGAAUGUGAGAACAAGUUGACCCUAGGAGUGGAACUACAACAACAACCAGUGAUGCAUGAUGAUUGAAUAGCUGUCUUGGCGUCAUUUGUGCCACUGCUACUUAACUUUGGUUGGAUAAUGUAGUUCUUUUAAAGAUGGCAAGAAGUAUACUGAGAUGGAAACACUAGUUACCAAGACGGCCAUGCGCACUCGGUACGAUGUCUUGCGGAGCUCCCGGACCACCUGGGUGAUCUGCGAGUGCGUCCUCCUGCAGAAAAGCAACCGACCAAGAAAUCAAUCAAGAUUCUCAACGGCUCAAGUCAGAGGAGCACAAAUCUUACGUCGCGUAAUAGAUGGUCGGAGCAUUCUUCUUCUUGGCCGCCUUUUCUGGGACGCCUAAACAUCAAGAAUGGCAACUGGGAAAUGAGCGAUAAAGAAGAGCAGAUCGUUCUUGAUCCAAGAAUUGAUGGCAAGAGAAAGAAAGGGGGAAGGUGCGAGCGUAGCGUACCCGGAGUCGCCUGCUGCUGCUGGGUGUCGUCGGGGACGAAUCCGCCGCCGUGGAGGAAGGGGUCGGCAGCGGGCGGGGCCGGGGGCGCACGGAGCGGGUAGUGGCGCUGCCAAGCGAGCGCAGAGCAGAGGAGGGAGAGCGACUUUCCGGUGCCGGUGGGCGACUCGAGGAGCGCGUGCGAGCGGCCCUGCCGCCGGGCGCGGUCCAGCGUAGCGAUAACCCGGCCCAUGAAGGCCAGCUGCGUCCCGUACGGCUUGUAGGGGAACUCCACCGGCACGCCACCGACCUGGUACACGCCGCCUCCGAGACGCGCGGGUGCGGGCGAGGGCGCCGGGGUGGCGAAGUCGUCGGCGGCGGCGGCCAUCGCGUCGGCUCCCAUUGGUAGCGGGCGCACGACUCGUGUUUGUGGUUUUGCCCGUGAAGGGGAGAAAGGGAAAUGUUUUUUUUAGACAGAGAGAGAGAAAGGGGGGAAAGUCCGAAAGGGGUUUGGGCGCGAGGAUUUUGGACGCCGCGCGCCAUCCUAAAUAUUUCGACUCGCGACAGAGGUCCGCUUCCUGGGCGGACCAUUGUUUGGGCCCAUCAGCCCAUCUUGAGUUGGAAGGCUGAGGUUUUACGUUUGCUUUAUGCCGUACAAUUUUAAACUGAUUUAUCAAAAUACUCUUCGAGGUAAACUAAAUCAAGCGUGCCGUCGUCUCACAUAGGCACUAGCAAAAUAGCUUUCGAGCAAUGCCAAGAAGAAGAAAAUGUCAAAUGAAAUGAAAUCAGGUCAACCUAAAGGUUUCAAUCAACCGCAACACCAAACAUAUCCGAUAUCCCUGCUAAGGCUUAGUUGGCGGUUGCUACAACCCUCGGUGCAAAACAUGAACACAAACCAUCUAAAAAAAUGAAUACAAAAGAUAAACUUAUUUUAUAAUCCUCUGGAAAAAUAAACACGCAAAAAAUGAAAAUUUGGUUAACCAAAUAAUAAAGGGUGGAGCAAAAACAUUAUUGUGUUAGUCCGCCACAAUACCAAAUGCAGCCUAAAGUGCAUGGCUUCACCAGAGCCAUAGAAGAAAUUUUCUAUAGGCCAGCAAAGCUAUUAGAUUUUUUCUAUUAAUCCCUCUGCUAGUCUGCUGACCUGGUUAAACCAAGGCGCAUGUUCGUAUUUACAUGAAAAUAAUUGGUUUUCGACAAUCAGAAAACGAAUGGCUACUGUACAGUGUCUAUCACUUCCUACAGAUCACAUUUCGUAGGGCUAUUCGACCUCAUCUUCCUGCUAGCUAGUGGCUACAUCCUACAGGCCGCCACGGCGUAGCCUCCUCAGCUGUUUAAGGCGAGUCUGGGCGCGCUCAAGGCAGGGUCCGUGGUGCGACAGGCCAUGCCAGGGCUCCGUCUGACUCCUCCCGUUCAGCGUCCCAAGCCUCGCGAGCUCGUCGCGGAGGGAUGCAACGUUCACGAUGGGCACUGUGGUCGGACGCCCAUGUGCACACUGCAAGAAACGGAAUGUUCUCGUUUCAUUUACUUUGCAAAACCACAUAGCGGCGACGGAAACAAGGAGUGGGGAUUCUACUGUCUUAUUUUGUUACCUGGAAGCACAGAGAUGUUGCUUUCAGUUCUUCGAUGAUCAGACAGCACUCGGACGGUAGCAAGGGAUCGCCAAACAUAAUUGCUCCUACAAUAGUAAACCAAAGGUGGAACAUCAGCAUCUUGAUUUGGAUCAGAAACGGAACUUACAGAUUGCACAAAAUGCUCGAGGAAAAAGAAUCGCAUUAUGAUUUAAUAGAGGAAAGGAAGAAAUGGUUACCUCUGCAAGCUUUGAAAUUAAGAAUACGGAGAACUGCUGGGGGAAUAGUUGAUGACCCAUCACUCUCAUCGAGCUACAGAGAAUAGCAACAGGUAUGGAACAGAAGGACAGUGAAGUAGCUCAGUAGCUGUAACAGAAACACAACUGCACAUCUGCAUAUUUUGCUAGGCAAAUUGUUAAGUAGACAAGGCAGUCAUAUUCUCCAUCAUUUCAUUACGAAUGACAAGUUGACAAUUUUAUUGCUCUCACUCAUGCUAGUUCCAUACACGUUAUUCUUUAUCUUCCUGGCUGCAUUUUCUUACACAAGAGUAAGACUAGUGUGUCAUGAAAAGCAUUAUAUCUUCAAACAAUUUGACUUCAAAUGAACGAGAAGAACUUAAAAGGAAGUGGAGCAGGAUCAAUCACCUGCUGAAUAAAGUCCAUAAGAUCUUUUCCUGUUAAAUCGACGCCCAAAAUACAUGGAACCUGUGUAGUGUAGAUAAUGUUUAGUGCACGAGAAUACUUGAUGCAGUUUCAUCUGAUAAGAUUUCACCAGAUACCUUUGACACCAUUUGGGGAAAUAAUUGCAUGGAAAACUAAAGACAAACUCAACAAUUGCACUUCUAAGAGGCACUAAGAUAAAAGUGUGCACAGUGUUAACGUAAGGCUCGAGAGCUACCAAUAGCACAACACACAAAAGUUAUUGUCAACUACCAAACUCAGGAAGAGCAGUUACUUCUGAAAAGACAUGGUGAUAUUGAUAUCAUAUACUCCGUAGAAGAUAUGGCCUGAAGAUUACAAGGAAAUAGUAUUUAUUAUGUGUGAAACUUGUCUGUAAUUCUCUUGCAACUUCCAAGAAACCUGCGCUUUGCUUUUCUUUCCAUUUUAACAGUAAUUAAUCCAUGCAUAACUUUAUGGACAUCAAAGAUCAAACCAACAUUGGGUUUCAUGGCAUAACCAUUUACCAAAGAAAUAAUAGGUAGCCAGAAAUAGUACAAACCAAUAGGCCUCCUCAUCCAGUGGAUAGAUUGAAGUAAAAGAUAUACGGGCAGCAAUACUACAAACAUGUUGAAUAAAUAUUGAUGACAGAAAAGGGGCAUACAGCAGUAAGAGCAACUAGACGGGCUUGUCUCCUCAGAAUGUUCAUGUUCCUGAGAAGAAGAAAAACGUAAGUGGUAUAUGUUAGUAUAUAUCCCUCCGAUUCAUAAUAACUGUCGGGGAUUUGGUACAAAUUUGUACCAACUUUGUACUAAAUCCUCGACACUUAUUAUAGAUCGGAGGGAGUACAAAGAAGAUGAUCAGAUGAACAUAUUUUGGUCCUUCUGAUUAUGAUCAACUGAAGCAUACGGACAAUGCUAACUAAAUUACAAAUCUAAACAGAACUAUAAGUCAAGUCUCAGAUUGUUAAAAAUAAGAAAGGGGAGGGAACACUAAUUACAUCAGGGAAUAUAAUAACUAAAAUGAACGCAAGGAGAAACAUGUGCAAGAAAACCUCAUGAAAAUUGCAUAAAAGGUUAAGCAGGCCAAAAAAAGCAGGCCAGAUGAUAAUCAAGCACAUACUUUUUGAAUGAUUGAGAAGAACUGCUAGAACCGUUGAUGAUCCAGCCCCAUUUCUGAAUCUGCUCACUGUACUUCUGGAACAAUUGAAAUCCAGUCUCAGGGAGAGCCUGACACCAUGAGGAGAAUAAAAUAGCAAACAGUAAAUCAUAGUGAUGUUUCCAUAUUUUACAGUAAGACAAUGCCUCGGAUGCCAACUUAUAAAAGAUGAAGUACCAUAUCCUCCUCUGAGUCCAAGUAAGUGAUUCCUCGGUCUUCAUCUGAUAAAACCUGAAAAUCCAAAGGAUAUUAGUACGUAAGAUGAAAAAACAGUGUUAAAGAGAUCUUCCCUGGUAAGUUUAACACUAAAAACCUUGCCACGAAGCUCCUCCAAGCGUAUCCUUUCAUCAGCUGCAUGCUGUACACAAGUAAAAGAGGACAUCACUAGCUAAAACCUUUCAGAAAAGACUUUCUAUCACCAUACAUCUAUUGUCUACUUUUGAAAGUACAUGAACAUAAGAAAUGCAUGAUACACAAUCCAAUACACAAAAUAUAAUCCAAAUACUUUCUAGUAUCGGGCAUAUAUCCCCAAAAAAACUGUGAUCAAGCAUGAUAAACAUCUCCUAUAGGUGGUUGAGUCUAAAACCGUGACUGUGAAAUAGAAUAUCCAGUUCAUGGACUUCAUGAUUUGAUCACUCAAAAUGCACCAAUCAACAUGAUUAGUUCCAAUUCCAUGAAUGAUUGACAUUAAAUAAACAAUAUAUAUACAAACUGUUAAAAAUUCAUUAAUCAAAUAACCAAUUACGAACCUGAUCAACAAGUAGCAGCAUCUCCCCAGAUAUGACAGGAAUAAAUUUCUUAUCUAGCUGAAACAGAACUCUUGCCUCCUCAAAGCACUUUUUAUCAAUAUAUUCUGGAACUAGCGAGCUACAAGAGAGAUUUAAGGGCCCGGAAGAAAUGCUAAGUACGUCGUUGAAGCAUUCAGAAGGAACAUGUGGCAACUUCAAAGCCUACACAAGGAGAUAAGCGGUAAGCAUAGAAAGCAUGCACAGUAACUAGGCCAUAUUGUGAAGUCCAUGAAUGUGAGCAUCUCAAAUUUUUAAUGCAUGCUCAACUGUAUGCUGGUCCGAGUCAUCUCGCCAUUUAGUUAUUUGCGCAGUAGAGUUUUCAAGCCCAUCAGAAUAUGUCUCUUCACACAUUUUCACAUUUCCUUUCAAGCUGGCUCAAAUGAGAGAAGUGCUUAGAAACAGGCCCAGAAAGACUUUUGCAGCAUUAAACAGAUGCGGCAAGAGCAGAAUACCUGAGAUUUAGGGCAGAAAAAUCACUGCUACUAGUCUCAGGAAUAGGCUGGGUUGCACUCAUUUGUGAGAUAUCCUCGGGUGCAGGUGUGGCAUCUGCAUUUAAUUAUAAGAAUACGAACUUAGAUCCAACAAUGGAAUAUAAACGGGAUGGAAAAGAUUAUGAGCAGAAGAACCUUCUUUGUCAUUAAUCGGGAUAGCUUUAUCAUGUUCUGCUGUCAAUUUGGUCAGAUGCUCAUUCAAUCCAGGAAAUUUUCGUUUGCCUCUGUAAAAUGGUGGAGCAGAAUGACUCCUAGAUCUACUACCCUUGGAAAGCCUGGAUCUCCAACCAAAUCCAAAAUUUUGUUGACACAGUUGAUCUUCAAUAAGCGCACUGUCUUUUGCCAUUUGGGGAGAAGAAACAUUCAACUGGCAACCAGAAGUACUUUUCUCGGGAGAAAUAUUGUAUGAUAAUGUUGCAUCAAAUUUUGAUUUCCAGGGUACCUGACAAUCUUCAGAAACAAACUGGCCGACAAAACAAUUAUCAUGAUUGAAGUAAUUAAGCGACUGAGUUUCUUCAUCAAAGUUAUUAAAAUGUUUAGGUCCUUCACUUGUUCUUCGUGAAUCACUGAUAUAUCUUUCCAAAGAAGAUUGAAAAUCACUGUCAAUAUUUUCAGAACUCCAAUAAGCAAAGCUCUUAUUUGAUUCCCCGUGCAAUUCCAAGUCAGUCCUUGCAUGACUGUGACUAUGAGGUGUAUCAGCCAAUGAAAAUGGAUGAGAGAAAUGGAAGUAUGUAUCUUCGAUGGAGGACCUAUCAAUGUCGUCACUUCCCCACCUUGCUUGUAUUUCAGGGAAGUUUAUAUGGGCAACUGUAUUAGCCUCAAGGUCUUCAACAUAUCCCACUGCAUUCCCUAACUUCUUUCUUGCGCUGCACCUUUUCAGGACACUAGAGGUGCUACGAUCUUCAUGAUAGAAUCCAUCACUGGAAUGCGACAUUUCAGGGCAAGAAACAUCAGCUAUUGUCUUCGUAACGUCAUUGAGUAGGCAAUCCUCAUUUAGUUUACAAAAUUCAGCAUAGAACCCAUCAAAGACAGACAUGUUUGCCUUUAUAUUGGUUUCGUUUUGCAUAAAAUCACAGGUAAUUCUGUUUGGUGUACUGAGAACCCCAAAGCAAGGGUCUUGGAGAUCAAUUUCUGGACCAAUUAUCUCAGACUCUUGAUCAUCAGCUGAAAGGCCUAUUGUUUGUACAUCUUUGGACUUGACAAAAUUACAGGAAUAUUCAUGCCCAUGGAAUAUACCUUCCACUCGUCGCUUUUUCCAAACAGUUGGGUUAGCACAUGAAAGAUCACAGUCUUCUAACUGGGAAGAACCACCCUUUAACCACUGAUGACUGAUGCUUUCAGGAACACGUGCUUGUGUAUGCCCAAAUAUCUGAUCAUUACUAUCAACAUUGUCAGAGUGUUUGGAUGCACCGAUGAUCUGGUCAGGGUAGCAGACAUGCCAUGAGGAUGGCUUCAUAUCGAAAGAAAAGGAAUGUGAGUCUUUAGGUCCUGUUGCUGCAUCCAUACAAACAUUGCUUUCUCUGACCACACUCUUCUGCAGAGAGCGUUUGUGUAAGUCAACAUCGUCUUCCUUGUUCUGCACAUUCUGAUGCCUUAGGAGGCUCCCAUUGGACUUCCCUGCAAUGACAACACAUGAACAAAGCUCACAACGAAAAAAAUUCAAAAUAGAACCAAAGAAGUGAAAUAUGUUCACCAAGUCACUAACCAUCACAUUUCAGAGGCACAGAGGUAUCAAUCGCUUUGCCUGCCAAUACGAAAGGAUAACAUAAAACAUUCAUUCAUACCGGUCAGUUCUUCUCUUCAGUUACUAUAUAAAUGCUCGUGUGUUCCUACAGAAGUGAUUAUUUGUCCCAUGAGUGGUUUAAGUGCUUGUGCCAUCAUAAUCCCUAACCUUUUGUUUCUAUUAAAAAAAAUCUCAAAACACACAUCAAUCAAAUCAACUAAUCAGAAGAUUGUGACACAUAUGUCUACUACAUAGAAUGGAUGAAACAUUGUGGUACGCCCUCCAGCCUUUUAUAGUGGGUGUGCACCGCAUUUCGAGAUUCAACUUUGACCACUAAUUAGACCAAUAAUAUGUAGUUUAUGUGUCACAAAAAUUAUACCAUUGUGUUUGUAUUCAAAAGAGUUUUCGAUGGUGUAAUUUUAUGCCACAUAGCUCACAUAUUACUGGUGUAAUUGGUGGUCAAAGUAAAAUUUUGAAAUGUGUUCGCGCUCACUAUAAAGGGACUGAGGGAGUAAUCUUUUAGCAACCUAAGUGGCAAUCUUGCUGAGGGAGAAAAGACUACCAUCAACUAAAAUCUUUAUAAGAAUAAAGAAAGGAUUUAGCUUUUUCGAGACAAUAUAAGGCAAAUAAAGAUCUCAGUCUCUACCUUUGGAUGGUUGUGGUACAUGCUUCUUCCAGUAGUUUAUGAUAGUAUCUUCAAAGAUAAACAAUAUACUUUGCCAGUCCUGAAUAGUGAGAAAAGAAGAGGGAAAUAUAAAAAAACGCAAUAGCUGCAAACGGAAAAACAUAAAAAGACAUUAACAUCUUAUUUCCGGAAGGCUCAAGUCACCUUUAUUAAGUGCUCGUUCUUUUUCUAAUGAAAACUAAGUAUGAGUCCAGGCAAAUGAAGCUUUAUUAGAAAAAAGAAAAAAGGGGACUCAAAAGCAUACAUAUACGUCUAAUCACCUUGAACUCCACAACAGUUUUUGAAGGCUCAUAAUAUAGAUCGUAGCUAGAUCUAGGGCAGAAGAAGUUUAGCAGAUAUGCAGGGUAGACAUCAGUCUUCUGCCUCUUCCGGCUCUGAACAUCGUUUUCUCCAUUCGUCCUUAUCAUGGAAGACUGGAAAGUAGCUGCCAGAUUAUUCAGAAUAUUAUGUAUUGGGCUUCUACUGACGAAUCUUGAGUUGACAUCUUUGAGAAGUCAAGGAUGUCACCAACUCCAAGCAUUUGAAAAAGUUUGAAAAAUGCUAAAUAGAAGUAGAUAACAAAGAACUGUCAAGUAGGAUACACAAGUACUGGAAAUCCUGAAAUGGAGAGGUGCACUUUGCUUUAGAUGGUUUGUCAAAUUUCUGUUUCAAUUGCUUGGAAUACACAGAACUGGCAUUACCUUAUUAGAGAAGACAUCGGUUGGUCCAGAUAUGUGCCCUGAAAGAGCCCAGUUCUGAUCUGAGGUAGAUAUUUCAUGAAGACAACUGGAAACAUCAUUCCCAAAACUGUUUGAUAUAAGAGGCAAAGAGGAUGAUGAAGGAACUGUACAUAGCAACUCAUCUUCGCUGCAUUUAUAGAAAAACAUUCAGAUUACAAAUACAUAAGUAAAUUUAAGAUGCCUGGCAUAGGACAGUGGACUACCUCUACCUGUCAAUGUCAAGAAGUCUGAAUGAAAUCUGUGGAUGAAUAAGUGCAACUCGCAGGACACACUUCUUCACAUUCUGCAGUUCUCUUUUAUGACUAACAAAUAUAAUAUUGAGAAAAAUAUUAAUCAAAUCUUCUUUUGAACAAAACUGUGAAACAAAAGAAAUCUAUCUUAUCCUUCAUAAUAAAAGAAAGAUCACAUGUACCUAGAUUGCAUUUGUUUUCUCCUGACUGGUUGGUUGUAAAAAAGCUCCCGAACAACAACUACAAAGAUAGAAGUGUUCUGAUAAGUAGCUUUCCAAAACAAAAAUAUAGUACACAUGAUUAGUGUCCAAUGCCAUCAUCUCAUUCUUCACAUGCAUCAGGUACAUCUAGUGCGCUUGCUUGGUGAACAUGUGUUGCAUACAUAACACCCGCUCUGCUUUGUUUCAAGGAGAAAUACCCAACUACCUGUUGUGCCAACAGCUUCCCUCUGGUCAUCUAUUCCCAGAUGCGAGCAUUUGGAUCCCUGUGCAGUUGCCACAAGACAUUCAGAUAUGCUAUACAAGGAUAGAUAAAGGAUAUGCACAUUGCACAGCAAUAAAUCGGUAUAGCGAGUGAGUGUUGCCUUUAUUAUCUUGCAGUAUGAAUUUGGUCUCCCACGAGAUUUCGUCCUGACUUCAACCACAGAGAUAUCAGAGAGUGAUGCGAGUGCCUCUCCAUUUAAUCCAAAACUUCUAGAAGCAGAUUCCCCAUCACCCAUGGAAUCAUGGAACUUGGAUGUUGCUGUGGCAGAAGGGAGUUAUACAUCAUUAGCACGUUAAAAGACACUGGAUAUCAUUGAGUACACUCUUUUAAACUUAUACAUAUUUCAGCAGUGAGCCUACAAAAACUUGCACAUAUUUCAGCAGUAAACCUACACUCAAUGAGUGACAAAGAAAUCAUUGAUUCUGAGGGGUUCCUACUUACUAACAAUCAAAAGAACCCUAGAUUUGUUCAAUCCUAAAGAUGAUGAUAGAGCAUGAACUAAAUUGUAUUUUGUAUUGAACAAAGAAACAAGAUGCACAAUAAACAAAAUAGCAAAUUCGCCACCUAGAAGGUACUAAUGCAACUAACAUGUCAUGGCUCGUAGUGAUAUCUAUAUGAACUUAAUGAUGAUUUCAUAACUUUCCAUGCUCUUUUAAUGGAAAUAAAGCAUCCUUAGAAACAGACCCAAGAUCAUUAUGGGUCAUGAGUUUAUGGCUUUAUGCAAGUAACAAUCAGACACACGGGAUACAAUAAACACAUAUCCUUUCAAUAUCAAUCAUCGUUAUCGAGGCCAAAUAUCACAAGAAUGGAUGUCCUUUCCAGUAUUACUCUUUAAAUUUCAUCUGAUUUCAUGGACAAUACUAUUCUGAGGUCAGAAUAGUAUUUCAUGGUCUGAUUUCAAUAUCAAUCAUCGUCAUCGAGACCAAAUAUCACAUGAAAUCAGAGCAAUACUAUUCUCAGGUCCAUGAAAUCAGAUGAACAUCAAGGUCUGGUCCAUUUUGUGAGUGGCAAUAAUGCAAUUUAAGAUGAAGCAAACAGUACUACUGAGUGCAGGAAAAGGCAAGCUUAUAAAUAAGGAGAGCAGAACUUAUGACUUACCAUAUUUUUCUCCCAACAGAACCAAUUCAUCUCGAGUAAUACCACAACCUGCAAUAGAGACACAACUAACAUUUCCUUUCCUAAACACAAAUCCAAGUGAUAAGAAAUUUAAAACAUGAGGUAAGCACAUACCAUCAUCUUCCACUUUAACAUAACAUGAUCUGACAUUUAGUGAGAUGUCAAUCUGAAAUUAUUACAGUUGUAUAAAAAUGUCAAUUCAUCACCAUGGAGAUACUACAUGUAGAUUAUUUUAGCCUUUUGAAAGCAAUACCCAGUAUAGACAUUACAUUUGGAAUUGUGGAUUUUUUGCAUUUAUUCUAUUUUAAUGUAAAAGCCACGCCUAUUGACGACAGUACAUGUAGAUUAUUUUUCCAUUGUUACACGUGAAGGAAAUACCUUUUUCGCAUUUGCAUCAAUGCUAUUAUAUAUCAACUCCUCAACGACCCUAAGUAGGUCAGACAGAACAAUGCUUGAGCGCAAGGAGCUAUGAACACUUUUCGGCAAGCGUUUUAUAGUCUGCAUUGACAUGUUCUGGAGAAAAAACAGGUUAAGCUUAAAUCAGCCAACAUUCAGGAAUCAAACAUAUCCAAGCAAAAUAAAUAGGAAACGUCAGAAAUUUCUUCCAGAAAUAUACAAAAAAAACUUGCUAGUAGGUUGCUUGAUCAAGUGAUGAGUGAGUAGGGUAUGGUUAUAACCGGAAACUUGGUUUGUAAAUUUCCGUUUAUUUUGAAAUUUGGUUAUUAGCAAAUGCUAACCAAAAAUGGUAUCAGAAACCAAGGAACCGAAAAGUAGAUUAACUGACAAUUGGUUUGGUUUUUGGUUAAACAUCGAAUUUGAGGAUCACACCCUCUUACUGUCGUCACCGGCCGGGAAUGGAGCACCUGAUGGCCGUUGGGUCUGUCGGACUGGCGGCAGCUGAUGUCGUGGAGGGAAGCUGGUGGGCGCGGCCGCGUCGCGUGGAGGAGAGGUGCGUCGGCGCGUCGCGUGGAGCUGACAAGAGGCACGGCGGCGCGUGGAGUGGCGUGGAGGAGAGGCGCGUACGCUGCCAAUGGACAAGAGAGUCGACGCCGUCGGUCCGCGCCUCCGUGAGGACGUGGGGUGGAGGCGUAGAGGUAGACCAGUGAAGGCCUGGGUGGCUCGGUCCCCUGCAGGCUGCGGCGGCGCCGGCCGUGGCCCGCGGGAUAGAGACGUACAGGCCUAGAUGGAUGGGUGGCUCGGUCCCCUGUGGGAUGCGGCGGAGCCGACGGCUGGCGGCGGCGGCGAUAGGUCGGUUGGGAGUCGGAGUCGGGGACGAGGCCUCGGCACUUAGACGCGCUAGCGGGCCGAUGUUGUGUACUCAACUGUUAACUAGCAGUUCUUUUGGGCCUCGGGAGUAGUUUUUUUGGGCAUCUUUGGGCCAGGCAUCAUAUCGCGGUUUUCUCUGGUUAACCAGGUCUAAAACUCCCCUAAAAAAAAACAGGUCUAAAACUGAAAAUUCCCUUCAGCUUGAACACCAAAUGGCCAAUGCUGCCCGUGAAACCAAAACACACAUCCCCUUCUCUAUCCUUAUUUUUUUUAAACGGAGGCAAAGUUUGCCUCGUCUCAUUAAUUAAGAAGAAAUUUGUUGUCCGGUUAAUUAACGAAAAACCGAACAAAAACCGUUACAACACUUCUAAGAGCCAUCGUGCAUGACAGCCCUAAAAACACCACAAGCCCAUCUGGCUACCAAACGCACUCCACACGUGCUAUCGAGGAGAAGAUCGUCGUUGACUUUUUUCGCUGGCGUCAUCGUCAUCACACAUCACUCCUCAAGCUAGCAACUCUGACUUCACCGCAAAUGACCCCAAACGAAACCCUCGUCGCAACAGUCGCCUGAAGCCCACGCACCGAGAAAGGGCAAGCCUUGCGCCGGAGAUCGCCGCUCAACGAUCGCAUCAAUCGUGAGGCACCGUUGCCACCAUGCCGCAAGAGACACCCAGCGAACAGAAAGGGGGCAGGCGAGGGCGAUCGAACGAACAAAAGAAGAAGGGUCGGGUCGGGCCGGGCCAGGUCGACGGGCCUAGUCAGACUUCAGGGAGCCAACACGGGCAAUGCUGCGACGGCGGCUCCUCGCCUGAGUGGGUUCUAGCCCGGCAAGCCGUCGAUAGUGCACCUCAGCUGUGCGAGCUCCCGUCGGUGGGGAGGCGGCGAGGCGGUCGUGACGACGGGAGAAGCACACCAAUUUCAUGCAGCAGAUUAUGCGGAGCCGGAGGACGAUUUCGAUGGAAAGAGCACCUAUUUAGUGUCAAUGUGAAGUGGGGGCGUACGAUGAAAUGCUCAAGCAAUGUGGUGUAUGAAUUUGGUGUUCUUGGUUAGCUGCUGGAUCAUAAAGGGAUGUGUUGCGAGAAAAGGUUGCUUCAACUCUUAUCUUUCGCAUCCACUAGAAAAUACUUUUGAACAAUUUCCUAGCAAGGCAUGAACAUUUCACGAUUAAAGAAGACACGGCAUCUUAAUUCUAUGUUUCUUCAUUCCUGCCUUUUUAGAUUUCUACAUACAUGUGAAACAUAGUAAAUCUCAUAUCUCACUCUCAUCAGAUUUAAGUAUUCCACGGUGCAGCCCACGGGUCGAAUCACUGAUGAAUAGCAGCGGCAAGCAAGCCUCUACAGGCUAGCAGCACGCUGGUUCUGAACCCAUGAGGCAGCUUUCCAACCCAGAACCACCCCGAGAAGAAUUGAAACACACUGGACUGCGCUGUACUGCAUCCCACUUUCUCAAAUAGUAAAAGGGAAGGGGAAAAAAAGGCUGAUGGCCAGAUCACAUUACCAAACACCUUACACUUCCUAGUUCAUGCCAGCACAAAUAGGCAGAAUCAACAAUUCAUCAGCUCUGCACCCAAAUCACGCUACUCGCUACAUCAAAACACAGGAUGUUAUGAAGAAAUGCAACGUGACGAUGGUAACCCCACCAUCAUUGCUGCCACUACAAAUAAUUUGUCAAGCUGCGCCAGCAAUACUAGCUCUUGCAGCCCACGUAACACCAGAUAGGUGAACAAAGACCGAAGGCCAUGAUUCGUCGCAAGCGCCAGUCAAAAUGAGCACUCCGACAGAGCCAAAUCUAUAAGCUGUUAUCAGUCAGGCUUCCAGGUCACUGUAUUGUCGAAUCAGUUGAGCCAUGCGUGCUUCAGACACUCCGCGGCAGUGGGCCUAUUUUCUGGAGUAAAAUCUAGGAUCGGUCGAAGAAAGUCAGCAAACCCGUUGGCGUCCGUUUCAGUGAAAUUGUACCUCUCGACAAGUACACGUUCCAAAGGCCAGAACUUGAGCCUUCUGAUCCUCUUUAAAUCUCCAUGUCGGUCGAAGUAAACCUUGGAAUGGGUACCUGAGCUAGCAAUCUGAAAGAUAACAGCAAGAUUAGGGAGCACACUAGGGAGCAUGACAGAGAGAGCAGGAGAGAGUUUAUAAACCUUCUUAGGCAUCUUUCCAAGUGUUUCCAUCAUCAGAGCUAGGUGAUCCUACAAAGGGUUAAGCAAUUGAGAAGAUGAGUUGAAUGGUUGAUAAUAACACUUGCAUCAUUGCAUGGCAUCAGAGUAGACUUUGUAGCUAAGAAUAGACAUCUGAACUUGAUUUGUUAAUGAGUACUAUAAGUGUCACUAUGACAAACAAUCUUACAUAGGUAGACAUGGGAUUCACUUUAAAGGAAAAUCCACCAGGCAGAGUAACAAGCAUUUUAGCUGCCAUUAUUCAAUUUUCACUGGCUACAGAACAGUCUGUUGGUGUUGGUACAUUACCUUGUGCCAGUGUAUUACAUCUGGCAAGGAGAAACAGAACAGCUCAAUUUAGAGUUGCUUUUUAGUACACUGUAGAACCAGAACAGGGCACUUGAAUUUGAACCGUGUAUCACAUUAAGAUGCAAUUUCCUCUGUACAGCAGUCCUAUGAUAUCUGGUAACUGUACAUGAAAUGUUUCUAUAAAUUCAGUUUGGACUUUGCUGCAUCCAGGGAUGUCUGACCAAUCAACAUAACAACUGCUGGAAUUCUAAAAAACAGGUUGACGCCUGCAAUCUAGGCAUUACGAUGAAUAUACUAGCUUGAAUAAACGUCAGACAACCCAGGUACUAACAAAGGUAGUUAAAAAAUAUAUGAAAGAGCCUUCGUUAUCAAAGCUACUAGCAUAUGGAAAACAGUGCUGAAAAUAGAACAUGAAAUUCAUGUUUUUAUACCUCAUCUUCAUUGCAGCCCUGGCAAUUCUUAGGAGCAAACAGCAUGUCACCUGUGGCAAGCUCGAAUACCAUACAAGCGAACGACCACAUAUCGGCUGAAUAAGAGUACACAGAACCGAUGAUAACCUCAGGGGCUCUAUACUCCCUUGUCUGUAUCUCACCAGCAAGCCGCUGGUCAGCCCAGCAGGCAUUCCCGAAAUCGACAAUCUUGCACUUCAUACUAAUGCCAUCUAGACUUCUCUCCUUCUCCACCUCCGCCCCAACUCCACCGAGAGACACCCGCCUCAGUGAAAUCUUAGCCACGGCACGUCUCGCCCGUAUCUUAAGCAUCUUUUCACUGAAACUAGUCACCUUUCCACCAUAUUGGUUUCCCACAGGCCUUUCCAAGAUCGGGGUAAACCCGGAGCGCACUGGGUCCUUCGAUGGGUUUAUUGUCGACACAAGGAGGACAUUCUCUGGCUUCAAAUCCGUGUGGAUGAUGCCAAGCUCCCUGUGCAGGUAAUCAAGACCAACCAGCACUGACCGGCAAAUUUCCCUCACUCUGCUCAGCCCAAUGCCCUUGUUCCUGUUGUACCGUAUCAGCCGCAGCAAGCUGUCGCCAAGGAACUCGGUUACCAGACAAAUGUGCUGACCAUUUGGACCAGAAUGCUUGAAAUGGUCCAGCAAUUGCACAACGCACUUGGAAUUCGUCGGGUCACCCUUGGCUACCGCCGACAGUAACUCGAUCUCAUGGAGGGCCGCAUGCGCAUAAUCCCUCGCGCUCUUCUGUAUCUUGAGCGCCACAAACCUCUGCAGGUUUUACAAUGGCAGUAUCAAAUUAGCAAUUUGUACCGUAUAGAUUGCACAAUACAAAGUUCCAUUCUAGACGGAAAACAGGAAUCAGUUUUGUUCUCAGUUCACACAUAUCAAAAGAGAGACCAAAAACACGAGUUUUCUUCUCUACUUUACCAGUUUUGUAAUCUUGGGAUCAAAAUGAAGAGUUUGUUGAAAUAAAGGUCGGCGGAAAGCUCUACAGAAUCAAAUUUGAACAGAAAAAUGAUGCACAGAAGCUAGCAAUGGAACAGGGGUAAAAGCGACAAAGCGCCAUGUUUCGGAUUGCAGCAAGCUCCCAAACAAGUGAAACAACCUCCACCCAAGUUUGGAAAAUCCAAAAGCAACCGAAAAAAUCGAACAAAUCUCCAACGCCGCAGAAAGAACAAGCCAUGAAAACAAAGCACCAUGGAACAGGAAACAAUUAGCAAGACGCGGGAAGCAGGGAGAUGAGGGGCCGGAGAAGGGACGUGCCUUGAGGAGGGUGUCGUACGCGAGCCAGACGGUGGAGAAGUUGCCCCAGCCAAGCUUCCGCUGCGCGACGAACCUCCCGCCGGCGAACCGGUCCCCGGGCCGCGCGGCGUGGUACCCGCCCUUCCGGUACCCCUCGGGCCCCUCCUCCUCGUCCUCCCCAUCUGACCCGGACGAGUAGCCAUAGCCGCCGUUGCCGAACGCCGCCAUCGAUCGGUCCUCCUCCCUCCGGAUUCGAACUCUUUGCGGGGAGCGAGGGGGCAGGCGGCUAGGCUAGGCUGGGUUUGUAUGCCUUUGUUAAACGAGAGGAUUUUUCUGGUGACUUUGUUCGGUCGGGGAGAAAAGUGGCCAUUCCACCACCACCACCACCUGCUGCGGCGGAGUAGGAAUGGAUGGGAUGGCCGCCGGUCACGCGGUUAAAUUGCAUCAAUUGCUAUCGAAUGCUAAAUUACCGGAAUCUAUCACAUUAGCGCAAACCAAGGUUAAAUCACUUGUAGAAAUACUUUAUUUUUAAAACGCUGUGAAAUUUCUGACGUGUAUGACUAUGACGUCAAUCUUUUUUCUAAAAAUGACUCGCACUUCUUUGCAAGAUUGAAAAAUUAGACAUUGUGAUGUAAUUCAUGAUAUGGUAUUUUUUUUAAAUUGCUCGAAACGAGACAUGAAAACUAUAGUUGGACGACCUUGGGCUGAGAAGGAUUUUCGGCAAACUCUGCCUUAUGUUCUUUUGGUAAAUAUUGAAUUCCCCGCAAAAAAAGAGACACGACAAUAUAUCUGGAAAAUGGUUGUUAAGGAAAAACUUUACGUUGAUGCUAUUUUGAUAUAUAUUUUGUGUAAACAAGCCGGACAUCUUUAUCGUUUUGAUCCUAUCCUACACUUACUUUGGAUCAAGUUUAUAGCAAAAUAAUUGGUCAUAAAAGUAUGAUAACAUAUCUAAUUUUUUUAAAGGAAAAUCUUUAUUGGUGAUUAUGUGAUAUACGUCUCGUGUAAACGUCAUGUAAACAAGGCAUGAUGUUAGAACGACUCUUCAAGUUAUAAAAGAGUCAGGUUGCGUGCAUAAUAAUCUAAACCAGCCGAAAAGAUAUGUCAAAGGACGCAAGUGUCAAUCUUUACUCUUAUAAAAGAGUCAAUUGGUGGCGGCAGUCCGUCACAUCCUUUUGUUGUAAAUAAAAAAUCUUCUCACCUUUUCUAUUGUCAAAAGAAAACUUUUCCUCUUUUUCCAAUGCAAACAGUGAAACCUAUUUGUUCCGUUAUCAGUUGAUAACGGACCGCGGCUAUAAUUUCGGUCGAAUGGGAAAAACAAAAAUUAAAUCUAUUGCAAAAAGCUGACAUGUGGAUAAUGUUUGUCACCAAAAUUAAAAUUAAAUAGACAGUCUUUUGCAGUAGGUCACCAAAAGGCUCACAUGCUAUGAAUUAAAUAUGUAAUAGUGAUUUUAGUCUAACAGUGAGUAGUCUAAUUUAUUUUAUCCAUAGCAACGUAUGGGUAUUUAGCUAGUAAGUGAAAAGGGAGUGAAGAAGGAGGAUAGGCCGUUAGUCAUGAACAAGUAACAAAAUAUGACAGACGAAUCAACAUUGGGUCUAACCGAUGUUCUCUUGAAAUGUCACGAAAUGUUUUCACUGAAAAUGUGAUGUUUUGUAUGUUGUUGAGCGAUUUCUGUUACAACUCGUUUGGCAUCCAUUGUUUCAUUUCAUUUGAAAUGAAAUCCAGAAAAAGUAAUGACUCCUAGAGAGUAUUAAAAAAUCUGGCCAGUAUAAUGCUGCAAAAGCUUGCGAUAUGUUCACGGUUAUUGUAGCCGUUCAAGAAUUUCUUUUACACGUGCACGGGAGAUCUGCUCCAUAGCCGGUGGUCUUUGUUCGUGAGAUCUGCCCUAGUGACUAGUGAGGUCCUGGCCAAUUUUUUUACUCCGAUUGAAUUGGGAUCCUGUCUACCGACGUGACGGUUGGUCAUCGUCUCCUUGGGGAGCACCGGAGCAUGUGUCGUCAGUUGGUAGCUCCCUUUCUUUUCUGUCCGAACAAAAAUAUGCUAGCUGGUGCACUUGCAAAAGCCUGGAUGGGCUUGGCGACCUGCUGGGCUGCCAAAGUGGUGAAGCACGUGUGCACGCGCAGGGCUGCCGGCCACCAAGUCUCGUGGACAUCUAUAAAAAAGAGUUCGUUCGUUCCCGUACAAGAAAAGGAAAUUAUUAAAAGGACCUCGUCAUGGUCUCAUGGACUGCGUCGUCGUUGACGCACGCGGACGGCAUAGUUGCCGGCGCAGCGGCCAGCGCCGACAACAAGCUCAAGCUUAUCGAGUAGGCACCAAAUCCUCUCGGGUUAUGCUCUGCACUAUUCAAAUUCCUAGCUAUGUCACUCAGAUUUUUAUCGUCCGAAUGAGCCGAUAUUACUUCCCUCGUCUCCAUGCAUGAUCAUGUUAGGCUUUGUUAAGACAAUAAAUCUACCCAAAAUUUACUCCAUUAGCAUGUGAAGAUUAUUCACUAUCAUGUGCAAACUUUAAUAGGAGUAGUUAGGGAAUUAUUGUGAAAGUUGCACCCUAGCUUCACAAACUAAAUGAGCAUCAAAAUAAAUACCCAGUGGUCAUACCCAACCAAAGUACUCAUUAGAAAAUGUUCCCUCGACGCUAGUGCUGUAUAUUUUUGAAAAAAGCGGAAGGGGCAGCUAAUUUAUUUAUUUUGUGAGCGGAAGGGGCCGCUAAUAAAACGAACGUUCAUUGCGUAUGUACUAUUGGGUUUUAUCGUUCUUAGUAUUUUAUUCUCACGUAUUGGGCCAAGUAUAUAUCCCGUUCUUAACGUCCGAGCGUAGCUUCUCUCAGCUCGGUUAGGCUUGAUCAACCCGGUACUCAAACAAUUCAACCCGAGUCGGCUUGGUUAGAUUUCGGGCCGGAGUCAGUGUCAAUUCGGGCCAAAUAAAUCUAGCAGGCCGUCGGAAGCCCGCACAGCCCAGUAUCAGCAUCAGUUCGGGUCGAGCACCCUAACUAGCAGCUCCUUCGCGUCGCCGCCGGCCCGCCCGCCCGUGGCCGUGGCAUCCCACCGCGGGCGCGGGCGCCUGCAACUGUGCCGCUGCCCCAUGGCCCAUGCCCAUGCAUCUGUCAAGCCAUGGAGAAGGCGAGAAGCAGAAAUGAUGCUUCCCCUUGUCAGCACGCCUGACGUGCCAGACCCACUUGACAGAGGGCAAGAGACCAGACCGGUUCGGAGGCGUGAGCCGAACCGCAACUUUGCUGGACCCGAGUGGCUGCGCUCUGUCGCUGCAUCAACUACUUAAAGCGCUACCUGUGGCCUGAGAAGAUCAUCUAGUGGAUUACGGAACCGGACGAAAAGGCUUAGUUGUAGUUCAUACAAGUUGAUUGGCUAUUCUUCUUGCUAUCGUCACAGAGUUGGCUUGUAACUGAAUCGAUCUGACACCAUAUUCCUGAGCAAUCGAUCCCCAUCUUCCCCUCCCAACUCGGUACCUAACAUCUGGUAUCAAAGACCACCUACCACCCUUCUCCCUGGCGCCAUUCAUCGAGACGCGUCGUCUUCACCAGAUCCGCGAGCGUAUGGCGACCACGGAUCCUGGAUUUCAGGAGUUCUUCACCAAGCUGACGGACUCAAUCGAUGGGCCGCGCAAGGACAUGCGCGACACUUCAGCCACGGUCCGCUCUCAGUCAGCCAAACUCGACGACCUCAUCGCCUGGCGACCGGAGAUGGAGGCCCGUUUCACCAAGUUGGCUGAGGCGGUCACUGCGCUGCAGCACCAACGCAGCCCGGGUUAGCCGACUGCGGGUGAGGAGACCACGGCCGCGUUCAUUGCGAUGGCCACUACUGCUGCCACCGAUGGCUUCGGUGUCGGCAUGGGCGCGCAGGGUGCUCCCCACGGGCCUACAGGCCACGGCGUCGACACGACUACACGGGGUAUGGCCUCGGCGUUCGGCACGCCGAGCCAUUCCCCGGGCAACGGUCAGUUCAAUACCCCGUCCAUUAUGUUUGCUGGUUCCCCAUUUGCUUUUGCGAGUCAGAUUUUGGCUGGAUUGGGUCAGGCACAUCCGUCGAUCUGUUUUCCCCAAUUCUCUGGUGAAAAUCCCAAUCUUUGGACCACCCUUUGCGAGCAGUAUUUUCAAAUGUUUUCGAUCCAUGAGUCUUAUUGGGUUCCGAUGGCUUCGCUCAAUUUUUCUGGCUCUGCUUCGAUCUAGUUGCAAUCGAUUCGUAAGAAGCUAGCUACUGCUCUUAUUUGCACUCGAUUUGGUCGGGACAAGCAUCAGCUCUUGAUUCCUCAAUUUUACAUGAUUCGUCGGACUUCUUCUGUGGCUGAUUACAUUGAGCGAUUUGAAGAGAUUAUCAACCACUUGACUUCUUAUUGUGAUACAAUUCAUCCUUACUAUUAUCUUACUCGUUUUUUUGAGAGACUUAGGCCGGAUAUCCGGGCGAUUGUGCUGGUCCAGCGGCCGCCAGAUCUGAACACGGCAUGCUCGCUUGCCCUUCUGCAAGAGGAGGCGCUCUCCUACGACCACUUCGAGCACCCCGACCUCCGCCGUACCGACCACCACCACCAACUCGUCCUGCGGUGCCCUUACCACUUCCGGCGCCACCUGUGCGUCAGGGUGCACCGCUGGCGGCGCCAGCCCAGGAUCGGCGUGGCAUGGACGGCGCCCGUGCCGAUGCAUCCAAGGUCAAGGCACUGCGGGAAUAUCGUCGCGCUCGCGGGCUCUGCUUCAAAUGCGGCGAACCGUGGGGACAUGAUCAUGUGUGCCCCACCACUGUGCAGCUCCACGUGGUGGAGGAACUUCUUCAACUAUUUGGCAUCGACACUGUCUUGGAUACAGAUUCCGGCGAUCUCCAUGAAGCAUGGGAGGUCGUCUGUGUGAUUUCACGGCACGCCUUGGAAGGGCAUCCUUCCCCGCGUGCAGUUCAGUUGCAGGCAUGGAUUCAAGGGCGUGAAGUUCUCAUUUUGGUGGAUUCCGGUAGCACCGCAUCUUUCCUCAAUCAACGUUUGGCGUCUCAGUUGGAAGGAGUGCAGGCCAUGUCCAGAACUUGCCGUGUCAAAGUCGUUGACGGUGCUGAUCUCAUUUUCUCUCACAUGAUUCCUAAUUGCGCCUGGACAUCUCAGGGGAAUGAAUUCAGCAACGAUUUCAAGAUUUUAUCUUUGGGUGUGUAUGAUGCAAUUUUGGGAAUGGAUUGGUUGGAGCUUAUCAAUCCUUUGAUCGACUGGGUUGCCAAGCGUUUCUGCAUCCUGACGGACAGUGGGCCUAUCUAUCCGCAAGGUCACUUAUCUGCUUCAGCAACCAGCACUGUGAUCAACUCGUUACAGCUCAGUGGGUUAUGUCGUCAGGGAGCCUUGUCUCAUUUUGUGCACCUAUGUUUCGUUGCUUCCAUUUCGGAAGAAUCUGCACCUGUCCCAGCUUGUGUUCAGCACAUCUUAUCCCGGUUCAGUGACCUCUUUACUGAACCCACGGAGUUGCCGCCUCGCCGUGCUUGUGAUCAUCGGAUCCCUUUGAUGCCAGGAGCUCAGCCUGUUAAUAUCCGGCCAUAUCGACACAAGCCUGAAUUGAAGAAUGAAAUUGAACAACAGGUUGCAGAACUGCUUCGCUCCGGCAUCAUACAGCGCAGCUCCAGUCCUUUCUCAUCGCCGGCCAUUUUGGUUACGAAGAAGGACGGCACCUGGCGUUUGUGCAUUGAUUACCGACACCUCAACUCCAUGACAGUUAUCAGCAAGUUUCUUGUGCCCAUAAUCGAAGAACUUCUGGAUGAGCUAUCCGGUGCCAAGUGGUUCUCUAAACUUGAUUUAAGAGCAGGCUAUCAUCAGAUUCGUUUGGUCGAGGGUGAGGAGUUCAAGACAGCUUUCCAGACACACUCCGGACACUUUGAAUACAAGGUUAUGUCCUUCGGGCUUGCCGGCGCCCCUGCCACGUUCCUUGGCGCCAUGAACGCCACGCUGCAACCUUUACUCCGCAAAUGUGUUCUCGUCUUCUUCGACGACAUUUUGGUUUAUAGUCCUACCUUGGAGGCUCAUGCACAACACUUGCAGCAGGUGCUCCAGUUGCUUCGUCGAGAUCAGUGGAAAGUGAAGCAAUCAAAGUGUGCUUUCGGACAUCAGCAAUUGUCUUACCUCGGGCACAUUAUCAGUGGCAAAGGCGUUGCCACCGAACCUUCUAAAAUUCAAUCAUUCCAAGCUUGGCCAACCCCGUCUGAUGCUAAGGAGGUUCACAAGUUCCUCGGUUUAGCCGGCUACUAUCGCCGUUUCGUGCCACAGUUUGGCAUCAUCGCACGUCCCCUGUUCAACUUACUGAAGAAGGGCAACCCAUUCGUGUGGACUGCGGUGCAGGAUGAGGCAUUCCAAUUACUGAAGCACGGGCUCACUACAGCUCCAGUCCUUGCUCUGCCGAACUUUGCGAAGCCGCUCACUGUAACUACGGACGCCUGCGACACUGGAGUGGGUGCCAUUCUGCAGCAAGAUGGCCAUACAAUCGCUUACUUGAGUAAGGCUCUGAGCCCACGCUAUCGUGGCCUGUCCACAUACGAGAAGGAGUAUCUUGCCGUUCUCAUUGCCGUGGAGCAGUGGCGCCCGUACCUGAUCCAUUCGGAAUUUAUCAUUCAAACAUACCAGAAGAGCUUGGUUCAUUUGGAGGAACAACGCCUCACCACGCCAUGGCAGUAGAAGGCUUUCACCAAGCUCCUCGGCCUUCAAUACAAGAUUUGUUACAAGAAGGGAACCAACAACGGCGCUGCCGACGCUCUAUCUUGAGCCUCUCAUUCUGAACAGCUCCUGGCAAUUUCUUCGUGUCAACCAUCUUGGUUGGAGGAUAUUGUUUCCAGUUACGAUUCAAACCCACAGGCCCUGAAAUUACUUGAGCAACUGGCCGUUGUUCCUGAUGCCAAAGGUCGCUUCACCCUGGAACACGGCAUCUUGCGUUUCCGAGGGCGUAUAUGGCUGGGCGGCAGUACAUCGAUGCAGCAGCGCAUCAUCGCAGCAUUCCACGACAGCCCCAUGGGCGGGCACUCUGGAUUUCCCGUGACCUAUUGUCGUGUCCAGCGUUUGUUCACAUGGCCAAAGAUGAAGCACCAUGUCCAUCAGUAUGUCCGUUGCUGUCAAAUCUGUCAACAGGCUAAGCAGGAGCAUGUGGCCUACCCUGGCUUACUCGUUCCUCUCCCAGUUCCAAGCGAAUCGUGGGAGAUCAUCUCUAUGGAUUUUAUCGAGGGCCUCCCACAAUCAGGUCAGUUCAACUGUCUACUUGUGGUGGUUGACAAAUUUACUAAGUUUGCCCAUUUCUUGCCGCUGGCACAUCCCUAUACUGCCUCCAAAGUUGCUUUGCUAUAUAUGAACAACAUCUACAAGCUUCACGGCCUGCCCAGUUCCAUCAUUUCGGACAGGGACCCGUCUUCACUAGCCAUUUCUGGAGUGAACUGUGCAGGCACGCCGGCACGGCUCUCAACAUGAGCUCUGCUUACCAUCUGCAGAGUGAUGGUCAGACCGAACGAGUUAAUCAGUGCCUAGAGACUUAUUUGCGCUGCUUCACUCAUGCUUGCCCAAGACACUGGAGCUACUGGAUUCCACUGGCUCAAUUUUGGUACAACGCUUCUCAUCAUAGUACCAUUGGGAUGUCACCAUUCAAAACUAUGUACGGGCAUGAACCUCGCCAUUGGGGGAUUUCCUCGUCAAGUAUGGUUUCUGUUCCUGCUCUGCAUACUUGGCUGGAGGAACGGUCUGUUAUGCAACAACUAUUACAGCAACACCUCAAUCGAGCUCGUCAGCGCAUGAAGACCCAAGCUGACAAGAAGCGCACGCCUCAUUCUUUUGCUGUCGGCGAUCAGGUGUUUCUCAAACUGCAGCCCUAUGUUCAAUCUUCAGUGGCUACUCAUUCUCAUCACAAAUUGGCUUUUUGCUACUUCGGCCCGUAUCCAAUCGUGGAACAAAUCAACGAGGUGUCUUAUAAGCUGGAUCUUCCACCUGGCUCUUCGGUGCACCCCGUCUUCCAUGUAUCACAGCUCCGUCGCGCCCUCCUCUCAGGUACACAGGUCGAGUCAGAGCUUCCUUUCCAUACUGACAUUCCCGCUAUUCCUGUAUUGGUGCUCAAGACCUGUUGGCGCAAGUCCCACGGCGCCAUGGUGGAGCGAGUUCGUGUUCUCUGAUCCAAUCCAGCGGCUCUGGCGGACACUUGGGAGGACAAGCUCACCCUUCAAGCUCGUUCCCUGGAGCUGAGGCUUGGGGUCAAGCCUCUUCGCAAGGAGGAGGGGAUGUCAGCACCCCUGACAUGCUAGACCCACCUGACAGUGGGCAAGAGACCAGGCCGGUUUGGAGGCGUGAGCCGAACCGCAACUUUGCUGGACCUGAGUGGCUGCGCUCUGUCGCUGCAUCAACUACUUAAAGCGCUACCUGUGGCCUGAGAAGAUCAUCCAGUGGAUCACGGAACCGGGCGGAAAGGCUUAGUUGUAGUUCAUACAAGUUGCUUGGCUAUUCUUCUUGCUAUCGCCACAAAGUGCUUGUAACUGAAUCGAUCUGACACCAUAUUCCUGAGCAAUCGAUCCCCAUCUUCCCCUCCCAACUCGGUACCUAACACCCCUAAAAAAAAGCAGAAAAGGAUGCGAAGGAGAAGGAGCGGUCGUGCUGCUUCUGCUGCCUGCCUGAUGCUCUCGCUUGCGAUUUGUGUGUACUGCUACCAGAGCAGGGACGGAGCCAGGAGGCAGGGGCCCAGGACUAGAAGUCUAGAACUACUCGUAGAAGCGUAGAGAAAAUCCGGCAGACGUAGCAACACCAAAAAACCCGGCGGAAAAACGAUCCAUCGGGCGACCAGCGACGUGCGCUCUGCCGGCAAGGCGUAUCUUUUUCGGCCCAACUACCCAACAGUCGAAGGACAAAUAUGGCUUUUAUUCUGGCCCAACUAGACUGCCAUUUUUUGUUGCUGGACUUUGUAUACGCUAGCCCGAGGGGGGGGGGGGGGGCGAAAACGGCUUACGAAAUCGCCGCCAGUCUCCUGAAUCUAGCGGUGCCGUUACCUUUGCGUCAGACUUCGUUCACAUGUGAAUUGUGCGGGUGGAAUGGAUGGUCGAGCAAACACCGAGACAUGCCGGCACCGGUAGAAUGGACUUUCACUCCCUAACAUCUGCAGUGUUAAGCACAAUCUACUGAUGCUUUUGUGCUUGUGUGUGCAUGCCGGUGAGCUAGACCGAGCUGAGGGAAAGCUCGGUCCGAGCCAUCAACCUGAGACCGUCAACACCUCGAGUCGAUCGAACCAGGCCCCGUUUUCUAUUCAUCAAGCUAGCUUGGCUCGAGCCUGGCUUGGCCCAUGUAUGGUUCGUGUCUAGGGUUUAUAUGUCCUACAAAAUCCGGUGUGAUUGCGACAACAAAAGGUAAUCAUGUCAUAUUUUGCAGAUAAACCAUUGUUUGGUUUGCAAUCAUAUGUCUAGUUUAUAUUGCAAAUCUAUGUAUGGAAUUAAUGUAUGUCACCACAAUAAUGGUCUAGCAAGAAUUUAUGCAUGGAAAUUAAGCAACCUUAACCUCUGUUUUUUCGUGUUUUGCAUGCUUGUCGUUUUUGUUCAGCAAUUGUAUCCUCACUUGCCCUACCCAACCAGAAAUCUUUCCCACCCAAAAAGACACGUGGCUUGCCCGCCUCGCCCAAACAUGUACAAUCAUCACCACUGCCCCUAGCCGUGCCUCAAGACCCUAGAGUCACAAAUUCUUCUUCAGCGCUGGUGUCCCACACUCCCAGCCCUAACAAACAAAACUUGACCAAUAGUGUCGCCCCGCUGUCGCCACCACCACGUCUUGGCCGCUUCUGCUAUGAAUCUUACCUUUCAUCUUUGUUGCACCGCCAUUGCACGUCGUCGUCGCCCUGACACUUCUUGUCGACAUGGUUCCGCUCUAUACUUCCUCCUUUCUCGUCUCUACCAAAAGAAACUUAGGCAAUUGAAGACUAGAAAAUAUGUCCUUUUGCCGGUUUACAUAUUUUUCAGACUAAAAAUUUGAGUUCUCUCAAAAUGAAAUAACAACCCAUGCUUGAU
This 159259-nucleotide long non-coding RNA is filed under the name Brachypodium distachyon (stiff brome). RNAcentral's name for it is "long non-coding RNA (BDIS_LNC005261)". The stretch from base 52086 to 52210 matches the Rfam family "MIR1120/MIR1122 microRNA precursor family". The record is from RNAcentral. Lineage: Eukaryota; Viridiplantae; Streptophyta; Magnoliopsida; Poales; Poaceae.